Molecule: long non-coding RNA, 90784 nt
Filed under: Solanum tuberosum (potato)
Lineage: Eukaryota; Viridiplantae; Streptophyta; Magnoliopsida; Solanales; Solanaceae
Description: long non-coding RNA (STUB_LNC005595)
Rfam family: Plant small nucleolar RNA R71 (bases 57242-57348)
Source: RNAcentral
CUCAUCAACUCGUCUCCCUUAGUUUCCAAAGUCGGAACUUGAAGCUCUCCAGAUCUGACUGAUUUAGCUCAGGACGAGUUGAAGGUUAGAGUUUCUUUGGAGAAAAGCUGGUAGCAAUUGAAGAAAUGCAAUAUUGAGGAGCCGAUUCUCCGGCGGGUGGUGCUCAGAACUCAUCCAUGGCGAAGGAAUCGAUGUGGAGAAAAGUCGACUCUUCAUUUCCCUCUUUGUUUCCUACUUUAGUAUUGUCUUAUCCUUACCUUUUGUUUAUUUUGCUUUGGUUUUGUAUAGAAUUGUAUAUAUUCCUUUCGAAUUUAAUAUAGAUGUUUAUGGGCCUCAAUUUUUAAGUUAGAAUAAAAAUGGAAUGGCAUGUCACAUUUAGGGGUGUUAAAAAUGAGCCCACAUUUAGGGGUGAUUCACAUUGUUCCUGUUUUAUUAAUAAUAUUUUUUUAAUUCUUUAAAUGGAAGCUUGUUUAAUGUCUCUAUAGGAAGCUUCUUUUACAUAUUCGAUUGAAGCAUUUAUCUAUUCUCUAUGAAGAUCUAGUUACUUUAAUUUUCUAGCGGAAAUCUUUAUCCUGGGUUCCAUUCACGAGUAUUUGCCGGUAUAUUCAUACAAAAAUUAAGUCUUGCUAUCGAGGAAAAAAAGUUGAUAAGGAAGAUAAAAUAAAUUUAGUAACAAAUUUUCAUCAUUGUGUUACCAAGAUAUAUAUACAAACAAAUUUGAUCUUCAAGAUAAUUAUUUUUUGCAUUAACGCUUCAAAAAAGCGUAUCAUAAUUUGCUACAAUUUACAAUAGCGAAAUUGAUGACAUAUGGGGAUUUUCUCAAGAUUGUCAAGUUCGGAUUCAAUUUAUGUACAGAGAAGGUAAUUAUUCUUUGGUUGAUGAUUUAGCUAAUCUAGCUUUUAAAAAUCCAGGUAGACUUGUUUAUAAUUCUUUUAUAGAAUUACCAAGACAAGCUAGGCAAAUUGCGAACCUAGACAAGCAACAACUUCCUACGUUAAGAAUCAGAACAAAGAAAAUAGAUCAAGAAAGGGAAGGGGGACAAGAAAAUGCAGUGACAUUCAUCACAUAAUCAUAUUAUUAUAUUUAUAUUUAUAUUUAUCAUAUAUUAUUAAAUCAUCAUAUCAUAUAUCAUCAUCAUAUAUCAUAUUCAUAUUCAUAUAUCAUAUAUCAUAUAUUACUAAAAGUGGGAACAAAAAAAGUUGAAAUAUUAUUUUUUGCCCCUACACUAGAUUAAAAUAUUAUAAAUAUUUAGUUAAUUACAUGUUUGAAUAUUAGUGAUAAUCAAUUAUUACAUUAAGUAAAUGGAGAAUUCAUGUGUUCAAAGGAGGAUUGUUUACUCUUCCAGAUUUUAAUGGAGGUUCAUUGCAUAUAUUUAAUAUUCUUAAAGUUCUUCUCUUUUAUUUAUUUUGGCCCUUUGAAACCUUCAAAUAGUAUUUAAUUAAAACUUUAAGAUGUCUUUUGGUAUUCCUCUAUUUUUAUCUAUAUAAAUUCAUUUUUUUUGUUUCAUGAAACUCACAUCCAAAAUUAUCAUUUUCAUUUUAUAGUUAAAGUAGUGAAGCCAUCAACAUCUAAAGUAUAUGCUAUAUCUACCUUAGCCUGAUUAUAUAUCACUUUAUGAAAAUAAAAUGAUUUUUCUAUUUGAUUCAUUCUUUAAUUUGACUCGAUGGAGAAGACUUUUAAAUUUUGAUUGGAUAUGAGAGAAGUUGUCAACAAAAACUUGGAAAAUUAUGUACCGAUUUUGUAUUUGUUUUUUCAUUUAUAUAAUGUUAUGAUUAAAGUCUUAAGAAGGAUGCGUAUGUUAUUUUAUUUUUCUUUGUUUAUUCUUUUUAAUAUUUCUCUAUUAGUCUUCUUUAAUUUAAUUUUCUAUAAAUUAUUAUCAUAACAUUUAUUUGAGAUUGUUGCAUUUUAGUACUCAUUAUACGCAUAUUUUCAUUGAAUUUUAAUCGUCCUAACGAAUUUAUAACAUAUUGCAUGAGACACACGUGUCCAGAAACUAGUAUUAUUAAAAGUGGGAAGCUCACAUCUUCAAAGUUGGAUGACCACUUUGCCCUUACAACAAAUUAAAAUGUAAUUAAAAUUUUAAUUAAAUAAUAUUAUUCAAUUAAUUUGAAAGUUGAAAAGACUUUAUGACUUAAUUAGGAAAUUUGAAGGGGUGCAUGAAAAAUGAAAAGACUAUUAUCAGUUAUGUGUGAAAUUUUGGCGGGUUACAUCACAAUAAAUAGGCUUAUAUCUUCCAUCGUAUGAAAUUCAAAUGGGUACAUCAGAACCAUGAUAAACAUACACUCAUAUUUAAUUGAGAAAAUAGCACUUGUAAUAAGGAGAUAUUAUUUAGCUAGAGUAAUUGAAAAGAAACUAUUGCGAUCUCAAAAGCUACUAAGUUGGAGGAGGAAGAAUCCAAUGUAAAUAACCUGACUGUGGCACCAAGGAGGGGUACGCAUAUGAGAAUUGUGCAAUAAUGUUGAUGUUUUGAACAAUAUUUGUAACUAUAAAUUAAGAUUUUUCUCUCUGACAUUUUUUGACAUUUAUUUCUAUCAAAUUUGUAAGUAAAUUAUACUGUAAUUAUUAGCAAAAUUAAAAUGGUUUUUUUCUGAGUCGUUAUGAGUUAUACACUUUUUUGUUACUGGUCUUGAUUGCCAAAUAACAAUUAACUUUAGUAUAUAAAGGUUGCUCGUUUUUAUUUAAGUUUGUUUGUAGCUUAUAUAUGCAAAUUAUUUUUAAAUUUAUCUGAAACAAAUAUAAUUUAAUGGACUUAUAAAAAUAGAAAUAUGUUUGAAUAAACAAUAGAGUAAAAUAGUUGAUAUAUGGCGUAUGUUCAUUUUUCUCUGUUACGUUGUAUAAAUUUUUCAUCUAUUUCUUACUAUAAUGAAUAUAUAUGUCAAUGCAAAAUAAAAUUAUUAUUGUGUUAAUGAACGUCAUCAUGUGUAUUGAUAAUUUUCCACUCAUGGUCAUAUAUUCGAAUUUAUUUAAACUAUGGAUUAAGAUUUUUCUCUCUUAACAUUUUUUGACAUUUAUUUUUAUCAAAUUUGUAAGUAAAAUUAUAAUGUAAUUAUUGACAAAAUUAAAAUGUUUUUUUUUGAAUUGCUAUGAGUUAUAAACUUUUUUGUUACUAUCUUGAUUACCAAAUAACAAUUAACUUUAGUAAAUAAAGGUUGUUCGUUUUUGUUAAAGUUUGUUUACAACUUAUAUGUAAAUUGUUUUUUAAUUUGUACCAAAAGAAAUUAAGAAGACAGUGAAAUUAUUUUAGUAAUUAGCCGCCAAAGGUAGAAAUUCAAAUAAGGCAUCACGGCAAAAACCAAAGUUACAAAAAGGUAUUUGAGGGUUUUCAUGGGACAAGAACUUUUUCUUCAUUGAACUAUCUGAAUAGGAUCAACAUUAAUUAUUUUCAUAACUCAAAUAUAGAACAUAAAAAUAUUCAUAUGAAUUCUUAAACUUAUAUACUCAAUGAUAUGGGAUAUACACGCAAAGUGCGUGCCCAAAAACUAGUUCAAUAUAUACCUAAUCGGAUAACAUCAAUACUCAUUUUUUAUUUUUUAUUUUUUAUUUUAGUGAGAGUUAAGUUAUUUUGACUUUUAGUUUGUGAUAUUACUUGAUUAUUCUUGAAAUCAAGUCAUGGACAAUAUGGAUAUGCAUAGUAGGGAAAUUUUCAUAUAUGGCAAAGAGAAAAAACUUAAUUAGCUUUCAUAGCUACAGUUUACCUAAUUACGCUUUAUAGGUAUAGUUUUAUUUGUUAUGCGGACCAAGAAGUGAUAGAGUCAUUUGGUGAUUCCGCCAAUCAUUUUGUAGCUUCACCCAUCAAAGAGAACGGGAAUAACCUCAACCUCGUGGACGCUUGUGAGAUGUUUUUAAACACAAAUGAUCUACACACCUCCACAAAUUUUCAAAGGUGUUCAUGGCAGUCCUCAUGAGCUAAACCUCCUAAACAUUCCUCUUAGUUGGAGCAAUUGUAGCUACAAUCCAGUUACAUGAAACACUGUCCACUCGGUUGUGGGAGGUAUUUGGUUGGCUCCCGUAGUCCGAACAAUAUUGACGUGCAUAUCAUUCAAAUCACCCAUGUCAUUUUGACCGUAGUGACUAUCAUUUUCAUUACCAUAGUAACUCAUUGUACUAGACCUGCAAAUCAACCAACAAUAACCCAAAGCAACAAUUUACUACAACUAAACAAAUUUACAAUUGAAUUUCUCAAAUAGAAUUCUCAACCACCAGUACCCGACAACGGCGCCAUUUUUUGUAAUGCUCAAAUGUACUAUAUAAAACAAAUUAAAAGAGACAGCGUUCGUUGUCAAUAAAAAUACCUAAUUAAGAGUCGGGAUCGUGGUUUUUUUCUCUUUUAAGUAAAUCUACCACUCAUCAUGUCUUUAAUAGAGGUGUUACAAGGUGGUUAUUAUCGUAGCCUGUACUCAUAAGUUGCUUGAAGUUAUUGGAUUUUGAGAAAUCUUGUGUGGCAGAGCGUGACUUUUUUCUCUUAUAAGCAAGGAGGUUUUCACAUAAGCAUUUGUGUUCUUUACUUUAAGCAUUCAUUGCUUUUGCUAUUAUUAAUACAAUCAAGGGACCUGAUCUUUUAACUCGUGGUGGAUUCAUAAAAGUCAACAAAUAUAAAGUCUGUCAUUUCAAGGAGAAUCAGGUGAACUUUUUUAAUAUAAAAUUUUACGUCCUCGGUGGUGCAAACCUUUUAUUUCUUCCAAGAUCUAUACAGAGAACAAGCAGAGGGGGACGACAACCUAAACCUCCGUUAAUAAGCAUUAAUAUACAGUCUUGAAAGCAGGUCAUGUACAACAAAAACUAAAGAAAGACAAAUCAUAGAUAGUGACUCUGAAUAUAUUUUAUCUUAGGGAGGGCAUCCAAAUAAUAUCAAUGGAGUACAUACCAGCUUCAUCUUUUGGCAAAUCUAUAGGAUCAAAAAUCAAGACGUCCUUGCUAUAUAAAUAAUAUUUAGCUAGUACGUCUGCCACUUGAAUCGCCUCUUUGAAGCAAUGUCGAACUAUCACAUUGGCCUGCAAAUUAAUUCUUCUAGUCUCCAUAAUAGUAUCCUGCAGUUUCCAGGCCAUUUGAGAUUUAUCCUUAAUCAUAUUGGCUAUAACAAGGGAAUCACAUUCUAAAAUAAAGCUUGGAUAGCCAUUUUCCACGCACCAUUUGGCUCCAAAAUAGGCUGCUUUGGCUUCUCCUAUAUUGCUCGUACCUCUCCCAAUAUGUUUUGCGAAGGCUACUAUUAAAUUUCCCAUUGAAUCCCUUAUAAUACCACCUACACCAAUCGAUCCUUCAGAGUUGCAACUGCAAUCAAUAUUGACUUUUACCCAAUUAUAUUGUGGUUUUUCCAUGGAACAACAAUGCUAUUAAUUUUAGGCCUAAGAGACAUAAUAGUAGAACAUAGAACUGGCCACUGACAAGGCCAAUCUCUAUCACCUACCAGUUUGUUUAUCGACCAUCUAAUAUGGGAAAUAAUUUUAUGCUUCGACCUAGCAUAGGAAAUUCUCUUAGAGCCAUACUUGACCGCACAUCUCGCUUUCCAUAGUUCCCAACGAAUAAGGAUAGGAGCAUUUUAAGAAUUUGUUGAUGCGAUGAAUUCAGAGGUUUCAUAGACCACCAUCAACCAAAGAAACAUACAAUAGAUCCAUGACCCCAAGGAAUACCAAAAGGAUCACCAAAAAAUUUCCAUUUUCUAGUAGCUAAUUCACCGGUACAAAAGGAAUGAUGGCUUGUCUCAUCAACAGGGAUUCGAUAACAACUUAGUCAACUCAGCCCCAUUGAAAUAACUCUGAACAAAAUCAACCACUUCCUGUUUAAUAAUUCUCCAACAGGUGCUAACAUUCAAAUUACCCUCAAAAUAAGUUAAAACAGUAAUCGGUUGUUAGCAAUAAAAAUACCCAACAAGAGUCGGGGUCGAAUCCCACAAGAAACAAUUUGUCGGCUCGGCAAUUGAAAAGACAAUUUUUUGGUAACAAAACGAUGGAUUUGGGCAAAGACAUUAUCAAACAAGGGAUACAUGGGAAUUCAAAAUUUUGGAAUUCAAUCCACACUCGAACGAUCCAUUGCAAUUCAACACCUGCUAAAGUAAUCAUAGAUAGUCUAUAUCAUCAUCAAUCAACAUUAAUCUCCUUUCGGUCUCGAAGUAUUACAUCACGAAAUCUCCUUUCGGUCUCAACCAUAGUUCAAUGACAAAACAAUCUAAUACUUUAGUCUAAACCCCUAUUUCUAGCAAGUUUAGCAUUCAAUAAAGUAAACCCAAAUCUUUUCCUUUCGGUCUCAAACUUAGGACACAAAGCUGAAAUGUGAUUAUUAAUCUAUUCACCGACUUCACGAAUUCUCUUUCAAGCAACCCACAAAUUCCUAAAGUAGAUUCGAGUGUGCACUCUCAAAUCAUAGAUUAAAACAUGGUGAAUAGAGUUGUUGGAUUUUUAGUCGUUAUUCUUUUAUCAGUUGACCUAGUCUUUAGGAGUUUUGAUUCCUUUUUUGAUUGUAGUAGUUUGCAGGUUGUUCUGUUUUUAAGGAAUUAGUGCAGUAAAGUGUUAUAGUUGCUUUAGGAGUCAUGUGCUCUAUUUUAGGAGUAAGUUGAUAAUGGGACUGAUAUGUGUCCUAUUUAAUUGAUUAUUCUGUUAAGUAUUUGCCUAUUUAUAGGCUUGAAGUCAUGAAUAAAAGGAUUAAGUGUUUUCAGCAAAUUACUUUCUCUCCUUACGUAUCUUUUUAUUUCUCCUUCUUAAGUUUCCAUCAGUGGUAUCAGCGCCAGGUUAUUCAAAGAGUGAAAACAAGUGAGGCAGCCACAAAUUUCUUUUCAUAUUAUCUAAUGGCUACUGAAAAUAAUUUUGUGCAAGCAACAAUUCCUCGCUUUGAUGGUCAUUAUGACCAUUGGAGCAUGUUGAUGGAGAAUUUCUUACGGUCAAAAGAGUAUUGGCCAAUUAUUGAGGACGACAUCGACACUCCGGCGGAAGGCGAAGUUUUGUCGAAUGCUCAAAAGGCAGAGUUGGAAGCAAAAAAGCUGAAAGAUCUGAAAGCGAAGAAUUAUCUCUUUCAGGUAAUUAAUCGUCCCAUCCUGGAAACUAUUCUUUGCAAAGAAACUUCCAAGGAUAUUUGGGAUUCCAUGAAGAAGAAGUAUCAAGGCUCAAGCAGGGUGAAGCGUGCACAGCUUCAAGCUUUGAGAAAGGAUUUUGAAACACUGGAGAUGAAGGAAGGAGAAUCUGUGACAAACUAUUGUGCUAGAACCAUGGAAAUAACCAACAAGAUGCGCUUCCAUGGUGAGAAGAUAGGUGAUGUAGCCAUUGUGGAGAAGAUUUUACGAUCUCUGACAUCAAAAUAUAAUUAUGUUGUCUGCUCAAUUGAAGAAUCAAAGGAUAUAGAUGAACUAUCUCUUGAUGAACUGCAAAGUUCUUUAUUGGUUCAUGAACAGAAGAUGAACAAAAGUUCUGGAGUGCAGGAGCAAGCGUUGAAGGCUUCUACUAAUACUUAUUCCAGCAACUAUAGAGGUAGAGGUAGAGGCCGAGGAAGAGGAGAUCGUGGAGGAAGAGAUUUCAGCAGAAAUUACAAAACCAGCACUGAUCAGUCUCAAGGCAGAGGUCAAGAUCAUGAAAAAUCGAAGGUAGAGUGUUAUAGAUGUCACAAAUUUGGUCACUAUGCAUCAGAUUGUUACACUAGACUUCCUAAUGACAAGAAAAAUGUGAAAGUGCCAAUUUUGUCGAAAAUAAGGAAGUAGAAACAUUGUUAAUGGCUGUCCAUGGUGGAAAAAAAUAUGAGUCUAAUAUUUGGUAUGUAGAUACUGGAUGCAGUAAUCACAUGUGUGGAAGUAAAUUUUCUUUUUCAUCUCUAGACGAAAAUUUCCACUCUACUGUAGCGUUUGGUGAUUGUUCAAUUGUGGAAGUGAUGGGGAAAGGUGACAUCAAGAUUAAAACCAACAAUGGUUUUGUGGAAACAUUUACUAAUGUAUUGUAUGAUCCUGACUUGAAAAGUAAUUUACUUAGUGCUGGUCAGUUGCAAGAAAAGGGUUAUGUCAUCACUAUCAAGAAGGGCGAGUGUGAAAUUUAUGAUCCUGUGAGAGGAGCUAUUGCAGUAGUUCAAAUGAGCUCCAACAGAUUAUUUCCACUAAGGAUUGAUAGCAUCCAAUCCUGUUUGAUGGCUGAAGUAAAGGAUUCAUCCUUGUUGUGGCACUUCCGUUAUGGUCACUUGAGUUUUGGAGGUUUGAAAACACUCCAACAGAAAAACAUGGUUACUGGUCUUCCUCAAAUUACUGCACCUUCCAAAAUUUGUGAAGAAUGUGUUGUUGGCAAACAACAUCGCUCUCAAUUUCCCAAAGGAAAGUCAUGGAGAGCAAAGGAUGUUUUGGAGCUAGUACACUCAGAUCUUUGUGGUCCGAUAAACCCAACGUCUAAUGGAGGUAAACGGUAUUUAAUUACUUUUACUGAUGAUUUUUCAAGAAAAACUUGGGUUUAUUUUCUGGAAGAAAAAUUUGAAGCUUUUUCAAUAUUUAAAAACUUCAAAGUUCGUGUGGAAAAUGAAGUAGGGAAAACCAUUAAGGCUCUCCGAGAUCGUGGUGGCGAAUACUGCUCAAAAGAAUUUGAAGAGUUUUGUGCAAAGCAUGGCAUUCGGAGAGAGCUUACAGCUGCGUAUACACCACAACAAAAUGGUGUGUCGAAAAGGAAAAACAGAACCAUCCUCAACAUGGUGAGAAGUAUGUUAUUGAGAGGAAGCAUUCCAAAAACUUUCUGGCCAGAAUCAGUGAAUUGGAGUGUUCAUAUUCUAAACAGAAGUCCAACUUUUUCUGUUAAAAAUAUGACACCCGAGGAGGCAUGGAAUGGGAGAAAACCAACAGUAGAUCAUUUUAGAAUUUUUGGAUGCAUUGCAUAUGCCCAUGUCCCGGAUGAAAGGAGGAAGAAACUUGAUGAUAAGGCUGAAAAAUGUGUUUUUCUUGGUGUGAGUGAGUCUUCCAAAGCAUAUAAGUUGUUUAGUCCGUUGACUAAGAAGAUUGUUAUCAGCAGGGACGUUACUUUUGAUGAGGAAAGCACUUGGGAUUGGAAUAGGCAGCAGCCUGCUACCCAAAUCCUAUGUGACAGUGACGUGGAACAAGAGCAAUUUUCAGCACCUUGUACACUUGAAAAUUCAUCAGAUUCGGCCCCUAUAACUUCCCCACCAGUUGCUGUUGCAAAUGAAGAAGCAACUCAAACUCUUGGGCGUGUUAGAAGAAGGCCUGCUUGGAUGAAGGAUUACAAGGUAACUGGAAUUGAAGAUCCAAUUACUCACUUUGCUUUAUUUUCAGAUUGCGACCCAAUUUUUUAUGAGAGUGCUGUAAAGGAAGAAAAAUGGAGAAAAGCAAUGGAUGAUAAAAUUGAUGCUAUUAAACGAAAUGAUACUUGGGAGUUGUCCGAUCUUCCAAAGGGACAGAAAACCAUUGGACUGAAGUGGGUGUUCAAAACAAAGUUGAAGGAAAAUGGCAAAGUUGACAGGUACAAAGCGCGUUUAGUGGACAAGGGGUAUAAGCAACAAUAUGGGAUCGAUUAUACAAAAGUAUUUUCUCCUGUUGCUAGGCAUGAUACAAUCAGAUUGGUUAUCGCAUUGGCAGCUCAGAAUUCUUGGCCUAUUUUCCAGCUAGAUGUCAAGUCGGCGUUCCUACAUGGGCACUUGGAGGAAACAGGGUAUUUGUUGAACAACCCUGGUUAUGUUGAAAUUGGAAAUGAGCAUAAGGUUUAUAGAUUAAAAAAGGCCCUCUAUGGUCUAAAACAAGCUCCUCGAGCUUGGUAUAGUCGCAUUGAGGGCUAUUUUCUAAAAGUUGGUUUUUCGAAAUGUCCUUAUGAGCAUACACUUUUUGUUAAGAUUGGGGAUAAAGGAAAAAUGCUCAUUAACUGCUUGUAUGUUGAUGAUCUCAUUUUUACUGGAAAUUGUGGUGUCAUGUUUGAGGAAUUCAAGAAGUCAAUGAUGGAUGAGUUUGAAAUGUCUGACCUAGGAUUGAUGCAUUACUUUCUUGGCAUAGAGGUAGUACAAUCUGAAAAGGGGAUCUUUAUUUCUCAGAAGAAGUAUAUAAGGGAAAUUCUAGAAAGAUUUCAGAUGAUGGAUUGCAAUCCAGUUAAUACUCCUGUUGAACUUGGUUUGAAGUUGCACAAAGAUCCUACUGGAAUGAAGGUUGACAACACACUUUACAAGCAAAUCGUGGGAAGCUUGAUGUAUCUCACUGCUACAAGGCCUGGCAUAAUGUACUCAGUGAGUUUAAUCAGCAGGUACAUGGAGAAUCCCACAGAAAUGCACUUGCUGGCAGCCAAGAGAAUUCUCCGUUACUUGCAAGGAACGAGAGACUUUGGACUAGUUUAUAAGAAGAGUGAAAAUUCCAAUCUUCUUGGGUAUACGGAUAGUGAUUAUGCUGGUGAUCGUGAUGACAGGAAAAGCACUUCAGGUUAUGCUUUUAUGCUAGGGUCCGGUGCUAUUUCGUGGUCAGCUAAGAAGCAACCAAUUGUCACUUUGUCUACUACAGAAGCCGAGUUUGUUGCUGCGACUGCUUGUGCUUGUCAAGCUAUUUGGUUGAGGAGACUUUUGGAGGAGUUAAAAUUCAAGCAAGCAGAAGCCACUAAGAUUUUUUGUGACAAUGAUUCAGCAAUUCAGCUAUCCAAGAAUCCAGUGCUACAUGGAAGAAGCAAGCACAUUGAUGUGAAGUUUUAUUUCUUAAGAGAUCUUAGCAAUAAUGGAACUAUUGAUCUGAUUUACUGCAGGAGUGAAGAUCAAGUUGCCGAUAUUUUCACCAAGGCCCUGAAGACGGAGUCAUUCAUGAAACUUAAAAGGCUGCUAGGUGUAUGUACAAUCAAAGAUAUAAACUGACUGUUAGAAAACAUCAGUUUAAGGGGGCAACUGUUGGAUUUUUAGUCGUUAUUCUUUUAUCAGUUGACCUAGUCUUUAGAGUUUUGAUUGUAGUAGUUUGCAGGUUGUUCUGUUUUUAAGGAAUUAGUGCAGUAAAGUGUUAUAGUUGCUUUAGGAGUCAUGUGCUCUAUUUUAGGAGUAAGUUGAUAAUGGGACUGAUAUGUGUCCUAUUUAAUUGAUUAUUCUGUUAAGUAUUUGCCUAAUUAUAGGCUUGAAGUCAUGAAUAAAAGGAUUAAGUGUUUUCAGCAAAUUACUUUCUCUCCUUACGUAUUAUUUCUCCUUCUUAAGUUUCCAUCAAGAGUAAACCCAUUUCAUGAAUUUAAGCAUUGAAUCAAGGAAUCACAAAAACAAUAGAAUGAAAAAUCAACUACUCAAAUAGUUGUCUAUUUCUAGAACAAAACUCCAAUUUCAUAUACAUAAUUACACCUAUAAUUCUAACAAUAUAUAACAAGGAAUGAAGAAGAGAACAAGAGAUUUUACUAUUCAGCACCUAAUCUUCAAAUCCAAAUAUGAAUUGUGAGGCAACUUGCCUUCAAAAUCAUUACCCAAAAAUAUAAACUACAAUAUUCUCUCUACUCUAAGCUAAAGUUUUUCAAAGCUGAAAAUGGUAUGAAAAAGAUCCUCCCUAAAAAUGGCUGCUAAUAAGUGUAAUAGGGGUUUUGGGAAAACUUGGUGAAAUUCAUGUUCUGUCCCAGACGCCUGACAAUUCCUUCAUCGUGGUUGCGACAACUUACUCACGCAAUCACGAUGAGUAGUGUCAUUGAGUCACGCAAUUGCGAACAUUGACCAUGCGAUCGCGAAGUCUUGAGAUUUUGUUGACUGCGAUCACGACCCUUGCUUCACGUGGUAGUGAUGAGUAAUUUGCCGUCAGUUUUACUUUCUUCCAAUUGACCUCUUAUUGCCUCGUUUUCACUUGAUUUCUUCAAAUGUCUUCUAAAUCAACUCUCCAUUAAUUUUCCUACAAAUAUAACGAAAACCACAUUAAAAGCACCAGUUUUAAACUAAAACAAGCCAAAAUAACUAAGAAAAGAGCCUCAAAUGAGUGAAAAUCUCUCACUCAUCAACAUGGUGCAUUUCAAAUAUAGCAUCAUCCUUAUCAUUAUCAAUAUAUUCAUUCUCAAGAUGUUGUAGUUUUUCUUCCCAUUCUUUCACCUUGUCAGGCACAUUACCAAUAGUAGUUUUAGACCACUGACUGAGAGUUCUGCUAAGCGGUUUAAGUUUUUGAUGUAGUUUCCACAUACUAUUACCCUGAAUAUCAACAUUCCAAGCGUCUUGAACCACAUGUUUGAAGUUGGGAUGUUUAAUCCAAACAUUUAAGAAUCUAAAGUAUUUAAUACCCAUGAAUUCAACUUUAGAACAUUUGACUAGCAUAGGUGUGUGAUCAAAACCAGUGCUAAUUAUACGUGUUCUACACUAUUUCUCGAAAAGUUGGAAGCCCACUCAUGAUUAAUGAAAACUCUAUCAAGUUUCUUCCAGGUAAAUCUAGGACCAGAUAAACCUGCAUCUACCAUGCUACAAUCAUCCAUACAAUCUAUGAAGUCCUAUCUUUUUUUGCAUUCUACGAGUAAUUCCACCUUUCUUUUCUUCGGCACUCAUUAAAAUCUCCACUAAUACACUAGGGGACUUGAAUCUCAUCAUUGCAUCUUCUGAUACUAUGCCAACGAGGUACCCUUAGGAUCUCUUUAAUUUUAGCAUAAACAAAGCUCAUCUAGAAGUAAUCAACACUUCCCUGCUUGUUAAACUUGACAGUCAGUAGUUGUUGGUCAUCCAAAGUAAUCUGAGCAUUUAGAGUAUUAGACCAAAAUAUCCAUAGUAUGCCAUUUAUAUUGGAGUAGCAGUGAUCAAGUCCAAUCUUCCUUCUAUAUUUACCAAUAUGAAUAAAAUUCACAAAAGGCUCCUGAAUAGCAAUAAUAUGGAGUUUAUGCAUUUUAACAAGGAAGUUCAAUCUGUCAAAGGCACCCUUUGAGUUCACUCCUCUAAUAUUCAAUUGUCAAUUUCCAAAGGAUCGUUACUAGAUCUAGGAGAUAGAUUACAGUGCAAGAUCAAAGUAUUUCUAUGUUGAGUAACAAUAUUUUCAAGGUCGUGGUCCUUCCAGGAAGUUUUAGGAGUAAUGACUUAACAAAUCGUCUCCUGAUACUCAUCUUCUUCAAUAUAAUCACUGGCAUCAUAUCUCUGGAGUUGUUAUUGGAAUCUUGAUCCCCGCCUUCUCUAAAACCUUGACAAUCACAAACUUGAAGAGGAGUUAGAUUUUUUGAUGUUUACACUUGAAGCAAUAGUCCGGAACAAACUCAUAGACGAUUUUUUGAUCAAAACCUCCAUGUUCUUGUCCCUCCCCGUCAACUACACCAACCCAUACAGAAUCCCUCCUAUUUUUAGCCAAAUCAAUCUCUACCAAGACCUUCGCAAAAUUAGGCCUGGAUUUAGUUUCCGUGGCUUUGUCAAUUUUCAGCAAUGAGCCAAUAAAGGAGGUGAUACGGAUCAAAGGAUUCCAGUUGAAAUAAUGUCAUUUUAAGACCCGACAGCUGAAUCCAUACGGGGUAAGGGAGUUUUCUUCUUCAGGAUUAAAAUCGGGGAUCCAAGUAGCUAAUGCAUCAAGAAUCCCAAGACCAUGUAUUUUUUUACAAGCAUAGAUAUCUAAAUAGUCCUCUCACAGUGAGAAAAAUAAAAAUAUGCUUGGAAUUAAAAUGUCCAAUUUUAACUGACCAUUUGAUGACAAACCUAUCAUCGAAAUCGCGCCCUCAAUCAAAGGUCGUCCAUGAAAGAACUUACCAACAAGAGUCCUUCUCUUCUUGAAUGGCGUUGAUGUUCGUAGUGCUCUCCAAAAUAGAGACUGAAAAAGAGGGAGAUCAAUCAGUGUGUGGGUAAUUUAUAGAGCCAAUUUUUUAAAGAAAAAAACAUGUUUGUCCCUCUGCCCUUGUUGCGUGUAACUUGCUACACUAGUACAACUUGUGUAACGACCCGGAAAACUAGUAAGUGAAACUAGAGCCUAACGAGUGUGUUUUUGAGUUUGUUGAGGGGUUUGAAGUUGUAGAAUGAUGUCCCGAGCUUAGGUUGAGGAGUUUAGGGGUUAAAAGUCAAGGUACCACCCCCGAAGGACCAACCAGGGGUCCUUGAGGGGGACCCUAAAGCCUAACCCCAAGGUUGCCCCAACUAGCCAAAAGCUAUCAAAAUUUUGGGAGCUACGGAUGGGACCUACGCCCUGUAGGUCCAUCCACGCCCCUUGGAUGGCUUCCGUGGGUCAAGACCCCAAAUGGGAAGUCUCAGACCCAAACCACGUACCUGUAGGACGGGGCGUCACCCCACCUACGGUCCGUAGGUCUAGGGCCGUGAGUCCCACCUGUAAAAGUUGUCAAGCUUGGCCAAGGUAAGAGUUAAAUGGUAAAUUCCUUUUUAGGUUAGUUGAGUUAGGGGACUGUUAUUAUUGAUUGAUUAAAGUAUUUUAAGGCUUUUAAAAGUAUUAAAUACCCUUUUUCAAUUCAUUACUUCAAAAACAGAAAAUAGAAACCUCCCACCCUCUCCAAAUAUUCUCUCUCUAAAAACCAUCAUUGGAGAAGAAGGAGUCAAGCUUUGAAGCUCAAGAUUUCAUAUUUUACUCUCAAUUUUCGUGGAGUUUCUUCCUAAAGGUAUGAUAGUCUGCAUCCUUGAUUAAGUUUCAUUCAAGGAGCCCUAUCAAAAGAUGAUUUUAAGUUUCCAAAAUCCCCCCAAAACCUAGGGUUUUCAAUCUAUGCAUGGGUUCAAUUCCAAAAUGUUUUCAAAGGUUUAUAUAUGAUGAAUUAUGAAUGAAUUGUUGAAUUAAUGAUGAAUUAUGGUGAAUUUCUCGUAUGAACCCAUGUUUUCCCCAAAAUCCUAAGUUGUGAAUUGUGAUUGGGAAUUGAUUGAUCAUGAAAGUAUGUUGAAUUGUUUAUGUUUAUAUUGAAUUAGUUAUUGAAUCAUGUUAAUUCCCUUAUCUAAUGUAUUAUUCUAGAUGUUUGGGUUGAGAUUGAUUCAUAGCCUUGGAGGGCAAUUUCAUGAAGGAUUUAUGUAUGAUUAUGAUGUGAAGUGUAUGCGUGUGAUCUUAAGGAAAGUAUUAUGAUCAUGUUUAGAAUGUAAUUGUGCUAUGAUUGUAAGCAUAUUCUCAAUUAACACUCAUGAAUGAUGAUGAUAGAAUGUGAAGGGUUUCUUCUAUGUAAUGUUGUAUCUUGAAUUGGUAGGCUUAGGCAUCCUCUUCUUGUAUAAUGAAAGUAAUGUGAAUGUUGUAUCUUGAAUUGGUAGGCUUAGGCAUCCUCUUCUUGUGUUAUGAAUGUGUCUUGACUUAAUGAACAUGCAUCAGUAGACCUAAUAUUGGUAGCCCUUCAUGAUGAGUCUAGAAACUAAUGUGAUGAUAAACGUCCUUGAAUCGGUAGACCUAAUAUUGGUGGCCCUUUCAUGUCUGAAAUGAUGAACCUUGAAUCGGUAGACCUAAUGGUUGUGGCCUUUCUUGAGGAUUCAAUGAACUAUCCAUGUAAUGUACCUUGAAUCGGUAGACCUAAUGUUGGUGGCCCUUUCAUGUGUAAUGUACUUUGGGUUGGUAGACCUAAUGUUGGUAGCCCUCUCAAGUACAAUAAUGUUAAUGAAAAUGAACUACUCUAUGGGAAUGGAGGCUAAGCACCGAAUGGAUAUGGUAAGAUGGAAACUCUCCCCAUGUUAGGUUAGGGUUUCAAUGAACAUCUUCCUAUCCCAUAACUAUGUGCCCACAUAGGAUAUUAGCUAGUGGAUCCACCUAAGCUAAAAUGUAUCUAGUUCUACCUUAGGCAAGUAGAACACCUUCCUUCGGUUUGGGGUCAUAUGACAUCGGAUUCCAUGGUUUGCUCUCAUGGUCUAUGUCGGUUAAUGCUUAUUCCCAUCAUGUGAGAUGUGCACUAUGGUUGCUUGAGAAGUUCUAUGAAGUGUGGGUGGUAGUAUGGGAUGUCAUUCAUGCAUUGCACAAGUAGACUUUGAGAGGGCUAUAGUGAGUUCUCUAAUGUCUUAAUGACUAAUGAAUGAAAGUGCUCUUAAUGAAGCUAAUGAAGAAUGUUGACUUAUAUGCUUAAUGAGAUGAUGCAUGCUUUCCUUGGAUGGUAUUAUGAGUUACUUUCCUUUUCAUGACUUAUGAAAAGUUUAUGUUCCUUAUGUAUGAGUAUUCUCUAAAGAUGAAAAGGAAGAAUGGUAAGUUCAGUUUUGGUGGCCUUAAUGUGGUACUCAGUGUGGAUGGUGGUAUGGGACGCUAUUCAUACAUUACACAAAGUAUAGCUUGGGGUUACUUAAGGUGAAAGCUUAAUGUGAUGAAAUGGCUUAUAUGUUGAUUAUGUUCUAAUGUGAUGAAAUGGCUUAUAUGUUGGAUGUGAUUGUAUUUUAUGCCUCUUAUACCUACGUUCAUGAAGUUUUCUCAAAAUUGGCAUAUGCAUGGUUUUCAACCAAAUGUCUAUUUUAAGCAUGGUUUUUGCAUGGCUAUCAUACUUGGUACAUUAAAUGUGCUAACCCACAUUUCUUCUAUUUUUCUACAAAGUGUAGGUUCCAGCAAGUGAGUUGAGUUCUUCCAAGACUAGUGGUAUGUCCUCAUGGAUUCAAGGACAAGUACUUUUGAUGUUUCAUGUCUUUCUUUGUAAUAUACUCUUUUUAGACUUUCUAUUGUAAAGGGCUGUGACCCUACUUUUUAUUCGAAGAUUGUUUUUAGAUGGCCAUAUGAGACUAGUAGACUUCCGCUGUUUUAAUGAUGGUUUUCUAUUGUAUGGAUUUAAAGAAAAGUUUUAAUUUCGUACCAUUUUCCUUUUAUCGAAUGUUAUGAAUGCUAUGAGGCUCUUCGGAAUCUUGUAUGCCGUGUGGCAUCUAGGGGGUACCCCUAGGUCAUGACAACUUGCUGUAGAUAUUACCUUUUUUUUUUAAGUUUUUAAUAAUCUAUUUGUAGACAUUAAAAAAUUGUAUGACUCUAUAAGACAAAUUCUAUUUCAGUUAAGAUUUUUGGAUACUACUUUACUUUAAACCAUAUGUUAUGCCGAUAUAAAGGGUAUUAUAUUCCCUUGAAAAAAACAUCUCGAAUAUUUCACAAAUUCACGGAUUAUUCAUAAAGAGAUAAAAUUCAAAUCAUGCUAGUUCGAGAAAUAUGCCACUAACGGUCCUUGAAUCAUGGAGAGAUUCAAAAUAUCCAAAUCAUCCUUAAUUUGAGAAACACACCACUACGACUCUCAGAUCAUAAAUAAAUCUUAUGAGAGAAGAAUCAAGGGAGGAAUAGGUUAUAAAUAAAAUAUUCACAAUAUUGAUUUAUAAAUAAAUAUUCAUGUUUCUUCUUAUUUUUUCUGUGAUUGCAAUUUAUUUUCUAUCACCUUUAAAGUUUGUUGCAAACAAAUUGGCAUGCCCAAUGGGACCAAAUCUGCCCUUAUCUCUUCUCUCACAAAUCAAAUCUCAAAUCUGAAGUCGCAAAACCUCAAAGGGGAAAGCAUACUUCAAGUCUCGUCUAUGAGUUUCAUCAAAUCUACACUCCGACAAGCCUUCAAGAAGGGGACAUUUGUAGACAUUGAAAAUUUGUAGGACUUUACAAGACGAAUUCUAUUGUAGUUAAGGUUCUUAGAGGCUACUCUACUCUAAAUCAUACCUUAUGCCUAUAUAAAGGGUAUUAUAUUCUCUUGCAAGGGCAUCUCAAAUAUUUUGCAAAUCCACGAAAUAUUCAUAAAGAGAUCAAAUUCAAAUCAUCCUAGUUCGAGAAAUACACUACUAAAGGCCCUCGAAUUAUGGAGAAAUUCAAAUUAUCUUUAAUCGAGAAAUGCACCACUACGACCCUCGAAUCAUGAUAAAUCUUAUGAAAGAAGAAUCAAUGGAGGAACAGAUUAGUACCCAUAUUGAUUUAUCAAUAAAAUAAUCAUGUUUGUUCAUAUUUUGUGUGAUUGUAAUUUAUUUUCUAUCUCCUUUAAAAUUUGUUGCAUACGCAAGUGUACGUAGUCGCAAAAAUAAUACAAUGGAUCUUUAAGAAUCGGUUUGUCGAACCCAAAGGACUUAUGAUCAAAUUAUAUUCAAUUCAACUAAAUCCAUAAGUUAAAGACAGCGUUUUCAUGAAACUCAUCUUUUCUAUCUAUACUACGACUGCAAAAAAUUAAAGCUCAAAAUUAACUAAGAAUGAACAACUUCAAUUUUUGUGUUUAAACAAUAUAGUCCUAGUUCUAGUGCUGCAACAUGUUAGGAAUUCAUGUAUCACAUCUCUUUCAUGAUUACUUACGGUCAUCAAAUUACUGAUUUAUAGGGUCGAUAUUAUGAUCAUGAUCUCUAAUUACCUACCUUAGUUGAAUACCUAACUACAUCUAUGAUUGGGUAUAGGCAAACUCAACCAUGGAGCAUUUAUUUUUCAUCCUAUCUCUAAACCAAGCACGAUGUUCAUUCGGGUGUUAAUCCUAAACAUGAAUCUAAACAAGUGGUAUGCAAGAAUGAUCACACUCUCUGUAUUAUUUGGUCUAUCUACAUAUUCAUCUCUCGAGUUCAAGAAUAGACAAUAAAUGUAUCUCAAUGAUGGUCAAUCAUGAAAUACUAAAACAAGAAUACAAGAGUAAUAUUUAUGAUAUAAUUUUUAUGAUAAACAAAUUAAUCCAUAGAAAUCGAUGUUCAACAAUAAGUCAUGGCUACAGUCUCAGAACAAAGGUUUUGAGCCACUCAUCAUAUCAUAUCAUAUCAUCAUCUUCAUCAUCAUCAUCAUUAUAUCUAAUUAACAGUGGGAAGAAUCUAAGUCAAAAGGUGAAUUACAAAAAUACCCUUUAUCGACUAAUUUAUUUUCUUAAAAUCAUUUUAAAAAGGGAAAAUGCACAAGUACCCCCCUCAACUAUACACGAAAUCCCAACAACACACCUUAAUGAUACAUGAGAUCUAUUACUCCCCCUGAAUUAUUUUAAAGUGUAAUAAACGCACCCUUUCGUGCUGAGGUGGCACAGAGAGUGUGUUCACUCUCUUAGAGGCAUGUGAGACACGGAAAAAGGUAUUAAAAUUUGAUUAAUAUGGACAUGUGUUCAAUUUUUGUCACGCCCCGAGCUACCCCCAAGACGUCGACACGGGACCUAGGAUCACAAGUGACCCCAAGCUAACCCUGCUGGCAUAAUCAUUAGCAUACUAAGAUAAAUUGAGAAAGAAAACUGAUGCGGAAGCUAAUCAUAAAUAAAUCUGAAAUGAUAGGGAAUACCCAUAUACUGAAAAUGAUAAUCAAAUAUGAGAGUUUAAUACAAAAGAAAUAUCCAACUCAAAUACUAAGUUGAAUCUAACUAUGUCUGAAAAUAGCCUCUAACUGACUAGAAGUGCUGGGACAUGCCCCGGCUAAGUCUAGCAAAACUGAAACUAAAACAAUGAAAUCUGAAAGAUAACAUAACUAUUGUCCUCGAAGAAUAAGGACUCACCACUGAUGCUGUUGAACUGGAGAUCAGGAACCGAUCUAAGCGUGAUCUGGAUGCCGAGAAUUUGAACCUACAUCACAAGAAGAUGUAGCGCAGAGUAUGCGUCAGUACUUGAAAGGUGCUAAGCAUGCAGGAUAGAGUAAAGCUGAAAUAAACAUAUAACUGAACAAGAAAUGAAGCAAAAGUAUAAUCUAAACAUGAUAUAGAUGCUGAAUACUGAGCUAACAAAAUGCAAUGACCAAAUUUAGACAUGGUGAUGUUGAAUACUAAUUAUACUGAAAUGUGGUCAGUGUAAUGGUAUCUAACUGAAUUGUGGGAGCUACUAAUAACCGAUAAUAAAACCACAUGAGCUAAAUAUGGAGUCUAAUGUAUACGCCCCAUUGAGAGGACCCAAUACACCCGGCCAAAGGUGUAGAGGCAUGCUGGCGUGAUCACUAAAAUGAUGCCCACAUAGGGGACUUAUAACCUACGUGGCUCAUAGUUUUGGGACUAUAUAGGUGACUGACCCUAGUCCAAUUCGGUAUUCUUCUACUCCCAAUAGAUUAAAUGAUUAACACAUUAUGACUGAAUUUCUGUAAUAUACUAGAUAGCUCAAAACUAACAUGAAAAUUGAGAAUGCAUAUUAAUAUACUGAAUAUGACACAUUCAAGACUGAGGCAAGUAUAUCUGAAAUACUAAAAUAAUCUGACCUAGCAUGUGUAAUUCAAGAACUAAAGAAAAUGCAUCGCUAGGGUUCUGAAAUUCAUGCAAGAAAUGAAGUAAUAACAUGAUAAUCUGAUUUGGAACAUGUAAAAUAACUACUUCAUGAUAAUCUGCUGAAGUUCUAGAAACCCUAGGUUUAGUUGAUAAUAGGGAAUCAAGAAUCUGACUGAAUAUAGGGACCUAAUGGGCGAAAGGAACCCACUAGUGAAAUCCCACAUACCUGGUGCCCAUUUCACGGAGAAAUCUUUCGAUUUCGGGGCUGGAACUGAUGGAAUCUUGUUGCGUUCUUGAACUAGGGUUCUUGACCUCUUUUUCUCCUCUUAUGCUCUAAUUUUUCUAAGUUUGAUUAAUGAUUUGACUUAGUUAAGUUCUAGUUAUGUUUCUAGGCUUAAACUGACUAAAACCUCAUAAUUUAGGGUUUAAACAACGUAGUUUAGGGGUCAAACGAAUAAGGAAAAGACCAAAAGACCCCUGACUUAACUGUUGUCGGAGUAACUGACGGACGGGACUAACGGACCGUCGAUCGACUGAUGGUCCGUGCUGGUCAUCCAUCGAUCAGUACUAGAGGCUAAAAUUUGGGGAUCUGACCUACGACCCUGGACCACGGGUCGUGGUCUGACCUACGGUCCGUAGGUCCUGGCGUGGGUCUACCCUUAGCCAAAUUUUUGGGCUGAGUUCUGGGGAAGGUUUUAAGUGUGAACCACGGAUAACCAGCACGGGCCGUGGGUCACCCUACGGUCCAUGAGUGGCGACCGUGAAUCGUACCUGCAACUUCUAGAAAACUGUUUUGAGGUCCAUUACCAGAUAUGGGGUGUUACAUUAUAUCCCACUUGGAAACAUUCGUUCUCGAAUGAAGACUAAACUAGCUGAAAUGUAGCGGAUGAGCUGCAACCCUACCACUAAACACUGGAAGCUGAUUUUUCUAACUGAACUAAGUUCCAAAAACAUGCAAAUACGUUGAAAAUGCAAGUACAAACUGAAGGAACAUGAUACUAAGACUGAUUAUAUGCAUGAAUGACGGAAAAACUGAAGAGGAACUAUUAGCUCAAGCUGGAGUGGAAUUAGAAGGAACAAGGUGAGUAUACUUGGACUUCAUGCCUGCUUCUGCUUCCCAAGUAGCUCCCUCUACGGAUUGACUCCUCCACCAAACCUUGACUGAAGCGACUUUUUUGAUUCUCAACCUUCUAACCUGACGAUCAAGAAUCUCAACUAGUACAUCAUCAUAAGAAAGACUAUGUUUCACAACCACACUCUCUAAUGGCAUUACAGAUGCUGGAUCACCCACACACUUCUUCAAUAGUGAAACGUGGAAGACUGGAUGUAUUGUUGCUAAAUCUGUUGGCAACUCUGACUCAUAAGCCACUUUACCAAUCCUUUUCAAGAUCCGGUAAGGGCCUAUAUAUCUGGGACUGGGCUUUCCUUUCUGAUCAAAUCUCAUCACCCCUUUCAUAGGUGACACUUUCAAGAAAACCCAAUCAUCAACUUGGAACUCUAGUUCCCUUCUCCUUACAUCUGCAUAAGACUUCUGGCGACUCUGGGCUGUCUUAAGUCUAUCUCUAAUGAGUUGCACUUUCUCCGUAGAAUCAAGAACCGAAUCUGGCCCUAUCAAGGUUGCUUCACCUACUUCAAACCAACCAACAUGAGAUCUACAUCUACGCCUAUGCAAAGCCUCAUAAGGGCCCAUCUGAAUACUGGAAUGGUAGCUAUUAUUAUAGGCGAACUAUAUAAGAAGAAGGUGAUCGUCCCAACUACCCUUAAAUUCGAUCACACAAGCUCUCAACAUGUCCUCUAAGGUCUGAAUGGUACGCUCUACCUGACCAUCCGCCUGUGGAUGAAAUGUUAUGCUAAGAUUAACCUGAGUACCAAGACCUUUUUGAAAUGACUUCCAUAAAUGAGAGGUAAAUUGAGGACCUCUAUCUAAGAUGAUAGACAAAGGAACCCCAUGCAACCUGACUAUCUCAUUAAUUUAAAGCUUGGUGUAGUCCUCUCCCGAAUCUGUAGUCUUGACCGCCAAAAAGUGAGAAAACUUAGUGACUCUAUCAACUACCACCCAAAUGGAGUCAUGUUGUCUGCGAGUACGAGGUAAACCUGUGAUGAAAUCCAUGUUUAUCACUUCCCACUUCCAAGUAGGAAUUUCGAUCUCUUAAUUCAUACCCCCUGGUUUCUCAUGUUCUACCUUCACUUGCUGGCAAUUAGGGCACUUAGCCACAAAAUCUGCUAUAUCCCUCUUCAUGCCAUUCCACCAAAAGACUUACCACAGAUUACUGUACAUCUUAGUGGCGCCUGGAUGAAUAGAAUACUUGGAGUUAUGGGCUUCUGCAAGAAUCUACUGUCUCAACUCACCCACAUUAGGAACACAUAGUCGACCCUGAUAGCGAAGCAUACCAUAUCCCCCUUGGGAGAAUACCUCUACUCUCUGUUGAUGGACUGCACCCUUGAGUUCGAGCAAUAUCGAAUCACUGUCUUGCUACUCCUUAACCUCCACUACCAAUGAAGAUUCUGAUCCAUUUUGAACUGUCACACCACCAUCUGAUAUGCUCAUAAGACGAACUCCAAAACGAGCAAGCAUGUGAACAUCCUUUGCUAGCACUUUUUUUUCUUCCUCAACAUGUGCUACACUACCAAUAGAUAGUCUGCUAAGGGCAUCUGCUACUACAUUUGCCUUACCUGGAUGGUAAUGCACACUGAUGUCAUAAUCCUUGAGGAACUCAAGUCAUCUCCUCUGGCAAAGAUUCAACUCUUUCUCGGUGAACACAUACUGAAGGCUCUUAUGGUCUGUGAACACAUCUACAUGCACACCAUACAAGUAGUGUCUCCAAAUCUUGAGUGCAAACACCACCAUGCAAGCUCGCGGUCAUGAGUCAGAUAAUUCUUCUCAUGCACCUUAAGUUGUCUAGAAGCAUAGGCUAUAACCUUACCUCGCUGCAUUAACACACAGCCUAGGCCGACUUUGGAUGCAUCAUAAUAUAUAACAUAACCAUCUGAACCCUCUGGUAGAGUCAAAACAGGAGUUGUAUUCAACCUGGUUUUCAGUUCUGCGAAGGUUUUCUCACAAUCAUCUGACCACUGAAACUUGACCAUCUUCUUAGUCAACCUAGUCAAUGGUGAGGCUAUGGAUGAAAAUCCUUCCACGAACCUUCUGUAGUAACCCGCUAGACCUAAGAAACUUCUGAUAUCUAUAGGAGAGGUAGGUCUAGGUCAUUGUUUCACUGCUUUUAUUUUCUGGGAAUCCCCUCGAAUCCCUUCGCUAGAUACUAUAUGCCCAAGGAAAGAAACUGACUGCAGCCAAAACUCACACUUGCUAAACUUAGCAAAUAACUGGCGAUCUUUGAGAGUUUGCAGAACAACUCUCAAAUGACUCGCAUGUUCCUCCUCAUUCCUAGAGUAAAUGAGGAUAUCAUCAAUAAAGACGAUAACGAACAAGUCCAAGUACUGCUUGAACACUCUGUUCAUCAAGUCCAUAAAAGCUGCAGGAGCAUUGGUUAGUCCAAAUGACAUUACUACAAAUUUCAUAAUGACCAUACCGAGUUUCUGAAAGGCCGUUUUUUAGAAUGUCACUAUCUCUGACUUUUGAGUUUGAUGAUAACCCGAUCUGAGGUCUAUCUUUUGAGAAAUGACUAGCACCCUGAAUUGGUCAAACAAGUCAUCAAUCCUGGGUAUGAGAUACUUAUUCUUGAUUGUGACCUUGUUCAACUGCCUAUAUUCAAUGCACAUUCUGAGAGAACCAUCUUUCUUCUUCACGAACUCUUUCGGUGUACCCCAUGACGAAAUACUAGGUCUGAUGAAACCCUUAUCUAGAAGGUCUUUCAACUUCUCUUUCAAUUUCUUAAGCUCAGCUGGAGCCAUUCUGUAAGGAGGAAUAGAAAUAGCUUGGGUAUCUGCAAGGAGAUCAAUUCUAAAGUCAAUUUCCCUAUCAGGAGGAAUUCUGGGAAGAUCUUCUAGAAACACUUCUGGAAACUCAUUAACCACAGGAACUGACUCAAGAGUUGGGGUUUUGGAGUUUGAAUCCCUAACCCGAACUAGAUGAUAAAGAUAACCCUUAGAGAUCAUCUUUCUGGCCUUAAGGUAAGAAAUGAAUCGACCCAUAGACGCUAAGCUACUACCCUUCCAUUCUAAGAUUGGUUCGUCUGGAAACUGAAAAAGAACAAUCCUAGUUCUACAAUCGACUGAGGCAUAACAAGAAUGUAACCAAUCUAUGCUAGAAUGACAUUGAAGUCUACCAUUUCUAACUCUACAAGAUCUGUUGAGGUGACUUUCUGAGAGACUGUGACGGGGCAAUUGUUGUGUACCCAUUUAGCUAUAACCGGAUCACCGACUGGAAUAGAGACUGAGAAGGGUUCUGAGAGAGUUUCUAGACUAACAUCAAACUUAACUAGCUAUAUAAGGAGUUACAAAGGAAGAGUAGCCCCUGGAUCUAACAAACCAUAAACAUCGAGAUCAAAGACUCGUAACGUACCAGUGACUACAUCAGGAGAAUCUUCCUGAUCCUGGUGAGCCUAGAGAGCAUAGAGUCUGCUCUGGCGCUGUCUGUCACCUGUACUAGAUGAGUUACCCUGCUGAGUUGGGCGACUUGCUAGUGCUUCUGAAGUUGUAGAUUGGGCUCGAUUAGCAUUGCCUUCUUGACCCUGUUUAGAAGGACAAUCCCUCAACUUGUGACCAGACUGACGACACCCAAAUCAUCAUUCCUUUCCUUCAAGGCACUCGGCCGGAUGGUUCUUACCACACUUAGGGAAAGUUGGGUAGGUUUUGGUUCCUGAAACACUUCCCUGAGACUUAGAACUUAAUGCCCUACUUUUUUGAUCUUGUCUGAACUUGGAGGAUGGAACACUAGCUGAUGAAGGUGCUAGAGCUGAAAAGUUCUGCUGACCCUGCGAGCGAUUUCCACCAUAUGAUUUCUGUUGAGAAUACUCACAGUUUCCAGUCCUUGCCUUCUUGUUCUCCUUAGCCUGUUUCUUAAGCUUAUCACCCUCAACCUGUUGAGCAUGAGUCAUGAGCCUAGAAAUGCUCAUAUUUUCCAGCAACAUAGCAUUUCUACACUUUGUCUUCACCAAGUCUGACACUCUAUAUGAGAACUUAUUCAUCUGAGCCCUGGAAUCAGCAACCAUGUGAGGAACAUACUUGGAAAGUUGGGUAAAAUUGAGCCCGUACUCUUGGACUGUUAUGCUACCUUGUCUCAAGUUCAUAAAUUCCUGAGCUUUUGCAUCCGUUAGCUCUCUUGGGAAAACCUGUCCAGAAAGGUCUCACUAAAGCAAUCCCAAGUGAUAGGAGUUGCAUAUGUACCCCUGUUCUCUUUCCACUAAGUAUACCAGAUAUGGGCCACAUCCUUAAGUUGGUAAGAUGCUAACUCAACCCGAUCAUUCCCAGUUACUUGCAUCACAUCAAAAAUCUUCUUGACCUCAUCAAUGAAGUUUUGGGGAUCCUCACCAAUCUGCGAUCCUAAGAACUCUAGCGGAUUCAUCCUAGCCAAAUCUCGCACUCUAGCUGCAGCUGACCCAACAUUUGCAUCUGCCAAAACUGGAACCCACUAAUUGUUCUGGUUGGCAAGGCUCUAAGACAACAUCUGAAUGGCGUUCCGGAACUCUGUAUUCAAAACUUCUUGAUCUGGGACUGGAGGAGCUGCGUUUGCGUUCCUGGCAUUCGCAUUCCUGGCAUUAGCUUUAUGAGGAGGCAUGAUUUGAAACGUAAAACGUUGAGUUAGAACAAAAUUAGAUCAUAUCUUACGCACGAUAAGAGUAACAAGAAAAUGAUGAUUUUUUCCUAAAAACACUCGAUAGCGUCCCUCUCAUUAGAUGUGGUGCGCACUACACACCCAUGAAAAAGACUCUACCUAGUGCGGCUUUUAAGACAUCCUUAGACACUUAAACCUGGCUCUGAUACCAAGUUAGUUUGUCACACCCCGAGCUACCCUGAGACGCGGACACGGGACCUAGGAGCAAAAGUGACACCAAGCAAACCCUGUUCGCAUAGUUAUGAGCAUACUAAAGAUAAACUGAGAAAGAAAACUGAUGCAGAAGCUAAUCAUAAAUAAAUCUAAAAUGAUGGGGAAUACCCAUAUACCAAAACUGAAUAUCAAAUUUGAGAGUUUAACACAAAAGAAAAAUCAAAUUCAAAUACUAAGCUGAAUCUAACUAUGUCUGAAAAUAGCCUCUAAUGGACUAGAAGUGCUGAGACAUGCCCCAACUAAGUCUAGCAAAACUAAAACUAAAACAAUGAAAUCUGAAAGAUAACAUGACUAUUGUCCUCGAAGAAUGAGGACUCACCACUGAUGCUGCUGAACUGGAGAUCGGGAAUCGAUCUAAGCAUGAUCUGGAUGCUGAGAAACUGAACCUACAUCACAAGAAGAUGUAGCACAGAGUAUGCGUCAGUACUUGAAAGGUAUUGAGCAUGCAUGAUAGAGUAAAGCUGAAAUAAACAUAUAAUUGAACAAGCAAUGAAGCAAGAGUAUAAUCUGAACAUGCUAUAGAUGUUGAAUACUGAGAUAACAAAAUGCAAUGACCAAACUUAGACAUGCUGAUGUUGAAUACUGAUUAUACUGAAAUGUGGUUAGUGCAUUGGAGUCUGACUGAAUUGUGAGAGCUACUAAUAACCGAUAAUAAAACCACAUGACCUAAAUGUCGAGUCCGAUGUAUACGCCCCAUCGAGAGGACUCAAUACACCCGGCCAAAGGUGUAGAGGCAUGCUGGCAUGAUCACUAAAAUGAUCCCCACAGAGGGGACUUACUGUUGACACCCAAUUUUGAUCUAACAUUUUCAAAAUUCGUAACUUUUAAGUUUUAUUUAUUUAAUUGUUCAAAAUACAUUUUUUAUAAUUUUAAAUAAGUUUAUCGAUAGCUAUCUUUAUUUGUCAAAAUUUAGGAUUUUUAUCAGUUAAUUUUAAUUACAUUAUUUUUUGUCACAGUCGGUUGAAUACGCUCAAAUAUUUGUUCAUUUUGAUUAAAUCGUUAUAUCUGUUAAGUUGCACAUUUUACAUGUCAUUAGUUACGUUCAUUACUUUUUUUUAAUAUUCAUUUUUAUUCGUUACAUUUGCUAAUAUUAAUUUUGAUAUUUUUCUACAGUCUAGAAAUUCAUUCAAAUAUAAAUAAGAUUUCAUUCAGCCCAUGGUUUUAAGAUAAUAGUAUCGUACUAUUGGUAGUUUUCGAUUUUCUAUAUAAACAAUAGCUUAUUCAUUAAGUCAAGGGGGUGGAUAAUAUUUUAGAAUAAGUGGUGAAUAAUUCCAAAAUGAGUGAAACCCUAAGAGAUUUUUCUAUCAUCUUCUCAAAGCUGCUGCCACCCUCCUUCCUUAUCACUACCCAAACUCCAUUUACGGCCAGCUUCAACCAGCAAAAAAAAAACCCAUCCCUUUUCCGAUAUACAAAGCACUGGAGCAGUAAACUUCAACAACCAGUGAACCUACUCUACCAAACCAUCCAAACACUGCCUCUGCUCCCUUUUUCCGGCGAAAACCCAAACAACACAAAUACAAAAUCCCUCCCUGGUUCUGUUCGUUUCUUCCUCAACAGCUCCAGCGAGGAGCUUUUAACUUCGAUGAACUAGAGCGAAAGCAAUUAAUGGUGAGCUCGGAGUUCGAAGCUCGAAGAUAGAGAAACAAAAACCCUAUUCAUUUCCCUCUUUUUUCGGUGAGACUCAGACUAACCAGGGAACUACCAAGCAACUCUUCUCGCUGUCAUCUCUCUCGUAAGAAACAAACCCUAAACCCUCUUCGUUUUUCACUUUUUCCAGUGAAAAGUCAUCGGAAACGACCCCUAAAGCCAACCUAAAUGACUCCAUUUUUCUAUUAAUUAUUUCUCCGACUAGAACCAACCAACAAUAGUAAGCAAAUCCCACCAGAGUUUAACCCACAUUACGAGACCCCGACUUGAAUCAGUGAGAAUCGCCCCCUUUCCCCUUUCCCAUUUUUUGGUUUUUGAUUUUUUCUUUCAAGUUUCCAGCGAAGAGCUCAGAGCUCCGAGCUCUAGAACACCUCCAUCGAUGCUACCAGCGAGAAACCACCCAAGUUUCAACUCCAGCACAACUGGAAAUUCCAAUCACCAACAACUCCAGAUCUACCGGAAAAUGUUCUCAUCAAGUGACAAUUCAUUUUUUUUUACAUUACAUAUGUGCAUAUAUAAUUUUACUCGUUUGGUUGAGUUUCUGUUGCUACUCUAUUUUUGUCUGUAUUUAUUUUAUCAUUUCCUUAUUUUGCUUUUUGAUUAUUUUUGUUAGUGUCUAGUGGUGUGCUAGUGUUCAUUUCGUUCCCUUGUUGUUGACUUAUUUAUUUUUCAUGUUGUUGCUUUUGAUGCAUAAUUUUUUAUUCUUUCGGAUAUUUGUUAUAUUUUGGUGACAACAACUCAAUUGCUCUUAUUUUAAUUUUCUGUUAUUUGGGUAAUAGUCCAUGUGAAUUUAUUUUAUUUUAUUGAUUUACUUUACUUUACUGACUAUUUAAACUUUACUAUAGUACUACUACAUUUUCAUUUAUUGUUAAUUGUUGUUGCUCAUUAAUUAAUUCAAGAAUUGCUUUUAUAUAUUGUAGUUAGUUUAUUUGCUUGUUAAAUUAUUUGUUUAUUAUAGUUGUAUAUUGUUUUUAUCUCCUCAAUUUGAAAACAUGAACUCAGUCAGAACCCACAAUUGUGGAUUUCAAAGGAUGCCUAACUCCUUUCCUUCGGAAUAACUUGAACCCCUUACCUAGAAUCUAAAGGUUUCGUAGAUUAUUUAAUUGAUUUUCUAGUUUUUCCUAAAAUUAGGUGGCGACUCUUUUAAAAACUCUUUUUUUCUUGAAAUUCUUUUAAAAUUUAAUUAAUUAAUUAUUUUUUGAGUCACCAUGACGUUGCACCCUCUCAAGGGAUGUGAACAGACUGGGGGCAUAGAGGUUCAAACCAUUAUGAGCUCAUUUUUUCAAAUUGAAGAGACUUUUCUUUUGUGUUAUAUCUUGUAUGUUGUAUAUUUUGUUGAUUAUUUGUAUAUUGUACUUGUGGAUUAUUCAUUAUUUUUUUUAAUUAUAUGUAAACUGUCAUUGCAUUCAUGACAUUUCCCAUUGUAUAUAUAGUAUAUUAGGAACGGUUUCUGCAUAAUUUCAGCCGGACUUUUUAUACUCGACUCUUUUUUGGAAUGAUCGGCAAUUUAUUUGUACGUCAGGCAUCUAAUGGUUGUCGUGAAUUCCAGCCUAAGUUGUCCGCUUGGGUUCCCGGUCUUUUCGAAGCCACUCUUAGUCAACUAGUGUAGAGCGAAACCAAUCCCAAAUUUAGCGCAUUUUGAACUAAGUCGACCCAAUAUCCAAGACGUGUUUGGCCCAUUAGAAGCCCACCUUGUGUCUAUUUGGCCCAUUGGUCAACAAAAGACAAUCAUGUGUAUGUGUUUAAAUUUGAAGGAUGUAUACGUCAGUUGGUAAAACAUUGUCUCUUGGGAUUGACAGUUUAAGAGUUUGUUCGAGUCAAAGAAGAUCAAAUUACUAUUGCAUCUAAAGACGUUGACAUUUAGAGAUGGCAAGAAGUUCAAGAACAAAGGAUUGUACCCAUGUGUGGGAUCGUUUAUUUGUAUCCCUUUUCCCUAGUAUGUAUCCCCAUUCAAUUUAUUUACAAAUCUUGUAUAAAUUUUAAUUUUGGGGGGCCAAUGGAAUGUUUCAAAUGACGUAAUACAUCCUUCAGAUCGGCAAGCCUACCCUUGGCACAAAAGGGUCACAUAUUUGUAUAGGACACGUAAUAAAUAUUUGUAUGUUAUGUGUUAUAAUUGAGUUUGUCUUCAAUCAAAGUAGUGCUUAUGUGUUUACUUAAUUCUUUUUGUGAUAUUUUGCAUUAUUUAUUAUGAACCCGAACUAACAUUUUUACUUUUUGAGUAUUUCUUUUUUUUAAAGAGAAAGGUUGAUUUAUGUCAGAAUUUGGAAGUCAUAGUUCGUUCGAAGUUGCAAGGCACAAGAGGACUCACGAAAUUUGAGUCAUUGUAUUUCACAAGACAUUAAUAUCAAAUCAAAAAGAUAAAUCAGGGGAGUCUUUGACUAUAAGGUCGCACUUAAUUAUUUUUUAUUUUUUUGCAUGCUGGCCUUGCUUUCACACAUUUCUCAUAUUUUUGCAGGAAAACCAUCUUCGACGACAGUCGAGGAUGGCAUAUCGAUGUCUGGUUCUCGGGGAUAAUUAGGAGAAGACACAGUUCUAAGAGACAUUAAAAAAAAAGAAUACAACAGGUGGUUACUAUAAGAAAAUUGAGAGACCACAUUCAACAGACAGUACAAAGAUCGAUAGUUAAGAGGAUACAAUGAAUCACUCCGAUUUUGUCAAAAUUUGAAAUUAUUUUAUGCCAUAUCUGAACGAAGUACGCGAACCUGAUUCUCAUCUCGGUGAGAUACGCAGGCAACCCUUCUUGGGUUCGGUAUCCAUUUUUUCAAAUUUCAAAAAUAAAAAGUUAAAUAGUUGUGCAUAUUUUCAAAGUCAUAUCUUCAUGAACAACGCGAACCUGAUUCUCAUCCCGGUGAGAUACGUAGGCAACCCUUCUCGGGUUCGGUAUUCAUUCUUUCAAAAUUUUGAAGAUAAAAAAAAUAAAAAAUUGUGCAUAUUUUCAAUGACAUAUCUGAACAAACUACGCGAACCUGAUUCUCAUCCUGGUGAGAUACGUAGGCAACCCUUCUUGGGUUCGGUAUUCAUUCUUUCAAAAUUUUGAAAAUAAAGUUUAAAUAAAAAAGAAAAGUUUGUGCAUAUUUUCAUUGACAUAUCUGAACGAACUAUGUGAACCUGAUUCUCAUCUCGGUGAGAUAUGUAGGCAGCCCUUCUUGGGUUCGGUAUCCAUUUUUUCAAAUUUUAAAAGAAAAGUAAAAUAAUUUGUGCAUAUUUUCAAACAUACCUGCAUGAACUACGCACACAUGAUUCUCAUCUCGAUGAGAUACGUAGGCAGCCCUUCUCGGAUUCAAUAUUCUUUCUUUAAAAAAAAUAUUGUGUACAUAUUAUAAGAGUUAUGCCUUCAGCUCAAAUGGGACCAAUGCAGUUAGGAGCAUGUAAAAAUAUGUGAUAUGAUGGAGAGGGCUGACUUUGUGGUAAACUAUAGACUCUUUUGGUACCUCUCAUUUGUACUUUUGUGAUGCUUGAAAUUCUCUUGCGGGCAUUCAAGAUAAGAAUAAAACUAACCUCAUGGUUUCAUGUGCAUUAUGUGGUGAGCUUUUAGAUAAAAAAUCAAUUACAUCGCACUGUUGAUCUAUAACUUGGCUUGAAUGUUUAUUGAGGCGAAAUCCUGAGUUAUGUUUUGUUUUGGAAAGGAUUGUAGGCAUUCUUUGACCCGAUUGUGCCUUUCAAAACCUACCAAAUGACAUUAAUCCCUAGUUUUCCCACUUUGAGCCUAAAACCUUUUCUUUGGAGAACCACAUCUUAGUCAUUACCCUUUGAGUGCUUGUAAUGCACUAUUCCUGUCUUGGCCCAACCUUCUUGAGUGUACCAAGGAUGUGCAAAUUAUAAGAGAAGAUCCAUAUGUGGAGUUGCCUUUCAAGAUAUCAAUUCUCCCAAAGUCAAGGAAAUAAAAAAUGACUUCUAGAGAAAGAGUAAAAAAGAAAGAACGAAAAAAAAGCUCCAACAAAUGAGAAUUCAAAAGAAGUAGAAAAAAUGGGGGACAAUGAAGAGGAUCAGACGCCAAAGGUGUAUCAAUCAUCAAAAGCACAAAUUCAUUGUGACGCUCAAGAAAGAACUAAGUCACUCUUAUCCCAAAUAUAUAUUCUACCUGUCCCUAAGCCUAUAUUAUAAGUCAAUGACAAGCCCUACAUGAUCUUAUUCCAAAUGUUCUCACAUUAGUGGAGAUUUAUAUAAGGGCCAAGCAUAUGGUAUCACAGUUGCAUGGGUUAAACAUUCUUGCGAGUGUGAGUGUACUUUUGAAAAAUGUCCUCAAAUCAAACGCUUCAAAUAUGUGUGAAAUAAGACUUUUCUUUUUGUGAGGGCACUUGAAACAGGGGGAUUGGUAUAAUUCAAAACCUCUGUUUGAAGCAAGAUGAACAAAUCUUUUUAAUCCUUAAGUAUGUUUGAGGUACCACUUGAAGCUGUAGGAAUUACCUUGAAUUCAAUCUUAGUUAGAAAAGAAAAAAAAAAGAAAAAAAAAGAGAGAUUUACAUGUGAUCCUAAUUCUUGGUACCAAUUGUAGUCAAGACUUGACUAUCUCUUCACAUUCUUUAUUUUAUGGAGAGAGAAAAAAGAGGUGAGCAAGCACCCACCCUUUAAUAUUUUUCAAAACAUAUUUCUUUUAAUUCUUUCCUUAAAAAAAAAGAAUUUUCAUUUCCUUUUUGGUUUGUUCACAGUAAAACGUGACAGUAGGCUAGUCAUGUUAUUGUGAGACCCCUAUUUUACUUCAUUGGGUCAUUCGUCCCAAAAUAUGUGACAUGUCUAUUGUCUUUAGACUUUGAAUAUCGCAAGGAAUAUCAUUUUUCGAUUUCAUCAUGUUCAUAUUGUACAUUUUCUACUGAUGAACUUGUCUCAGAUUCUUUGCAGUAUUCAUCAUUUACAGGAUUGGAACUACAUUUGACCUGAUUCCUUGCUCAACAGGAUAUGUAGGCACCACAACGGCUCAGUCAUAUACCCAGUGUGAUUUUCUUUCUCCUUGUGCUAAAAACUAGGACAAAAUUUUUGAGAUCUUAGAUCUGAAAAAUUAACAAUAAAGAUGCUAUCUCCAUCAAGUCAAGAAUGGAGCUCAUUUUGUGAUUUGCCAAGAGUUCUAACUGGGACAUAAUUUUUGAGAAAGACCUCAAAAAUUCCAAUAAGUACUAUCAAAAGUUUGGUACUCAACUUCAAAUGAUCCAACAUUGCUUGAAGUUCAAAGUCAACUUGCAAAUCUCCAGCAUUGUCAUGGCGAGCCAACAGCUCCUCGUACAAAUCCCCAAUAAGACAUGAGUUACAAUAAACACAAAAUGGUCAAGAGUAAAAUGUUGGUUGCUCACAUAUGUCAAAGUGAUCAGGAAUUUUGUACACAUUCUCUUUUAAAGAAUUUUUUCUCAGGUUUCUUGACUAAGUCGCUAGCUAAGGCGACAUUGUGUCUACUAAUUGUUUCUUUUCAAGUACAGGUUUGAGGCGAUGACACUUACAAGACAAUCAUCGAGCCAUCCACCUCGUUACAGUUGGACAAUCAUCGAGUCAUCCACCUCGUUACAAUUGGACUAUCAUCGAGUCAACCACCUCGUUACAGUGGACAAUCAUCGAGCCAUCCACCCCAUUACAGUGGAAAAUCAUUGGGUCAUCCAUCAUUUGCAUUUUUCAAAGUAUUUUUAUUUGCCAAGAGGGCCAUUGCAUUUUCAUUUGCCGAGAAGGCCAUUGCAUUUAAGUCAUAUCUAUUCGGAGGUGAAGGACAUGUUCAAGUCGGAGGAAAGUAUUGAAAGAUAUUUACAUCUAAGUCGCAUCUAUUCGGAGGUGAAGGAUGUUUACUCUAUCUAAUCCAUGAUCAAGUCGGAGAAGACUUGCAUUGAAAGAUAUUUGCAUUUAAGUCACAUCUAUUCGGAGGUGAAGGAUGUACACCCUAUCUAUUCCAUGUUCAAGUCGGAGGAGACAUGCGUUUAAAUAUAUUUGCAUUUAAGUCGCAUCUAUUCAGAGGUGAAGGAUGUGCACAGUCUAGAAAUUCAUUCAAAUGUAAAAUAAGAUUUCAUUCAGCCCAUGGUUUUAAGAUAAUGGUAUCGUACUAUAGGUAGUUUUUGAUUUUCUAUAUAAACAAUAGCUUAUUCAUUAAGUCAAGGGGGUGGAUAAUAUUUUAGAUUCAGUGGUGAAAAAUUCCAAAAUCAGUAAAACCCUAAGAGAUUUUUUUGUCAUCUUCUCAAAGCUACCACCACCCUCCUUCCUCAUCACUACCCAAACUCCAUUUCCAGCCAGCUUCAACCAGCAAAUAAACCCCAUCCCUUUUCCGAUAUACAAAUUAAGCACUAGAGCAGUAAACUUCAACAACCAGUGAACCCACUCCACCAAACCAUCCAAACACUGCCUCUGCUCCCUUUUUCCAGCGAAAACCCAAACAACACAAAUACAAAAUCCCUCCCUAGUUUUGUUCGUUUCUUCUUCAACAGCUCCGGCGAGGGCCUUUUAGCUCUGAUAGAUUGGAGCGAAAGCAAUUAAUGGUGAGCUCGAAGCUCGAGUAACGAAAACCCCAUUCAUUUCCCUUUUUUUCGGGCGAGAAUCUCACCAACCAGAGAACCACCAAGCAGCUCUUCUCGCUGUCAUCUCCCUCGCAAGAAACAAACCCUAAACCCUCUUCGUUUUUCACUUUUUUCGGUGAAAAGUCAUCGGAAACGACCCAUAAACCCACCCUAAACGACUCCAUUUUUUUAUUUAUUAUUUCUCCAACCAGAAUCGACCAACAACAGUAAAAAAAUCCCAUCGGAGUUCAACUCACAUUAUGAGACCCCGACGUGAAUCAGUUAGCAUGGCCCCCUUUCCCCUUUCCCAUUUUUUUGAUUUUUGAUUUGUUUUUGCAGGUUUCCGGCGAAGAGCUCAGAGCUCUAGAACACCUCCAUCACUGCUACCAGUGAGAAACCAGCCAAGUUUCAACUCCAGCACAACUGGAAAUCCAAUCACCAAAAUGACUCCAGAUCUACCGGAAAAUGUUCUCCUCCGGUGACAAUUCAUUUUUUUUUACAUUACAUAUGUGCAUAUAUAUUAUUACUCUUUUGGUUGAGUUUCCAUUGCUAAUCUAUUUUUGUCUAUAUUUAUUUUAUCAUUUCCUUAUUUUGCCUUUUGAUUAUUUUUGUUAGUGUCGAGUGGUGUACUAGUGUUCAUUUCGUUCCCUUGUUGUUGACUUAUUUAUUUUUCAUGUUGAUGCUUUUGAUGCAUAAUUUUUUAUUCUUUCGUAUGAUUGUUACAUUUUGGUGACAACAACUCAAUUGCUCUUAUUUUAAUUUUCUGUUAUUUGGGUAAUAGUCCAUGUGAAUUUAUUUUAUUUUAUUGAUUUACUUUAAUUUACUGACUAUUUAAACUUUACUAUAGUACUAUUACAUUUUCAUUUAUUGUUAAUUGUUGUUGUUCAUUCAUUAAUUCAAGAAUUUCUUUUAUAUAUUAUAGUUAGUUUAUUUUCUUGUUAAAUUAUUUGUUUAUGUGGUUGCUUUAUUUUUCCUUUUAGAUAUUGUUGCUUUGCUUAGGUUGGCUUUUGUGUAGUGAGUGUUUUGUUUCAAUAAUUUGUUUGUCAUGAUUUGCUACUGAUCUAUCUUGACGAUUGUUAAAGUUGCCUUUUAUUUUGGAUCAUUUUGUUUUUUCUUAAUUACUUUGUUCUAAUGGUAUUAAAUAGGUACUAGUCAGAUUGGCCAAUGAGAAAAUCUCUCUGUCGAUUUUGGAGGCUUCUCCAUUAUAAAAGACGAAAAUUUAGUUUAAGUUAAUAUAUUUUGUAUGUUAAAAUUGGCCGAUGUUAAGAUUACCGUCGAUUUCCAAGGCCUCCCAUGUUAAUAAGAUGGAUUUUUAUUUUUAAAUUAUUAAUUGUGUUAUUCAUUUUUAUUCAUAUUUACUUAUUACUAACACUUUUACUAAGUGUCUUUACAGGUACCCGGAGUUACUUUCCCAUUGAAGUUGUUCGAAUGGAGUUCGAAUCAUACUCUUUCUUAUUCCUUAGGCCGUUUAUUAUAUUAUUGUUUUAUUUUGUUACUUAUGUAUAUUGCAUAUUUAUUAUAGUUGUAUAUUGUUUAUAUCUCCUCAAUUUGAAAACAUGAACUCAGUCGGAACCCACAAUUAUGGAUUUCAAAGGAUGCCUAACACCUUUCCUUCAGAAUAAGUUGAACCCCUUACCUUGAAUCUAAUGGUUUCGUAGAUUAUUUAAUUGGUUUCCUAGUUUUUCCUAAAAUUAGGUGGCAACUCCUUUAAAAACUCUUUUUUUCUUGAAAUUCUUUUAAAAUUUAAUUAAUUAAUUAUUGUUUGAGUGACGUUGCGCCCUCUCAAGGGAUGUGAACACUUACAAACCACGUGGCUUGUAGUUUUGGGAUUAUAUGGGUGACUGGCCCUAGUCUAACUCGACAUUAUGCUAGUCCCAAUAGAUUAAAUGAUUAACAAAUUAUGACUGAAUUUCUAUAAUAUACCAAAUACCUCAAAACUGACAUGCAAACUGGGAAUGCAUAUUAAUAUACUGAAUAUGACACAUUCAAGAUUGAGGCAAGUAUAUCUGAAAUACUGAAAUAUAUGACCUAGAAUGUGUAAUUCAAGAACUAAAGAAAUACAUAUCUAGGGUUCUGAAAUUCAUGCGAGAAAUGAAGUAAUAACAUGAUAAUCUGAUUUGGAACAUGUAAAUAACUAAUUAAUGAUAAUCUGCUAAAGUUCUAGAAACCCUAGGUUUAGUUGAUAAUAGAGAAUCAAGAAUCUGACUGGAACCUAGGGACGUAAUGGGCGAAAGGAAUCCACUAGUUAAAUCCCACAUACUUGGUGACAAAUUUCAUGGAGAAAUCUUUCGAUUUCGGGGCUGGAACUGAUGGAAUCUUGUUGCGUUCUUGAACGAGGGUUCUUAACCUUUUUCUCCUCUUACGCUCUAAUUUUUCUAAGUUUGAUUAAUGAUUUGACUUAGGUAAGUUCUAGUUAUGUUUCUAGGCUUAAACUGACUAAAACCUCAUAAUUUAUGGUCUAAACGACGUAGUUAGGGGUCAAACGAAUAAGGAAAAGACCAAACGACCCUCGACUUAACUACUGUCGGAGUGACUGACGGACCGUCGAUCGAUUGACGGUCUGUGCUGGUCAUCUGUCGAUCAGUAUUGGAGGCUGAAAUUUGGGGAUUGACCUACGACCCUGGACCACGGACCGUAGUUUGACCUACGGUCCAUAGGUCCUGGCGUGGAUCUAUCCUUAGCCAAAUUUUUGGGCUGAGUUAUGGGGAAGGUUUCUGGUGUGAACCACGGACAACCAGCACGGGCCAUGGGUCACCCUACGAUCCAUGGGUGGCGUUCGUGAGUCGCACCUGCAACUUCUGGAAAACUAUUUUGAGAUCCGUUAUCGGAUACGGGGUGUUACAUUUUUAUUUGGACAUUUUAUAAUUAAUUAGUAGAGAUAGUUAAUUAACUUUAAAACUUAAAUUGAUAUUUUUUUUGAAUUAAAUUUUUUUUCUUUAUAAAAUAGAGUCAAAUUUUAUCAUUUUUCAUAUCAUAUUUAAAUGGUCAGAGAAUUCUUUUCAGUGUUUUUCAUUAAUUUGUAUAGUAUUGAGAGAAUUUUUUUUCUUUCUAAUUUUCUACUCAAAUAAAUUACUUGAAAUUCGCUAAUGAGAAAAAAACUGCAUAUUAGGAAUUUAAUUUAGGCAACAUAUAAAGAGCAUAAUUUAAAUUAGAGUUUUUUAAAAAAAUUUAUAAAUAAAUACCCCUACCCCAACCGAACCUCCAUGCCGCUUCAAUUCUCCAUCAAUAACACCCUCCCUCAUUCUCUGCCCUUCUUUCUUCAAUCGGCCUUUAUCUAAACCCAAAUUCAAUCAGAAAAAAAUGACCCCAAUUUUGAAUUCUUCUCGAAUUAGAGUUCAAAAUUUUGGUAGUUUCUUCAAUGGAGAUUUUAGACCAUGUUUUAUGAAAUUUAUUUUUAUUAUUUGGAUUGAAAGAAAAAUAAAAUUGAUAGUAGAUCGAUAUUGAAUCCAGUGGUAGUGAAGGGAUAAAUUUGGUGAUGGGUUAUAAUUUUCAUGGUGAAUGCUAUGAGUUUUAAUGGUUAAAAUAAAUGGGUUUAGUGGUUUAUGGAGUGGGUGUUGAUAAUGAAGAAGAAGGAAUCAAAUGACAUGGAAUUUUAUUAAUUUUUUUAUAGAUCUGGUCAUUUAUUGUCGUGUAGCUGACAUGAUGAUGGCUUGGAGGCGAGUGUAAAACACCUCCCAUCAUGUCAAUGACUAUAUAGGUUUUAGGCAGUGUUAAGGGUGUGUUUAUUACACUUAAAAAUACUUCAGGGGGUAAUAAGACUCAUAUAUAGUUAAGGUGUAUCGCUGGGAUUUCGCGUAUAGUUGAAGGGGGUACUUGUGCAUUUUUCCUUUUAAAAUAUAAUAUUUUUCCAUUUAAAAUCAACUCCAUAACUACAACUCUUUAUUUUCAUAACUUAUAUUCAUAAUAUUCAUUAAUCUUGUGCCUUUAACUCACACAUUAUCAUCUGAAAUUAAUAUUAUUUUCUACUUCUUUUUACCUUCCAUCCAUUAAAAGAACUAUUCAUAUUUUUUUACCUUCUAUAAAAUCAAUAGUUUCAACCUUUAGGCCAUUAUCAAAUUAUUAUAUGCUUUAUUUUUUAAAAUACUCAAUAUUUGAUGUACUCUUAGGACUUUCUGCAACAAUGGUAUAUUCUUUUUAUAUAAGUUUCUUAGACCUUUGUUUUGCUCUUUAUAUUUUUUAUUCUUUUUUGUUCAUUGUUUGCAUUUUGCAUGUUCAUACUUUGUUGUAUUAUGUGACUUAUUUUGCUUGGUCUUCUUUUUGGAUUUCUUGCAUCUGCGCAAUCUCUUCACUCCCUUCUCUAUUAUUUAAAAAACAAUGUAUCAAUUAGCAUAGAAUACACGUGCAAUCAUCAAAAACAUAAACAAGAUUGUUAAAGUACAAGAUUAAAACUUAAGAUGAACUGUUAUCCCUAGCUCUUGCACUCAAAAAAGAAGAAGUCUCUUACAAAAUAAACCUAGGGUCUUAUAGUGCUUAGGGAACUAAUCCCUUCUCCUAAUUUGAUUUGGAAUCCUCAAAUAUUUGUAAACUCUUCGGGGAAAUUGGGGCAGGGUGUCAUUAACUGGAAGCAGACACUGGGCAGCUGGUGCGGCGCGCUGCCAGUGUGCUAGUGAAGUGCCUCCAUUGUUUUGAAGCUGGGGCGGCGCGCCAAUGCUACCCCAUGGUACAAUUUCUUCAUGCCCUUUUCCCCUUUCUCUCCCCUAAGGUCUUUCCCAACUCCCAUUGUACUCGUACUCCUUUAGGAACCCCUGUAUAUUGCUAAUCAUAUAGGUUAGUGUGCAAUCAUCGCCAUACUCAUUAAAACAUAUCAAUUAACAUCAAGAAUAUCCUUGAAACAUAAGGUACGUGUGGGUAAAUCAUAGUAAUUGGGCAUAUAAAUAUACCCAAGAUCACCACCCUACACGUAAGCCUUUGUUCAUCCUCGAACAAUCUCUAGACUAUCAACUCACCAUUAUACCUAAGGACUUGUCUCUUUAAUUAUGCUUUUGUAGUUCACACUUUCUGCAAUAAAAAAUAUAUUAUUUCAUCAAAUUAGUAUACCAAUUUACACGAUAUAAACUAAAUGAUUGACUCGUCAUCCAUCUUACCAGGCCAACGUAAUAAUGUACAAACACUCCAACAUAAAUACACCCAAGUAUGUGCCAUGAGUGCCCUCACUAUUUUGGCAUAGCCUUUCACUCAUUCAUAAAUCAUGUUCACACAUUUUAAUUUCAAAAAGGCCUAUUUUCAGAAUUUAAGCUCUCGCUCUCACAAAAGAGGUUCUUGCAUAUCACAACAUGCCAUAGGUUUGUCUUUAGUGCACUUUAGCUUUCACGAUGUAUUUAUCACGGGAUCAAGAGGACUUAACUUGGUUGUAAUGUCAUUUUCGAGAUAAGAAGGGUACAUUUAGGAUACAAAUAGUGACUCCUCCUCCUUAAUGCACUUGUUUUAUUAUUCAGAAAUUUUAAUCACUUUUCUCUUCUUUGACUCACACCUCUAAAUCACCCUCUAUUCAUCUUUUAAUCUCUCCCUCUACAAAUUUAAGCACUUGUCCACAAUGUUGCAAUCUUUUUUUUAACAACUCUUUUUUGCCAUAAUAACUGCUAAUGCAAUUUUAUUAUGGGCUCUUUUCACCUCAUUCCUUAUAAUCACCACAUAAGCCAUUCCACCAUUCUUUACUACUUAGUGCAUUAAGGAUCAAUAUUUGGAUCAAACAAUGAAAUGGUAUCAACUAAAAGGGAUUUGGCUCAUCAUGUGGUAAAAAAGGAAUUAUAGGCUCAAAAUCUCAAUGGGGCAUUACUAAGGAUAAUCAUCAUGGAGGCAUAAAGAGAAUUGAAUUGGCUAUGCAAAGAAAUGCCUCAAUCUUAUUUUAUAGUUCAUACAAGUUACUUGUUAAGAACACACAGGAUAAGUUCUAGAUGAAGCUUUAUGCAAGAACAAGGCCAUACUCACCCAACAUGACAUCAUGACAUACACAUAAGGACAUAAACAAAUUAGGAUGCUCAUACCAACCACAUUGAGUGCUUCUAUGACAAUUAAGCCCAAUUUAUAACUUUGGAGUUAAACCAAAGAACCUAUGUGUCUCGCAAGGUUAAUUGUUUCAGUAUAUUGCAUGUUCAAGUGUAAACUACCCAUGACAUCUAGCUAACUUAUAUGCAAGGCUUUAAGGCACCAAAGGUUCGGCUUCACAAUCCACCAACCAAUGACUAAUUUUCCUUUAAGAGUGUCUUCAUCCAUCCAUCCAUGCAUCAUCAGAAACAGUCACUUCUAAGAUGACUCUAAGACUCAACUAUCAAUCUGAGUAAACAAAACAAAGAAAAAAAAAUCCUAUUCGGUUCAAUGGGACUAUCCUCAGGAAAAGAACCAAAAACAAAAGCCGAGUAACCCAACUAAAAACUCAAAAGACUAGAUAAAGCAAUAAAAUAUACACAAGGAAGUCCAUCUCCCACCCCACACUUAAAUAAUGCACUCUCUCCGACACAACAAAUAAAACAUGUGUAUAGAGUGAAAGAAAACUCCAUUUAGCCCUCUAUGCCUUACAAUCUUAAUCAGCAUUAACCAUAUUUUUGGCCUCAUACACGCGAUUAAGGUCAUACCAACAUCACUAACACAAGUAUAAUCAUUAUCAUUAUCAUAGUCCUCAGUCUUAUCCUCUUCAUCUACAUCUUUUGCAUCUUCUGUGGCAUUAUCAUCAUCAACCGACUAUUGAAAUGACGACCCUAUGAGACACAUAUACAUGGCACUAUCUGUCAAAGUGUAGCGUUCAAACCAAUGUGGUCAUUUCCUCCUCAGUGGCCAAAUGACCACCAAUCCACAAUUGCAGUUCAGCCAUACCAAACAUGUUCCCCAUCCAACUAUCAUCCCGACGAUCAGCAGUCAAUAAAAUUGGCACGUGGGAUGUAUUUUGUGCCUUAUUUUUUGUGACAUCCACCAAGUGAGAAAAGCGGGGAGGGAAAAUAUCAUACACUUCUUCCUCAUCCCCCAAAUGAACAUAGAAACCAGGUUAACAAACUAUCAUAACAAAAAUGCCACCUUUUAUUGUUACGAAACUUUAACAUAUUUUGUCGAAGAAUCGAGCCAACAUUAAUUUGUUGCCCUUUCAUUAGGUAGUAAAAUAACACUACUUUAUCCCUUUUAACCUCUGAAGUGUGUUGACAUGGUAACAAAGUCCUACAAAUAAUUCUAGGUCACACAUGCCACCUCUUGAUAUAAUGUGUGUAGUGUAAAGUGGCAUGCCUACUCGUAUCUUUAGUACCUUCCCACCUUUCCAUUGAAUUCACACCACAAAGAGUGUGAUGUAUAUCCCGAUAUGGAGGUUUAUCCUUUAUCUAUUGAUAUUCAUUGUGAUCACACUUAGGAGCCCCCAAGAUAUCAUUCAACGACCGAACAAUAAACUAAAUUAGCCGACCUCUAAUGUUAUUCUCAUUCCUAAAUAAGUUAUUCAUGUUCUAAUUCACAUAGAAUUCACACACAAGACUUAAAUUACACUCACAUUGGUGAAGGAAAAUGUAUUGAAUGCCCAAUGUAUACACCACCACAUGAAUUUAGAGAAACUCCACUUGCAACCGCCCUUCAUUAACGUGUGCAUCAACCAUAUUUGAUGGAGUCAAUUCAGGAAUUUCCCACACGGAGCCCACAAUUCCCGUUUGACUCUAAAAAUUGGUCCGUCUCUAUUUUGGGUGAUUUUGGUGUCUUAAAUUGUAUUGUUAUUGUGAUUAUAUUUUUGAUAGUAUGGCAGCUCUCAGAGGUUGUUCUGAAGGAUAAAUCUCUGGCCUUGUCAUUUGGAGAGUGCACGAUCAUCCUACAAGUAGGGCACGACUUCCUUUCUAAUUAGACUGAGCAUGAAUUUGUAAAUUCAUGAUGAUGAGUGUAAAUUGGGGGUGGGUACCUAUUUAUUUCUUCUUUUCUUCUUGGAAACCAGGAUCUAGAGUUUAUUAAUACUAUUUUGAGGGUAGUACCAUGUUGGUGGAGGGUUGUAUGUGUGUUGUAGUAUGCUAUGUGAUUUACUUGUUUGAUUACUUGUUUUUGGAGCAUGUUUUGGCCGUAGUCUAGGAUAGACUAGUGUUCCCCUACACCCAUGCACCUUGUGACUACGGUAUGUCUCCGAUGUCAUUUUUGAUGGACUAGAACCUUUUAUACUGGAAUAGCAGACUUGGGUCUGAUAGUAUGAGCCUUAGCUUGGGCAUUUGAGCUACUUGUUAGCAUUUUUGUAUGCUCUCCCUAUUUUUGUGCCUCCAAUGUAUUACCAAAGAGUUUGUGCUUUAUCAGGAUUGGAGUGCUUCUGUCUUGGAGCCUUUUCUAAUAUCGUGGGGAGUGGACGUCGAUCAACAGUGGCUUGGAGCAUACUUGAGAUACUCUUCAUAGUCGAUAUUCCCCUAGACACUCUUGCUAACUAGCUGACUGACGCCCUUGGGAGCAGGCUGGGCGGCCUAGAUAUUUGUGAUCCUCUAUGGAGUUGACAUAACCCUGAGGUACUCUUGCUAGUUGGGAGGUUGAUGCCCCUAGACUUGAUUGUAGGGUUGGGUGGCCUGGGUUGAUAGUCACUCUUCCUAGCUGGGCUGGAAAUUGUUUGGUUGAGUUGAUUGUUACUCUUGCUAGUUGGGCUCGGUGUUGAUUGUUACUGAAUUUGGAUCUGGAUUACUCUUCUUUCUUGUAGACUUAGUUAUUUUGUGUACUUAUCGGCCUUAUGGGGGUCCUUUCAGGUUUUAUUUAAACAUGUGCAGGAGUGUACCUUCUAGGGUUAUGGGGUCCAGUUACGUUUAUUUUAGAUGUACUUAGAUUUACUUUUGGUAUGCUCGUGUGCCUUCUUUUCAUAUCCUCUUGGUCUCUGUUUGUGUCUAGAUUCUAUAUUUUCUUAUUGUCUUUACCUUUCUUUCUCGACCUUAUUUUGGUGCUUAUGCUAUAUUCUCAUGAUACAGGUCUUAGUACCAGCUACUAGCGAUGAUAAUUCGUGCCAUCUUUAGCAACUUGGGGAUAUUGGAGACGAGGGUGAGCACUUGACGUCCUGAAUCAUCUUGUCUCAUUCUGUACAUAUGUUAGCUUAUCUUUAUCCUUUGAGACGGACUAUUGUGGUCCACUUUUGGAACUUGUACUUUUUUUAGACAGCUCUGUAUUUAUGACUUCCAAGUUCUAGGAAGGUAUCUAUCCUGUAUAGUUUUGGGUUUGCUUUCCAUUUGUACCUUUUCUUAUUAUUAAUAUUAUUUUUUGUUUAGUUCUAUCGUUGUACUCACUACUUUUGUUUCUGCGUAUGGCUCGACUUACCUACUGGUGGAAUUAAGUAGGUUUCAUCAUGGCAUGGGGAUUCAGGUUGUGAUAAGUUAGUAUCAAAGCCUCAGGUUCACUAGUCUCACUUGUACAGAGCUUAUACCUAGUAGAGUCCUACAGAUUAGUGUAAUAACGUACAUGUUUUAUGUUUAGGAGACUGAACGGUGUCUUUAGAAAUUUUUCUCUUUUGUAUCGCUUCCGUGCACCUUGUGUGUUAUUGGUUUUUUGAAAUCUCACUUGUUUCACUCUUUUCACAGAUGGCUCAUACUCGCCGUGAGGUGGAUCGGGGUAUGGGUCGACCUCUUUUUCCAGAUAGUGGUACAGCACCACCCUAGUUAGAGAGCAGGGUGUGGAGAAACUAGCAGAUUCUUCAUCAGCCCAUGUUCCAGAGUAGUUGGUGGGGCCGGGACUAGCUCAGCCACCACCCAGACCAGUUAUGUCUCCCGAGCUCCAGACAGCUAUUACUCAGCUUUUGAGAGUUCUUGGGGGUAUACAGUAGGCCCUAGCACCGCAACAGGUCAGCAGGAUCAACCUGCAGCAGAGGCACAUGUGGCCCAAGUACCACCUAGGGGUGCCCAUCCAAUGAUUGUAGCAUGAGCUAUACCGCUAGAGAAGUAGAAGAUGCUCGGAGUGUUCUUAAGGCUUUCACCUAUCAGGUUUUCUGGGGUUGUGGGUGAGGAUGCGCACGAGUUUCUAACUACUUUUCGUGAGCGGCUACAUACCUUGGGUCUCGUGGAGUCAAGAGGAGCCGACAUCACUACGUAUCAACUUGAUACGCCAGCCAAACAGUGGUAGCGUACAUUUAUUGAGACUAGGAUAGCUGGGUUUCCUUCGCUCACUGGGACCAAGUCUUAUGAGGUCUUUUUGGCUAGGUUCAUUCCUCGUAGCGUCAGAAAUCACCUUAGGGAUCAUUUCUCUAGGAUGGAGCGUGGUUAUAUAUAGUUUCUAAGAAAUAGGUGAGAUUUCAUGAUCUCUCUUAUCAUGCCACCAUGAUUCUACCUACUGAGAAGGAGAGGGUUCGAUGUUUUAUUUAUUGUUUAAGACUGUAGUUCUGGAUUAAGCCUUAGUUUGUGGUCUAAGUGGGUUGCUCGUUUCUCGAUGUUGUUGAUCAUGCCCGUACUAUUGAGCAGCUCCAUCGUGAGACCUAAGAGGUAAACAUAAAGAGAGCUAGAUAUGAGGGUCGCAAUAGUGGAUCCCAUUCCAGGCCCAGAGAUUCACAUGAUAGUUCCAACAACGGUUUCAGUAGGGUCAACCUAGUCGCUUGUUUAGGCCUCAUCGCAGAGUUCAGAUGGUGGUAUAUCUGGAGUGAGGUUUGCUCUAGCUAGAGUCAUAGGUCCUAGACUAGUACUAUAAGUCGUAGCGUCUAUUCUUCUGGUAGCAUAUCAUCUUUAGGUUGUUUUGAUUGUUGUGAGUUAGGUCACUAGGCUAGAGAUUGCCCUUUGUGUAGACGGAUCACUCCAGUUACAUAGCCAACUCUACCAGCUCCACUAGCAGAAUCUUCGACUAGGGGUCGAUGUCAGGGUCAGGACAGUCACGGUGUAUAAUAGGGUGUAUAGGGAGGUCCCCAGGAAGGAAAGUCAGGUGGUAAGACUAAUGAGUAGGGCAAAAGCGAACAGGGCCAUUUCUAUGCAGCUCCAACAAGGGUGGAGGCCGAGGCGUUGGAUGGUGUGAUCACUAGUACAAUUCUAUUAUGCCAUUAGCCCACAUCAGUUUGUUUGACCCUUCUUCUACAUAUUCCUACGUGUCUUUGCAUUAUGCUUCUCGUAUGGGUAUGAGUUUUGAGCCUAUGUCAGCGUCAUUCUUUGUGUAGACCCCAUGAGUGUGUCUUUAGUAGAGGUGCAGGUGUUUCGAUAUCUUUUAGUUACUAUCAAGGGGGGUGACACCCGGGCUGACCUUAUAUUGUUAGAUAUGCUUUAUUUUGAUGUGAUUUUAGAUUAUUUCUCUAAGAUUGUUAGCCUAGCCAUGCCUAGUGUUCCUGCAGUGGUUCGGCAGGGGUCUAUUAGUAGCACACCGGUUGGUAAUACCUCUUUUGUGCAGGCUAGUGGCUAGUAGGUGGUUGUCUUAUUUAGUCUAUGUGUGUGAUGUAAGUAGGGAGGUCCCUUCAGUUGAGGGCAUUCUAGUCCUCUAUAAUUUUAUAGAUGUGUUUUAGCUAACCUACCUGACCUACCCCAAAGCAUGAUAUGAACUUUCUUAUCGAGCUUGAGACGGGUAAUCGGCCUAUUUCAAUUCUUCCAUAUUAGAUGGCUCCUACAGAACUCAAGGAGCUAAGUGUUCAGCUUCAGGACCUUUAUGUAAGGGGUUCAUCAAGCCUAGAGUCUCGCCCUUGUAGUGUUCUGAUUUUGUUUGUGAAGAAGAAAAACAAUAAGAUGCGCAUGUAUAUUGAUUAUAAGUAGUUGAACAAAGUGACAGUAAAGAGUUGUUACCCCAUGACUAGGAUUGAUGAUUUAUUUGACCAGCUUCAGGGUGCCACAGUUCUUUCGAAGACUAAUUUGAGGUCUAGUUACCAUCAGUUGAGAUUAGGGCAGUGGACAUCCUUAAGACCGCAUUUAGGACUUGAUAUUGCCACUAUGAGUUCCUAGUGGUGUCUUUUGGAUUGACUAACACACCUGCCACCUGCAUGGACUUGAUGGCGCGAGUGUUCAGGUCAUAUCUUGAGUUGUUCAUCAUUAUGUCAGAUGGUAUUCUAGUAUACUCACGGAGCAGGAGUGAUCAUAAGCAGCAUUUGAGGAUUGUGCUCCAGACUUUGAGAGAUCAACGACUUUAUGCCAAGUUCUCAAAGUGUAAGUUUUGGAUCGAGUUUGUAGCAUUCUUGGGGCACAUGGUGUCCAAGGAUACCAUUAUGGUAGAUCCGGUGAAGAUUGAGGCUAUCCGAGGCCCACUUCAGUGAUAAAGGUUCGAAGCUUCGUCACUUUAGUAGGCUACUACAGGUGGUUUGUGGUGGGCUUUUCCACUAUUUCAACACCUUUGACCAAGUUGACCCAUCUUGAUGUUCCUUUUGAGUUGUUUGAGGAGUGUGAUUUGAGCUUUGGGAAGCUCAAGGAGUUGCUGACUACUGCUCUUGUAUUGACUCUUCUAAUUGAAGGAGAGGGCUUCAUGGUCUAUUGCAACAUAUCCAGUGUUUGUUUAGGUUGUUAUUGAUGCAGCGGGGCUGGGCUAUUUCUGUUGCAUCAAGGCAUCUUAGGCUACAUGAGUGCAAAUACCCUACUCUUGACUUGGAGUUGGCGGUGGUAGUUUUUGUGCUUAUGAUCUAGAGGCACUAUAUGUAUGGAGUUCGUUGUGAGAUCUACACUGAUCAUAAGAGUCUUUAGUACAUCAUGAGCUAGAGGGAUGUUAAUUCAAGGCAACGUCGUUGUAUUGAGCUUCUUAAGGACUAUGAUCUCACUAUUCUCUACCAUAUGCGAUAGGCGAAUAUGGUGGCAGAUGUCUUGUGUCACUCCCCGAAGCUACCCCAAAGACGCAGACACGGGACCUAGGAUCACUAGUGACCCCAAACUAACCCUGAUGGCCUAUCAUAAGCAUACUAAAUAAACUGAAGUAAGGUAACACUGUGCGGAAGCUAACUCAUCAUGUAAAUUGAAAUGAUGGGGAAUACCCAUAAAGUAUCGGAGUAUAUGAAAAUUGAGAGUUUAACAAUAACUGAAAGGUCAAACUCAAAUGCUAAAGCUGAAUCUAACUAUGUCUAAAAAUAACCUCUAACUGACUAAAAGUGUUGGGACAUGCCCCAACUAAAUCUAGCAAAAACUGAAACUAAGACUAAAAUAGCAAAGAAAAAUGUCUUCCUCAGAGAAUGAGGACUCACCACUGAUGUUGCUAAGCUGAAGAUCAAGAACUGAUCUUUUCAUGAUCUAGAAGCUGAGAACCUGAACCUACAUCCCGAGAAGAUGUAGCGCAGAGUAUGCAUUAGUACUUGGAAGGUAAUGAGCAUUCAGGAUAGAAUAAAGCUGAACAAUAAACAUAGCUGAACCAAAGCAUAUAUCUGAGCAAUGAUAAGAGAUAAGCAUGAUAAUACAUUGAGAAUACUAAACAUGAACUAACUGAAUGCAAUGACCAAGUUUAUAAUAUGCUGAGGCUGAAAUCUGACCGUAAAUGAUAACAUGGUCAAUGCAAUAAAAACUAAUUGUGGGAGCUACUAAUAACCAACAUAAAACCACAUGAGCUAAAUGUGGAGUCCGAUGUAUACGCCCCAUCAAGAGGACCCAAUAUACCCUGCCAGAGGUAUAGAGGCAUGAUUGGCAUGAUCACUAAAAUGUAAUGCCCACACAGAGGACUUAUAAACCUAUGGGGGCACGUAGUUCUGGGACUAUUCAGGAUGCUAAACCCUAGUCCACUCGGUAUUAAGCUACUCCCAAUUAGAAUGUAUAUAAGCAAUUUUAUGACUGAAAUGUGAAGUACUGGAUAGCUCAAUUACUAAGAUGAAAACUCUGAGAAUACAACAAUUAUGACUGAUAAUAUGACAUUUGUAAACUGCAGCAUGUAUAUAUGUAAUAACUGACCUAGCAUGUGUAAUUCAUGAACUAAAAGAAUAGAUGGCUAGGGUUCUUAAUUUCAUAAAAGAAACUAAGAAACAACAUGAUAAUCUAAUUUGCAUCAUUCUAACAGCUAAAACCCAACAAUCUCUAACAUUCAAGAAACCUUAGGUCUAGAUAAUAUUAGGGGAAUCAAGAUUCUAACUGAAUUCUAGGGACCUAAUGGUGAAAGGAACCCACUAGUAAAAUCCCACGUACCUGGCGACAAAUUUCAUGGAGAAAUCUUUCAAUUUCGGGACUGGAACUAGAGGAAACCUUGUUGCGUUCUUGGAGAGGGUUGGUCGACUCUUUCUCCUUCUUUUCGCUCUAGUUUGAUGAAUUUUUGGUGAAAAAUUGAUUAGGUUAGGUUCUAAUUUGUUUACUAGGCUAAAAUUGACCAAAAUAAUGUAGUUUAGGGGUUAAAUGAUGUAGUUUAAGGGUCCAACGCAUGAGGAAAAGACCAAACAACCCCUGACUUAAAAUCUAUUGAAGCCACCAACGGGACUGAUCGAUGGUCCAUGGACUGACCUACGGCUCGUCCUGUCAGUCUGUCGAUCGACUUCAGAGGAUGGGUUCUAGGGGAUCCUGAGGGUCUCGACCUACAGACGGUUCGACGGUCUGUUAACUGAUCCACGAUCCGUCCUGUCAGUCUGUCAAUUAACUUCAAAGACCAGUUUCUGAGAGGUCCUGAGGGUCUCGACCUAUGGACUGAUCGACGGUCCGUGGACUGAUCCACGAUCUGUCCUGUCAGUUGUUGAUCGACUUAAGAGACCAAGUUCUAGGGCCUCUAUCCACGGACCUGGACCACGGUCCGUGGGUCCGACUGUGGGUCAUGCUUUGGAAUAGUUUAUGUCUAAGUUUCUAUAGAGGGUUGCAGGUGGCCAUCCACGGACCACCUGGAUGGGCCAUGGGUGGUUCCUACGGUCCGUGGGUGGUAACCGUGGGUUGCACCUGCAACAUCUGGAAAUCUAUUGGUUCGGUUUGUUUCCGGAUACGGGGUGUUACACCUUGAGUCGAAAGGCAAUGAGUAUGGGUAGUCUAGCCUCUUGUCUACUAUAGAGCAACCUUUAGCUUUAGACAUUUAGAUCUUAGCUAACCAGAUAGUUCGGUUGGAUAUUUCGAUAUCUAGGAGUUUUCUAGCCUAUGUGGGAGUUCAGUCUUCUCUUCUUGAUCAGAUAUGUAGCCGUCAGUUUGAGGAUGAGCCCUUGGUGGCACUUCAAGAUCGAGUGUUAACGAGUGAUACUGUUUAGGUUACCUUAGAUUCAAAUGAGGGUUUGAGGUUUACAGGUUAUAUUUAUGUCUGGUUGCCCUGAGCUGCGAGGAGGUGAAGGCCAAGCAGUUGAAACCUGAUUAACGUUCCAAAGACACUUCAUCCGGUUCUAAGUGUCGACGAUCAUAAAUCAGUAUAAACCCAACUAAAUGAGUUGCAGUCUAUCCCACAAAGAGUAGCUUUCUUUGAAUUCGAAUAUGAAAAUAUGACAGUGACCUUUUGCAGCCGAACAAAUACCACACUUAACAAUUUUAUAAGUCAAAUUCCAAGAUGCCGUGACCAACCCACUUCAACAAUCAACAAGGAACAAUCAAAUAAUGAGAUAACACUUGCGGAAUUGACUAACCAAUUGUCGAAUUUAACUUAAUGGGUGUACAUCAUUACCAACAAUGUUAAUUUGUUGCGGGUAGAAUGGACUAUAAGUAAAGCAAUUUUCUGUCGAACAAUUACCUUAUUUCCGCUGAAUUCUCUCGAACUUCAACACUAUCCAUAAGACGCCCAUCCCACUUUCUCAUCAAAUAUACUCUUUCGAGCUAGAUACAAAGGCUGAAUCUCAAGUUUCACGUUCUCAAGCUGAAACCGUUAUGACCCACUACUAAGGAUGCCAAAUUACUACAUUGGCUCUAUACUUCUCUCUCGAGCAAGCACAAAACUUUGAAGUAUAUUGCACUAAACAUGCAAUAAUGAAGUUAAACCACAGUUAUAAUUUAGACCCACUUCAAAUUAGCACAAAAAUUUGCUAAUUGAUGACACCCAUUUAGUCAAAUGCAACAAUUGGUCACAUUGUCCAAUCCCCAAGGUUAGGGCUUUAGCCAAUCAUAGAAAAAAGAUGAAAUUUAAUACCUUCCACAUUUUCCAUAGAUGGGUAAAUGAAAUUCGAAAGUCAAAAUUUAAUAAUAUCUUCUCUAUUACAAAACCCAAAUGAAAAACCUUGCUAAAAUCACUUGCAAUCAACAAUAGUAAUGUUUUUGCUCUCUAUCUUUUGUUCCUCACAAUUUCUGAGCUUUCUCUCUUUGCAAAAAUCAAUUUAUACAAGUGUGAUGUGUGGCUUUUAGGACCAAUGGGCAAGGAUAGUCGGGCUUCUCCGACUGUUUGGCAACUCGCCGAUCGACUUUCGUCUCGCCUUAAUUCUUCACAUCUACUUAGUCCAACCACCGUAAUUUUAGGCGAGCCAGAUCGGGAUCGCCAUUGCAUUCCACGAUGCGCCUUUUUGCCUUUUAACUCGCCCAUCAGCACUUAUCUAGAUCUCCAUCAGUACUUCUGGUGACGAGGUCAUCCUUCACCAAUGUGAUCGGCGAUACACCGAGUGGAACUACUUCUCGCCGAAGUUACUCCUAAUCCAAUCUCAGAGCUCUGUAAAUUUAGGCGGUAGAGGAGCAACUUGGCGAUUCACCGAGUGAUCUCGGCGACCAUCAGGCUUGUUUUUCCUCUUCUCUUUUUUAGCUUGCGUUGUCCUUGUUGACCAUUUCUGUCCUAGCUUCGUUCCUCAACCCAUAUAUCUAAAAAUCAAGAGUUUUACAUUAGUUAUUAGCAUAAAUUGAGCAUUUGAGGACAUUAAAUCUAUGCAAACAAAGCCCUAAAUGAGUCCGAAUCUCGGACUCAUCAACACCCCCAACUUAAACUUUUGUUUGUCCUCAAGUAAAACUCAAGUACAGCAGUUCAAAAAGGAUGUUUCAAAUAGUGCUACAGAAGACUCAAUCAUGAAUGCACACAACAAGACUCAACUUACUCAUGCAAGGAUCAAUUGUGCACUCAAAGGUUCAAGUUGUGACUCACCAUUACCAAAGAUUCUCAGGUUCACAAUACUUGCUUCAAAUGCAAGUUCAAGCUGAACGAAGGUACUCAAAUUCCCUUGCAUAAAGAAUGAUUCCAUAUUCACACACUAUUAUUCACCAAUUAAAAGCUCUGAAAUCACAUACAACUCUCACACUCACAAAGAUGAACACAUGCAUGACUUCACCCAUAGGUUUGCCCUUUUUUUCCAACCAACAUUCAUUUCAGCUCACUCAAGAUCAAAAAGGUCUUUUCAAGGCUUGUAACAGGGCUGAGUGUAAAUGUAUGGUCAUUUAGGCUCAGUGGCUGCUAUCCUCAUGAAAUGUGGUAUGAACAACACUUUCUUUCCUUUUCUUCAACAUUUUCACUUAUGCUUAAAAUUCACCCCAUUAUUCACUUCUCAUGGAAUACCGGACACCCCAUUUCUUUUGCAACUUUCACAACUUUAUUUCACGACUUUUUUGUUAUGUUUUUUAUUCUUCUUUUCUUUUUCUCUUUUUUUUUUUUAUGGAAGGGUUCCAUCUUUCUCAAAGCAAUGGAUCAAGGGGGACUUCUUUGCACUUCUUUAUUUACCUUCUCUUUUCACCACACCCCCAACUUAGGCUUUUGGCCUAAGUUGUCUAUUCAAACGAACCACACUUCACGAGGAUUAUGGGUGAAUGGAAAGAGAGGGGUUACAAUUUGAUCAAGUUUCUUCCAAGUAAAGGAUAAGGCUCAAAGGGUGUUCAAGCAAAGUUCACACACUCACAAGGUAGGCCACAAAAGAGGUAUACUGUCAAAUUGUUUCACUCUUCAAAAUUGUUGCCUAAGAUCAUUUCAAGAGUUUGCAUCACUUAGUCAACCGGACCAGCGGGGCAAAUUCUAGGUGUCAUCACAUAAGGUUCACGGUAAGCUCAUCACACAAGGCAUUGGCACCAAUAUCAAACAGGACUCCACACUGUCGCUAGUGUGCAAUGUUCAUCACAAGAGACGCAUUCGAUAACCGGCUAGUCACAACGAGAUGCAAAAAGUUCACAUAUCGUCUAUGCAACUUCAUUUGGCCUCAUUGUAGCCGCACAAUCAUUUUUGUUCGAUUAAGAGUACUAUUCAAGUCAUUGAUAUUGAUCAUGACCGAUACUCAAAUUAAUAACUAUUUCGAAUGAGCAAGAGACUCACUAACCAAACACCCCCCCCCCCCAUCAAAAGCAUUCAACAUUGUCCCCAAUGUGAGUAGAGAACAGAUAAUAACAACAAUGGAAAAUAAAGAUAAACUACUGAUAUGUAAACACACAAAGCAAGGUGACAAGGAAUCUUCACUAGGCGCCCAUUUGGCGAAAAAUUGUAACAGUCGCCGAACUACUCGGUGAUUGAUCCAAUGAUCUAGAUAUCGCUGUUAUUUCCCGUAUGCAACACUUUUAGGAAUGGGUGAAAAGGCGGAAUUGAAAGAGCUGUCGAACUGGUCGGCGCUUCGCCUAAUGGACUUGCAGCCUCGCCGAAUAAUCCAUUAGGUCAGGCCAUCAGAGCAGGGGUAAAAGGGCGAAGAAAGUCGGGUCGCCUAAUUACUUUGGCGAGUCGCCGAGUGAUGAAGUUUCCCUGCCUAAUGUUCCAGUAUCUCAACUCCAUUUUCAAAGUCCAGAAGGCAGACUAGGUUGGGCUCACCGAACAGCUUUGGCGAUCCGCCAAUUGAGUCUUCACCUCGCAAAAUUGCUUGCACUUGCAAAAUCAGCGCACAUUAUUUGAAAUACUAACACUUGGGUUGCCUCCCAAGAAGCGCCUUAUUUAACAUCGUGGCACGAUACAGAAAUUCUCUCAAGCAUCUUCCAGAUACACCACUUCCAUCAGAGAAAUUUCUUGGCAUUUGCCAAAAUACAACUUCAAGUGUUGCCCAUUCACUUUGAAUGUAGGUCCCUCUUUACCUUCGACUACAAUGGCACCAUUUGUGAACAUCUGUGUUACUCUGAAUGGACCUGACCAUUUAGAUUUGAAUUUUACCGAAAAGAGCCUGAGUCGAGAAUUAUAUAGUAAAACUCAAUCUCCUACUUUGAACUCCCUCUUAAGGAUUCUAGAAUCAUGCCAUUUCUUUAUCUUUUCCUUGUGAAGAGUUAAACUUUCAUACGCCCUAAACCUGAAUUCGUCCAACUCAUUUAGCUGAUCUACUCUCUCUUUUGAAGUCUUUGUCCAGUCCAGAUUUAGAGCUUUCAAUGCCCAUAAUGCUUUGUGUUUCAAUUCAACCGGUAAAUGGCAAGAUUUUCCGAAGAGUAGCUGAUAUGGAGACAUACCAAUUGGUGUUUUGUAUGCAGUGUGAUACGCCCAUAGAGCAUCAUCAAGAUUUUGAGACCAAUCAGUCCUAUUUGCAUUCACCGUCUUGGCUAGGAUACUCUUGAUCUCCCGAUUCGACAUUUCAACUUGACCACUCGUUUGGGGAUGAUACGGAGUUGCUACUUUGUGUUUAACUCCAUACUUGCUCAAUAUAGAUGCAAAAUACUUGUUGCAAAAAUGGGAUCCCCCAUCACUAAUUAUAGCCCGAGGAGUACCAAAUCUAGCAAAGAUAUAGAGUUUAAGGAAUUGAAUAACACUUUUCCCUUUAUUGCUCGGAAGUGCAACGGCCUCCACCCAUUUAGAAAUAUAAUCUACCGCCACCAAAAUAUACUUAUUACCAAACGAACUUACAAAUAGGCCCAUGAAAUCUAUUCCCCAAACAUCAAAUACCUCAACUUCUAAAAUGGGCGUGAGAGGCAACUCGUGUCUUUUAGAUACUCCACCUUGUUUCUGAAAAUUUAAUGCACUUCUUAACAAACUCAUGAGCAACUUUGUAGAGGGAUGGCCAGUAGUAGCCACUUUAGAGGACUUUAGCAGUUGUACGCAUGCCACCAUGUUGACCCCCAACCGGUGAAGCGUGACAAGCAUGGAGAAUUUCGAUGGCUUCAUAUGGUCUGCACACUCUCUAAAUAAAUAUGGUUCAUUCCAAAAGUACUUCUUAACAUCGAACAAGAACCUCUUUUGUUGGUAGAAGUUCAAUUCUUCCGGCAUUAAUCCACACACUACGUAAUUGGCAAAAUCAGCAUACCAAGGAGGUUGUUUGAGAGUUACCGUGAAUACCUGUUCAUCGGGAAAGGCAUCAUUUAUGUCGAUCUCCAGCUCGUCAUUUUCCUUGGCUUCCAAUCUUGAUAAGUGGUCAGCCACUUGAUUUUCACAACCUCUCCUAUCUUUGACUUCAAAGUCGAAUUCUUGCAAUAGUAGCACACACCUUAUCAAUCUUGGCUUGGCAUCAUUCUUUGCCAUCAGAUAACGCAGUGCAACAUGAUCAGUGUGAACAGCCACUUUAGUGCCUAGCAAAUAUGCCCAGAAUUUCUCAAACAUAUAUACUACCGCAAGUAAUUCUUGUUUUGUAACUGUAUAGUUACAUUGAGCACUGUUUAGAGUUUUGCUUGCGUAGUAAAUGGGGUGAAAUAGUUUGUUGCGUUUUUGCCCCAAUACGACACCUAAUGUCGUGUCGCUUGCAUCACACAUCACUUUGAAGGGUUUUGACCAAUCGAGACUAAUGAUAAUCGGGGUGGAAACCAAUUUUUCUUUCAAGCACUUGAAGGCCACCAUGCAAGCAUCAUCAAAGUGGAAUGUCACCUCCUUCUCCAAGAGUUUGCCAAGAGGAUGUGCAAGUUUUGAGAAGUCUUUGAUGAACCUCCUGUAAAAACCGGCAUGCCCAUAGAAACUACGAAUACCCUUCACCGAAAUUGGUAGUGGUAGCUUGUCAAUCAAUUCAAUCUUCGCUUUAUCAACCUCCAGCCCUUUUGGCGACACUUUGUGACCAACAACUAUACCUUCCCUAACCAUGAAGUGGCAUUUUUUCCAAUUUAGGACCAAAUUUGCCUCCACACAUCUUUGGAGAACUUGUCCCAAGUCUGCCAAGCAUUCUUCAAAGUGUCACCCACAACCAAGAAGUCAUUCAUAAAGACUUCCAUUGAAUCCUCCACCAUAUCAGCAAAAAUAGACAGCAUGCAACGUUGAAAUGUUAUUGGAGCAUUACAUAACCCGAACGACAUCCAUUUGAAGGUAAAAGUUCCAUAUGGACAGGUGAAGGUGGUUUUCUCUUGGUCUUCCGGAGCAAUGGAGAUUUGGUUAUAACCAGAGUAUCCAUCCAAGAAGCAAUACCAACCUCUCUCAGAAAGUCGAUCAGGCAUUUGAUCCAUGAAAGGCGUGGGGAAGUGAUAUUUGUCGGUCCAAGAGUUUAGCUUCCGGUAAUCCAUGCAUACUUGCCAUCCGGUCACUGGUCUCAUAGAUACAAGCUCCCAUUUUUCAUUUUGGACUACUGUGAUGCCCCUUUUUUUCUAUACACAUUGCAUCGGACUUACCCAUUUGCUAUCUGUAAUAUGGUAGAUCACAUAUGCGUCCAACCACUUUAUUAUCUCUUUUUUCACCACCUCUUGCAUCGGUGGAUUCAAUAUCAGCUGAUGUUCAAUACUCGGUUUACAAUUACUAUCAAGCUAAAUUUUGUGACUGCAAAUGCCGGGAGGAAUGCCCGCUAUGUCAGCGAUAAUCCAACCUAUAGCUUUUAUAUGCCUUUUCAACACCUCAAGGAGCAAUUUUACCUUCCAUUCAAGCAAGUCAGCUGCAAUGAUUACCGGUAAGGUGUUAUUUGCCCCCAAAAAAGCAUAUCGGAGAUAGGAGGGAAGUACUUUCAACUCCAAAUUCGGUGGUUCUUCUAUUGAUGGAUUUUCGGGAGGACUUUCUCAAUUUUUUAGAUCAAUGUCCAACUUCAAUGGGAUCUUUGAAUAUUCCCCAUGCCUGAAAGAGCAGCUACUACCUCUUCGUAGCCUUGAAUUUUGAAUUCAUCAUAGCUAGCAAGCACGACCUCAAGUGGUUCACUAAUACACAUCAAAUGGCUCACACUAGCCACCGCCUCAUAAAUAACACCAACAGUAGAAACCACGUGAAUAUCGUUUGGGUGUUUCAUUCACUUACAAACAUUAAAGGUUACUUCAUCCUCAUUCACCCGGAACUUUAGUUCUCCGCUUUCAACGUCCACCAAUGCUCUCCCGGUUUCCAAGAAUGGUCUUCCCAAAAUAAUGGGAAUUUUAGCAUCUAUUUCACAAUCGAGAAUGACAAAAUCAGCCUAGAAAAUGAAUCGCUCAACCUUUACCAAGAUGUCAUAUAGUAUCACCACAGGAUGUGUAAUUGAUCAGUCAUCCAUCAAGAGUCUCAUUGUUGUGGCUUUCGGUUCACCCAACCCAAGUUGUUUAUAGAUUGCAUAUGGCAUUAAGUUGAUGCUUACCCCCAAAACGCAUAGGGCUUUAGAAAAUUGGAGCAUGUCGAUGGUGCAAGGGAUGGUGAAUGCUCCGGGACCUUCUUUAUUUUUUAUCAGCUCCUUAGUCAUAAUUGCACUGCAGCUAUGAUAAAUUUCAAUUGUUUCAAAAUCCAAGCUCCUUUUUUUGUAACUAAUUCAUAAAAUUGGCAUAACCCGGCAUCUCCAACAAUGCUUCGACUAGAGGGAGAUUAAUCGAUAAUGUCUUGAACACCGAUAAAAACUUUUUGAACUUAUCAUCCUCAUUCUUCUUCUUGAGGUGUUGGGGGAAUGGAGGAGAUAUUUUGGGUAAAGGUUGCACAUUCUUUGGGAUUGGAUUGUGUUUCUCCACAUCUUUUUGUGGCCCUUUGGCAAUGCUUUGAUGGAUGGGUAUUUCUUCUUCCUCCAUACCUAUGUCUUCUUUAUUACCCAUCACAUCACCUAUCCCUACCUUUCCACUACGAGUAACCACAGCCAGGCCUCUCAUCAUCUUCCUUUGUCAUUUUUGGUUCCAAUUGUGCUGAAAGUAAACUCAGCUGACCUUCAAGUAGCUUGAUUACAUCUGCGUGAGAGUUCACUUUAUUGUUCAAUGAUGAAAAAUCGUCUUUCAUCCCUUUUAACAAAUCAUAUGAACUUUCAACUUUGUCAACGAUGUGUGACAACAAAUCAUUCACCCGAGGACUACUUGCACUCCCUUUCGACUUUGGGCUCUCACUCGAUUGAGUGUGGUUCUCUUCAUGGUCAUCCUCCCUUUUCCAAUGAUCACUUUACUCAGCCCAUUCUUGAUAGUCUUCCUUGCUCUUCCUCCUUGUGAUAGUUCCAACCUUGAUUUCCACCAUGCUGUAAAUAGCGUGGGUGAAAACCCUCCUCGUAUUUCUUGGAAUUCCAACCUUAAUUCUCCCCCGGUUUUGAAUAGCCAGAGAAAGAACCCUCCUCAACUCUAAACACUCCAUUUGACUUUCUCACAUUCUCCAACAUAUGCUAUUGUAGUAGUUCCAUUUGGGCCAACAUCUUCUUGAUGCUCUCAUCCCGUUCUCUUUCCUUCUUAAGUUGUUCUUGGGCCAUUCUAAAAAAAAAAUGAGAGACUUGAUUCUCUUGAGUGUACCAAGCUUGAUUUAUUUUCGUCAUGUCAUCAAGAAGAAAUGAAGCCAUCUCAAAUUAUUGCAACAUUAUUCCCCCUCGAACCAAUUGAUUAGCCACUCCUUUAUUAACCGAAUCAAGACUUUGGUAAAAAUAUUGGAGUAGCAAAUCAUUUGAUAGCCCGUGAGUUAGGCAUUGAAGUAGGAGUUUCUUAAACCUCAACCACGUUUCAUGGAUGGGUUCACCCUCCAUUUGCUUAAAACCUUGAAUGUUAUCCCUGAGUUUCAUCAUCCUCAAUGGAGAGAAGAACCUUGCAUUAAAUGCAGUGAUAAGCUCAUCCCACGACGUGAUAGAAUUCUUUGGUAGCUCGGCCAACCACAUGCUAGCCUCCCCCGUCAGAGAUAGAGGAAAUAAUCUGAGUCGGAUUGAUUCUUAUGGAACAUUCUUGAACGAAAAUGGGUUGCAUACAUCUAUAAAAUUCCUCACAUUAUCAUGCGGAUCUUCAUGAGCUAGCGCACCAUAAAGUCCCUUCAUUUGGAGAAGAUGAAGAGUAGUGCUCAUGACCUCAAAUGUUGCAUUCUCAUCAACUGAUGGUAGGAAAAUUGCACCCAUUUCACCCGAUUUGGUUGGAUUGUAUGCACUGUUAACAUCCUCGAUACCAUAUUGGGGGCCUGCUAGGCUACCAUUCACUUCUUCCACACUCAUUUUUACUUCUAUUCAGUCCAACCAAUACUAACACAAUGCAUUCUAAAUCAAUUUAACUACAACUGAUAAAUUCACAAGUUAAAUCUUCUAUAAAAGAACUCUAAACAAAUGCUACUCCCCGACAGCGGCACCAUUUUGAUUAAUGUUUCAAAGACACUUCAUCCGGCUCUAAGUGUCGACGAUCAUAAAUCAGUAUAAACCCAACUGAAUGAGUAGGGGUCGAUCCCACUGAGAGUAGCUUUCUUUGAAUUUGAAUAAGUAAAUAUGACCCUGACCUUUUGCAGCCAAACAAACACCACAUAUGACAAUUUUAUAAGUUAAAUUCCAAGAUGCCAUUACCAACCCACUUUAAUAAUCAACAAGGAACAAUCAAAUAACGAGAUAACAUUUGGGGAAUUGACUAACCAAUUAUUGAAUUUAACUUAACGGGUGUACAUCAUUACCAACAAUGUUAAUUCGUUGCGGGUAGAAUGGACUAUAAGUAAAGCAAUUUUCUCUCGAACAAUUACCUUAUUUCCGCUGAAUUCUCUCGAACUUGAAUACUAUCCAUAAGACGCCCAGUCCACUUUCUCAUCAAAUCUACUCUUUUGAUCUAGAUACAAAGGCUAAAUCUCAAGUUUCACUUUCUCAAGCUGAAACCGUCAUGACCCAUUACUAAGGAUGCCAAAUUACUACGUUAGCUCUAUACUUCUCUCUCGAGCAAGCACAAAACUCUGAAAUAUAUUGCACUAAACAUAUAAUAAUGAAGUUAAACCACAGUAAUAAUUUAGACCCACUUCAAAUUAACACCAAAAUUUGCUAAUUGAUAACACCCAUUUAGUCAAAUGCAACAAUUGGUCAUAUUGUCAAACCCCCAAGGUUAGGGUUUUAGCCAAUCAUAGCAAAAAGAUGAAAUUCAAUACCUGCCACAUUUUCCAUAGCUGGGUAAAUGAAAUUUGAAAGUCAAAAUUUAAUAAUAUCUUCUCUAUUCCAAAACCCAAAUGAAAAACCUUGCUAAAAUAACUUGAAAUCAACAAUAGUAAUGUUUUUGCUCUCUGUCUUUUAUUCCUCACAAUUUCUGAAUGCUUUCUCUCUCUUGCAAAAAUCAAUUAUACAAGUCUGAUGUGUGGCUUUUUGGUACCAAUCGGUGAGGAUAGUCGGGCUUCACCGACUGUUCGGCAACUCACCGAUCGACCUUCAUCUCAUCUUCAUUCUUCACAUCUUCUUAGUCCAACUACUAUAAUUUUAGGCGAGCCAGAUCGGGAUCUUCAUUUCAUUCCUCGAUGCACCGUUUUGCCUUUUAACUCGCCCAUCAUCACUUAUCUGGAUCUCCAUCAGUACUUUUGGCGAUGAGGUCAUCAUUCACCAAUGUGAUCGGCGACAUGCCGAGUGGAACUACUUCUUCGCCGAAGUUAACUCCUAAUCCAAUCUCAGAGCUCUGUAAAUUUAGGCGAUAAAGGAGCAACUUGGUGAUUCGCCCAGUGAUCUCGGCGACCAUCAGGCUUGUUUUUCCUCUUCUUUUUUUCAGCUUGCGUUGUCCUUGUUGACCAUUUAUAUCCUAGCUUCGUUCCUCAACCCAUAUAUUUGAAAAUCAAGGGUUUUACAUCAGUUAUUAACAUAAAUGGAGCAUUUUAGGACAUUAAAUCUAUGAAAACAAAGCCCUAAAUGAGUUCAAAUCUCAAACGCAUCAAGACCUAGUGGUGAGUUCCAGAGACUACCCAUUCCGGAGUAGAAGUAGGAUCGCGUCAUUAUGGACUUUGUGUAGGUUUGCCUUGGAUUUCUAGAGGUAUUUACAACAUUGGGGUCAUCAUUGAUUGAUUGACCAAAUCAGCACACUUCCUCCCUAUUCAGUCUUUAUUCAAUGCCGAGAAGUUAGCCCAUAUCUACAUUAGUGAGGUAGUUCAUCUUCAUGUUAUUCCAAUUUCUAUUAUAUUAGAUCGGGGUGCUCAGUUCACUUCUAGCUUUUGGAGGACUUUCCAGGAUGAGGUGGGCACUCGUGUUGACCUUAGCAUAGCUUUCCACUCGUAGACUGAUUGUUAGUCGGAGUGUACUAUCCAGAUUCUUGAGGAUAUGUUGUGGGCUUAUGUUUUAGAGUUUGGAGGUUAGUGGGACCAGUUCUUUCCUUUGGUGGAGUUUGCAUACAAUAAUAGCUACCAUACUAGAAUUCAUAUGGCCCUGUUUGAGGCCUUAUAUGAUAGGCAUUGUCACUCUUCGGUUGGUUGGUUUGAUUAUACAUAUCCUAGACCGCAUGGUACAUACUUGAUUUAGGAGGCUUUGGAACAAGUGAGGGUGAUUCAGGAUAGACUUCGGACAGCUUAGAGUAGGCACAAGAGUUAUGCUAAUCGUAGGCGGCGACCAUUGAGGUUUUUAGUUGGUGAUAGAGUUUUCCUCAGUAUGUAGCCCAUGAAGGGCAUGAUGAGAUUUUGGAGGUGGGGCAAGCUUAGCCCCAGAUAUAUUGGGCAUUUUGUGAUCCUCAAGACAGUUGGAGAGGUUGCAUAUAAGUUAGCUUUGCCUUCGAUAUUCUCAUCUAUCCACCUAGUCUUUCAUGUUUUGAUGUUGCGCCAAUAUCUUCUCGAUGAAUCACAUGUGCUUCAUUAUGAUGUAGUAGAGUUAGAUGACCGUUUGACCUCGUCGAGGAGCUCGUUGCCAUUCUUGCCAGAGAUAAGCAGGUAUUGUGUUCAAGAGACAGUCAUGUAGUUAAGGUAUGUUAGAGACAUCGAUCAGUUGAGGAGGCUACACUGGAGACCAAGCAUGAUAUGCGGAAGCAAUUUCCAGGCUUGUUUGAACCUUCAGGUACUUCUUCACUCCUAAUUUUAUGGACGAAAGUAGUAAGGGAUGAUGUGAUGAUCUUCAAGUCAUUCUGUGUUUAGGCCUUUUGUUUAUCAUUUAGAGCUUUCAUAUAGCGACCCUAAGUCAUUUAUGACUUUCUAGGAUAGACAAUUCGGUCACCUGGUUGUUCGUUUGGUUUUUAUGUGAGUUUUAGUGUUUUAGGAGCUUUUGAACCUUAAACUGUAAUCUUUUAUUAGAAGUUCUGAAAGAUGACCUCAUAAUCAAUUCUGAUGAUUCCCUCAGCUCCAGAAGGGUCAUUUUAGGCUAGUAGCAUAGUUUGCACGACUCCCAAAGCUUUUAGUAUGAUUAUGUUCAAUUAUGUAUUUUGACUUUCAAGUUGAAGCCUAAGUUUGACUUUAGUCAACAUUUUGAGUAAACGAGCUUAGAUGAGAAUUUCGUCAACACGGUUAGUUCUGGAAUGUCGAGUUUAGCCUAGAACAGCCAUUCAUUUAGGUCUUGAUGCUUCUAGGCUAAUUCCGAGGCCCUUUGUGGAAUUUGGCUUAGAAAAAAUUGGAUGUGGGACCCAAUUUUCAUUGACAGGACCUCGAAUGUAACUUUUGAUGGUUUUGUUGAAUCCAGAAUGUUGAUUUUGAUGGGGUAUCAUAGUUUGUUUGCACUUACGGGGUUUCGAAUGAGUCCCGGGCACCUUGUUGAAGGUUUGGGGCCUUAGCACUUUUUUUGUCAGCUGAGGCAUGCCCACGUUUGGAGACGGCAGGCACCCUGGCAGGCGCGUUCAUGGACAGCAUCUGGCAUGCAAUUUUGCCCGUUAACCCGCGUUCACGCCGGUCAGCCGUCUAGCCUAUUUAAGACUUGUCACGAUCAGCCCGAGUGAUAAAUUUAGAAUUGCGAUUUCUCCUUAAUUUUAAAUCCUAUUUUGGUGAUUCAAAGUUCCACGUGCUCGUUAUUGUUAGGGCUACGCAGUGGAGUGAAUGGAUGGUGUCUGUCACACUCUAUUAGAGGUAAAAAUUGUGUGAAAGCUUCUACAUUCUCUCUUUUAAUUUGAGUUUUUAUUGUGUUUUUGUGUUAGCUGGAUUUCGAGCCUCGAACUUUGUUCUAUUUUAUGAUGUAACUUCAUGGCAUAGAUUAAGACCUUUUGAUGGAGUCAAUUCCAUAAUUUCCAGCAUAUGUCCCACGAUUACCGUUUGUCUCUAAAAGUUGAUUUUUCCCUGUUUUGGGUGAUUUUGGUGUCUAAACAAGCAUAUCGUAUUGUGAUCCUCUUUUUGAUAGUGUGGAAGCAUUCAGAGUUCGUUUAGAAGGGAAAAGCUAUGGCCUUGUGAUUUGGAGCGUGCGUUAUUGGCCUACAAGUAGGCUACUGCUUCCUUUCUAAACUGAGCACGAAUGUUUAAAUUCAUGAUGAUGAUUAUGAAUUGGGGGCGGCUACAUAGUUAUUUUUUAUUUUAUUCUUGGAAACCAUGAUCUAGGAUUGAUUAAUAUUGUUUCGAGGGUAGUACUAUGUUGGUGAAGGGUUGUAUAUGUGCUGUAGCAUGCUAUGUUACUUACUUGUCUGAUUACUUGAUUUUGGAGCAUGUUUUGGCCUUAGUCUAGGAUAGACUAGUGUUGCCUUCGACCCAUGCACCUUGUGACUAUGGUAUUUCUCCAACAUCGUUUAGGAUGGACUAGGUCCUUGUAGACUGGAAUAGCAGACUUGGGCCUGAUCAUGUGAGCCUUAGCUUAGGUAUUUGCAUUGCUUAUUAGCCUUUCAAUCUUUUCUCCCUCUUUUUGUGCCUCCGAUGUAUUACCAAAGAUUGUGUGCUUUCUCUGGAUUGGAGUGCUUCUGGCUUGUAGACUUUUGUGAUAUCUUCGGGAGUAGACAUUGAUCCAUGGUGGCUUUGAGCCUACUUGAGAUCCUCUUCGGAGUCAAUAUUCCCCGUACACUCUUGCUAGUUGGGAGGAUGACACCCUUGGGAGCGGGCUAGCGGACUGGGCGGCCUGGAUGUAUGAGAUCUUCUACGGAGUUGACACGCCCCCAAGGCAGUCUUUCUAGUUGGGUAGUUGACGCCCUUGGAGUGGAUUGUAUAAUUGGGCGGCCUUGGUUUAUAGUCAUUCUUGCUAGUUAGGUAGGGAGUUGACUGGUUGAGUUGAUUGUCACUCUUGCUAUCUGGGCUAGGAUUUGAUUGGUUCUUGAAUUCGAAUCUUGAUUACUCUUCUUUCUUGUAGACUUAGUUAUUUUGUGUACAUCUUGUGCUUAUGGGGAUCCGUUUGGAUUUUAUUUAAACUUGCGCACGAAUGUACCUUCUACCCUUACGGGGUUCAGUUAGGUUUAAUUUAGUUGUACUAAGAUUUACUUUUAGUAUCCUCGUGUGCCUUCUUUUCAUAUUUGUUUGGCCUCUGUUUGUGUAUAGAUUCUAUCUUUUUUAUUGUCUUUACCUUUCUUGUUUGGUCGGCCUAUGAUGCCUACUAUGUACCUUGUUUGGGUACUUAUGCUACACUUUGCAUUUUCUUGUGAUUCAGGUCCUAGUGCCAACUACAAGCGGUGAUCAUUCAUGUCAUUUUUUUCAGCUUAGGGAUAUCGGAGACGAGGGUGAGCACUUGGUGCCCUGGAUCAACCUAUCUCCUUCUGUAUAUAUGUUAGCUUGUCCUUUGCUGUUGAGAUGGCUUGUUGUGGUCCACUUUUUAGACUUGUAUUUAUUCUUGUUCGACAACUUUGUACUCGUGACUUCCAGGUUUUGGGAGGGUAUCUAUUGUAUAUAGUUUUGGGUUUGCUUUCUGUUUCUUCCUUUUAUUAUUGUUAGUAUUAUUUUUCUGUAUAGUUUUACCCUUGUACUCACUACUUGUUGUUUUGAGUACGGGUUGACUUACCUACUGAUGGGUUUUAAUAGGUGUUAUCAUGGAUCAGGGAGUUGCAUCAUGAUAGGGCAUGGUAUGGUAUGGUUUUUGAAAGUUUUUAAACCAUAAUUUCGAUAUUCGGUAUUUAAAACAUUAUAUCAUUACCAUACCAAUUGAAUUUGGUAUGGUUCGAUAUUUUGAAGUUCAGUUUUGUAUGCCACGGUAUGGUAAAUCAGUAACCAUAGUAUGUUCAACUUCGACUAAUAUAUACUCGUAUAAUUGAGUAUUAUGACUUCGACAAUUGAAAAAAGGCCUCAAUUGUAUCAUACUAACACAUUACACAUGUAGAAAUAUAUUUUCAAAACAAAGUACAAAUAACUCUUUUUGUUAAUCAAUAGCAUUUUAAAUACAUUUUAAUCAAAAUAGAGUAGUUAAAGUUUCAACUUCUAAACUUUUAGUUUAUAGUAAUACUAGGUUUCAUAUUUGUUAGUAUUUUAAUAAUAAUAAUAAUAAUAAUAUAUAUAUAUAUAUAUAUAUAUUUGUGUGUGUGUGUUAUUUAUGUAACUAUAUACUUCACUGUGGUAUUCGGUAUUUUGGUAUUGUUAUUUUUAAAUAGCAAAUAUGGUACCGAAUACCAACAAAAAUAAAAUGUAUACCAUUACCAUACCAAAUACCAUAAUACUUAAACCACGAUAUUAAAAUUUUUGGUAUGGUAUGGUAAUUCGGUAUAUUCCAUACUAUGUCCACCCCUAUUAGAACUAGUCUUCUCAUCAUCAAGGACAAUCUUUUUUUCGUUAGCCAGCCGCAUAACUCUAUCCUUGAAAACAAAACAUUUUUCAAGUGAGUGACUCACAAGUCUAUGAUAGUUGCAAUAAUUUGGGUCAAAAGUUUUUCCAACUUCAUCAGGUCACUUUAUCUCUGGAAACUCAAUGAGCUUUAACUCAAACAACUCAUCAAAAAUAUUAGAAACUUCAGAAUCCAAUAAGGGGUAUUCCUUUUCUUACAUCUCCUUUAGGGUCGACUUUUGAUUUGAACGUGCUUGGAAAGUCGCUUUCACACUUUGCUUCUUGCUUUCCUUCGUAGUGAACUUUACAAGGGACACAUUGACAUUCAUGAAUUCUUUGUUGUGAUUCUAGGAACAAAUAUGUUCCAUCUCUUGGGUUCCUACAUGUCCAUUCCUUUGCGAGGAUCAUGGAUAAACAUCGUAUCUUUUCCAACAGAAGACAUGCUCAAUUCCAUAUCAUGAGCACGAGUAGCUAGAUCUUCAACGGAUUUUGGCUUUAUACUAUGUAAGAUAUAGAGAAGCUCCCAAUGCAUUCCUUGGAUACACACUUCUAUUGCAGAAGUUUCACUAAGCCUAUCAUUGCAAUUUCGGCUCACGUUUCUUGUCACGCCCUAAACUAAGGGAGGCGUGACUGGCACUCGAUACCUUAUGCAAUCGAGUUAGCCACUGAAACAUAACAACUGACUCAACUAUGGGCCUAGAAGGUCGGGUAGCAUAACAUCUAAAAUAUUAAGCCUAGACCAUUAGGGUCAUAACUUGAAUAACAACUCAUAUAGACAAAGGUAGACAAGACAAAAAAUAAUAAUAAAAUACUAAAUGGCCUCGAGGCCACAAUUGAGGACAUACACACAUACAAACAUAUCUAUACAUGCCAAGCCUACGUGGCUGGUAACUGGAAGCGGCAGAAAGAAACCCAGAAUAUUAUGUCCAUAAUAGCCUCUAUGAGUGUCAGAAGCACUGGUCGAGACAAGGCCCCGAUUAUACCCGAAAUGUACAUCAAAAGUAAACAUCAUAUGAAAGCUCCAGGAAGAGGUGGAGCUUACCAACUCACAACUAAAUACAAAUCCUAGUGGAGGGGUAAAUUAGAAUCCCUACCUGGACCUGCACGCAUGAAACAAAAAUGCAGUGUCCCCAGGCAAUGGGACGUCAGUACGGAUAAAAAUGUACUGGUAUGUAAGGCGGAAAAUAGAAUCAUAAAUAGCUGUUAUAAAAAGGGUAAUAAAGAUACCACCUGAAACAGAAACUCUGAUAGCCUCCAUUGCUGACAUCCUACCUUAUAUGAAUUAAAUAUGCAUAGUAUGCUCGCAUAAUUGUAUGUCGUGAAUACAUAUAUAUAGAUGCAAAUGCAUGUCAUACCCAACCAAGUGCUAGCAAUGGUGGUUCCUUCCGGUAGCGAACCGGCAUCAUAUUCGCCAACUAGUGGUCAUCCGUGUCUCAUAUGUACAAAUAUAGUCAAUAGGCCUCAUACCUUUCGAUUAUAGCUCGAAAGUAGAAUGCAUAGCAUGUAAUGUCAUGGAUUCGUAAUGCAUUUGUGUUACCGGAAUCAUGUUGCCAAUCUGGGCUCGUUAGUACUCUUGUCCUCAUAAUCUCAUAAUCACUUUCGUAUCACAUGUAAAUAUCUUGUAUAACCAUAUGCUUGUUGAUUAAACUAGAACACUUAAAUAAAAUUAAGAAAGGUAACUUAAACCCGAGAAUGUUCAUAAAGAUCUUAAGGUGCUUCACCUAGUUUUUAUAUAUGUUUCCUUAGUAAUUUCUAAAAGAAAGUAAUUCCAAAAAAAAAAACAUGUUCUUUAGUAGUUUAAACAUACGAGUUACAUAUAAAAGUUUUGGAAAUCGACAUAUUAUUUUUAAGUUUUUCAAAAAAGAAGAAAGUAGCGAAGAAGGAGGACUGAUUUCAAACUCUUAAUGUUCCUCCCUAAUAUUUCUAAGUUACAACACCUAAAGAUGAAUAAUAAUAUAUACAGUCAAGGGAAUCGACAAAAUGGCACAUAGAUGUCGAGUAACCUAUAUAACCGAACGAGUGGAAUAUCAACAUAAUUGAGUCAGAAAAAUACGCCAGCUGCAAUCCCAAUGCUUUUCACAGAAGGUCUUUCUAACAGUAGAAUAGAAAAACAACCUUUCACGAUUUAGGAUUCUAAAAUUCAUGCUCAAAGAAAGUAACACUUAGCUUUAACAUACCUCAAUUCUGGGUCUUGUAGUAUUAAUGAGGACUGCACCCCUUCCUUGGAGUAUGUAAUCUACAUGAAAUCAUGUCACAUAACCGUUACAUGCAGAAUAUUAACACGUCAGUGUCAAAGUAGCAAUUUAGAGCUUACUAGAAGAGUAAUUAGCUCACCAGCCCCAUUUUAAAUGUAUGCUUAAUUACCUUUUCUUCUACAAAGUAAAACCCCAAAUUAAUGACGUAACAUACAUUUUUGCAGAAGCUAUUAACAAGUAGAGGCCUACGCAAUAGUCAACAACAACCAAAUAGAGUAUGCUUGCACAAUAAUAAGAACUCCGCGUAUCGCCACACCCCUCAUUUCCAACCACAAAAUAACCACAACCAAAUCCAAACCAUGAGUCUUCAAACCAUUAAAGCGAGAAAAAAAUAUAUGUAAUAUAGUCCUACAAUUGUCCAAUAUAACAAUAAUAACUCGAACUUACGGCUUCCAAUCACCAUCUUGUGAGUUCGUCCAAUAAUUACAUUGGGAAUCAUGUCUUUCUCUUAAUAAGCAAUAAGAGAAUAAAAGGAAAGAACCUUAACUUAAAAUUGAUGGAGUUUAUAGUAUUGUAGCAUGCCUCCUCAAUUACAAAGAGUCUCCUCAAACACAAGAUGUUGAACCAAAAAGAAGUCAUUUGAAAAUCGCAAUGCAAUUAUAGAACCAACGCUACACUUAUUUAUCUUACAAUUGAUUACCCAUCUAUACUUCUUCUCUUCCAGACUCAUAUCAACAACAAUUACACACAAAAAAAUAAUUUUCAAAAAUUCCAGCAACAACAUCAGAAAAUACUUCAAAAGAGGCCCAACAUCACAUAACUAUCAAAAUACAAUUUUCCAGCCGUCUAUUUGUCUUCUUGCUUAUAUAGCAUAGCUAUAACUUGGACUCACUCAAUAAAAUGAAAAGUGAGAAUUAUUACCUCCAAACAGCAGCAACACCACCUAAGAACAAGACUCUUUCACCAUGAAGAAUCCUGCAAAUCACAACCAACGAGGACGAAAGAGUAACAUAAUCUCUAUGAACAAUCUGAGAGUUAAACCACAUUGAAAUCUUGUAAACAUUUGCUUGGGUGAUAGGGGAACCUCUAGAGAGGAUUUAGGACUGUUUUUCUUAUUACUUGGUCGAAAAAAUUGAGUUUAAACGAAGUGAAACCAAAUCUUAUAAAGCUAAACCGACAAAGGGGUGAGGGACCCACCUUCACGUGCCUGCUUGUGCAGUCUCACUAAAAUCUUAAUAUCUCUCAAUUCUAAAGUCAUAUGGACAAAUGGUUCAGUGCGUUGAAAAGUAGACUCAUAGAUCUUUGAUUUAGUAUAUUGGGGUUCUUCUAAAGCUUUAUAGAAUGGGAGAAAAGCUCCGAGACAUUUAACCCAAAUUUCAGAAAAUUUAUCAAAGAAACUUACUCUAACUUUGCCGACUUUUUAUUUCCCAACUUGCUUGACUUCAAAACUUAAGUUACGAUCAUUGGGCGACUAUAUUACCUUAUAAAACAUCCUUAUUAGCAUAUAAUACAAUCUUUGUCUUACCCCAAAGGUACUGGAUAACUUGAACUUCCCGAACGGGUGGGGUGUUAGAAGAGACAUUCUUUAACUCGAACUUGUUUAAGGGCAUCCUUGACCCAUAACGUUAGGUCUAAUUCUUUUGAUUUCUUUCUCUCCCUUUGCAACCUUAUUCUCAUGAAAUUAUACACCAAGUCAUAUAAACCUCAUACAUUUAUGCAAUGAUACGCAUAUUAUGCGAAAAAACCACGGGGUCUCACAUUCUCCCCUCCUUAAGAACAUUCAUCCGCGAAUGGAUUCAAUAAAUUUAUUAGUUGUAUUCUUUGCUGCUACUGUGCUAUUUGCAAGGCUAUAUUUGAUACGUCCGCAAAUCUUAAAUCCAGUUUUUAAAAUCCACUUACAAGGCUUCGUAUAUCUAGCUCGCGACAAGUCAUAUAAACUGCAAUUUUGAGGUAUUUAAAAUCAAAUUAAGUUUGUGUACACGAAUAAUUGUCAAUUAUUAAAAUGCAACUCAGCUUAAGUUGUCAAUAGUUGGGGGUACUUCUUCCUUAUUUCCUCUUCGAAUUCUCAAGUUAUUUCCUCAACGUUAUUAUUUCGCCGUAACACUUUCACAGAAACCACUUCUUUAGUCCAAAUCUUUCUUACCUGCCAAUCCAACAUAGCCACUAACACCUCAGCAUAUGACGAGUCCUUAGAGAAACAAAUAUAUUCAACGGGCAUAAUCCAUGGAGCAUUUCCAAUGCACUUCUAUAACAUAGAUACAUGGAACACUAGAUGGACCACUUUCAAUUCUGAAGGCAUAUCAAGCUUGUAUGCCACACUGCCAAUCCUCCAAAUAAUCUUAUAUGGCCUUACAUACCUUGGAAUCAACUUAACUUGACUUCCUGUUCGUGAAGAAUCAUAUGAUACACUUCCUAGGCAAUACUUUCAAGAAAACACAAUCUUCUAUAUCAAACUCUAAGUCUCGUAAUCAAGCCAGGGAACUGAAAUCUAACAGUCUUCUCUCGGUCGUCGACAUUGGCAUAACAAGUCUUCCACCAAUCCAUGCACAUAUCAAUAACAGAGUCGAGCAUCAAUAGUUCUAUCACGUUUACAAAUUUUUGAUGACCAACAAUCUCUAAUGUAAAGCCUCGAUAAAUCCUCUUGAGAAUAAAAGAAACACAAAGCACGAUUUAGAUUUCAUACGUACUUAUAACUCAGUCCUAUAGCACGAUCUAUAAAUUGAAAGAAAUGUAACCAAUCCAAAAUGCCCUAUAACCUCUUGAUUAUAAGUGUGGUGCGAUACCGAGUUUGUCACGCCCUGAACUAGGGGAGGCGUGACUGACACUCUACCUUAUGCAAUCGAUUGAGCCUCGGAAACAUACCAACUGACUCAACUGUGGGACUAGAAGGUUGGGGAGCAUAACAUCUAAAAUAUUAAGCCUGGACCAUUAGGGUCAUAACUUGAAUAACAACUCAUAUAGACAAAGGUAGACAAGCCAAAAAAAAAAAAUACUAGCUGGCCGACGAGGCCGCAAUUGAGGACUUACACAGAUACAAACAUAUCUAUACAUGCCAAGCCUAUAUGGCUGGAAACUGGAAGCGGCAAAAAGAAACCCAGAAUAUUGUGUCCACAAUAGCCUCUCUGAGUAUCAUAAGCACUAGUCGAGACAAGGCCCCGACUAUACCCGAAAUGUACAUCAAAAGUAAGCAUCCUAUGAAAGCUCUAGGAAGAGAUGGAGCUUACCAGCUCACAAUCGAAUCAUGAAUCUUAGUGGAGGGGUCAAUUAGAAUCCCUACGUGGACUUGCAUGCAUGAAACAAAAAUGCAGCGUCCCCAGGCAAUGGGACGUCAGUACGGAUAAAAAUUUACUGGUAUGUAAGGCCGAAAAUAGAAUCAUAAAUAGCUGCUAUAAAAAGGAUAAUAAAGAUACCACCUGAAACAGAAACUCAGAUAGCCUCCAUGGCUGACAUCCUACCUUAUAUGAAUUAAAUAUGCAUGGUAUGCUUGCAUAAUCGUAUGUCAUGAAUACAUAUAUAUAGAUGCAAAUGCAUGUCAUACCCAACCAAGUUCUAGCAAUGGUGGUGCCUUUCGGUAGCGAACUGACAUCAUAUUCACCAAUUUGUGGCCAUCUGUGUGUCAUACGUAUAAAUAUAGGCAAUAGGCCCCAUACCUUCCGAUUAUAGCUCGAAAGUAGAAUUCAUAGCAUGUAAUGUCAUGGAUUCGUAACACAUUUAUGUUACCUGAAUCAUGUUGCCAAUCUUGGCUCGUUCGUACUCUUGUCCUCAUAAUCUUGUAAUCACUUUCGUAUCACAUGUAAAUAUCUCAUAUAACCAUAUGCUUGUAGAUUAAACUAGAACACUUAAAUAAAAUUAAGAAAGGUAAUUUAAACCUGAGAAUGCUCAUAAAGAUCUUAAGCUGUUUCACCUAGUUUUUAUAUAUGUUCCCUUAGUAAUUUCUAAAAGAAAGUAUUUCAAAAAAAACAUGUCCUUUAGUAGUUUAAACAUAUGAGUUACAUUUAAGAGUUUUGGAAAUCGACAUAUUAUUUUUAAGUUUUUCAAAAAACAAGAAAGUAGCGAGGAAGGAGGACUGAUUUCAAACUCUUAAUGUUCAUCCCUAAUAUUUCUAAGUUACAACACCUAAAGAAGAAGAAGAAUAUAUACACACGGACCUACAGUCAAGGGAAUCGACAAAAUGGCACAUAGACGCCGAGUAACCUAUAUAACCGAACGAGUGGAAUAUCAACAUAAUUGAGUCACAAAAAUACGCCAGCUGCAAUCCGAAUGCCUUUCACAGAAGGUCUUUCUAACAAUAGAAUAGUUAAACAACCUUUCACGAUUUAGGAUUCUAAAAUUCAUGCUCAAAUGAAGUAACGGUUAGCCUUAACAUACCUCAAUUCUGGGUCUUGUAGUAUUAAUGCGGACUGCACCCUUUCCUUAGAGUAUGUAUGUAACACCCAAAAAACUAGUAGGUGAAACUAGAGCCUUACGUGAGAGUUUUAGAGUUUGAUGUGUGAGUUAAUGUUGUAAAAUGGCUUUCUGAAAUUAGGGUGAGGGUUUUAUGGGUUAAACGUCAAGGUACGACUCCCCAAGGACCAACCAAGGGGUCCUUGAGGAGGACCCUAAAGUCUAACCCCAAAGCUGCCCCAAAUCUACCCAAGCUGUCUAAAUUAGGUGACCUACGGAUGGGACUUACGAGGCGUAGGUCCAUCCAUGCCUCAUGGGGGAGGCUCGUAGAUCAAGACCCCAAGUUAGGGGUUUCAUACCACCACCCACAACCUGCAGGACGGGGUGUAGACCCACCCACUGUCCGUGGGUCAUGGGCGUAGGUGUUGCCUGUACUUUUGCCCAGGUUCGGCCAAGGUAAGUUGGUUUUAGGUAAUUUCUAAUUUAAUUAUUUAAUGUAGAGUCGUUUUAAUUCAUUUUAAUAGAAUUAAAUAAGUACUUUUAAACCAUUGAAUAACCUAUUUACUUCAUAAUUCCCAAGACCCCAAAACAUAACCAACUUUACCCCCAAAAAUAUUCUCUCAAAAACCUCCAUUGGAGAAGGAGAAGAAGAAGAAGUUGAAGUGUAAGACUCAAAAACUCAUCUUUUCUACCCAAAUUCGUGAGGAAUCUUCAUCUAAGGAAUGGUAAUUUUGAUUCAUGGUUAGCUUUUAAUCCAUGAUGUCCUCAAACUCUCAAUUUCAAAGUAGAAAAGUCUCCAAAACCUAGGGUUUUCACUCCAAGCCAUGGAUUCUUUCUAAAAACGUUUUUAUGAUUUAAUUAUCUUAUAUUAUUGUUUAGUUUCUGUUUUAUGGUGGUUUUAUGAUAAAAUAUUUAUUGAAUCCAUGAAUUACCCUAAUUUCCCAAAUUGGAUCUUAAAGUGUGGGUGUUGAUGGUAUUAGUAGAAUGUUAUAGAAUCAUGAAUAUAAUGAAUUGAUUACUUGAAUUAUGUAUUUAUUAAGGAAUUUAUAUAGUUUUGAUGUUGAAUUUCCUCCAAGAUCGCAUGAACCCCCAUGUCCCCAAUGUGUGACUAUGUGAUAUGGGUGAGUUAUGGUGAGAUGAAUAUUAUGAGAUUAUCUUGUACUAGCUUAGUUAUUUGAAUCAUAUUACCAUCUAUAUCUAAUGUAGCAAUUCUAGAUAGAUUGGUUGAAUGUGAUCUAUAGUCCUUGAAGGGUGAAACUUGAGAAUUUGCUAUGUGUAUGAGACUUGCGUGUAUACAAUUAGAUUGCUUUGAGAGUGAAGUGCUUAUAUUAUGAUCUAAUUGUGGUGUUGAUUGGAUGAUUAUCCUCAUGUACACACUUAGGUAUGAAUGUCAUAUAAUGUGAAAGGUUUGUCACAUAUAGUGAUUCUAAGGGUUGAAGACUAGUCUCCCCUAAUGAAUUUAAGAGCUUUAGCAUGAUUUGUUGGAUUGAGUGUCAAGACAUUCUUCCUUAAUUAUCAAUUUAAGUAAAGACUUAAUAUAAACACAAUGAGAAUUAUGCUUAGCACCGAGCAAAUAUGAAUAUGAGAUGGAAGCUUAUACGAUAGUUGAGUCUGGCUUCCCCUUGAAAGUUUUUACACUAGUUGAGUCCGGCUUUCUAAAUGGGUUCCUUUUACACUAGUUGAGUCCGGGUUCCUAAAGUAGUUAUCUCAUGAGAUGGAAACCUUAUACAUUAGUUGAGUCUAGGGUUUUAGUAGCAAUCUCCUUAUCCCAUAACUAUGUGCCCACAUAGGUUACUUAUAAAUUGGUUUCACCCAAGCUAAGAGUAUAGUUCUACCCUUGGCAAGUAGACCAACCCCUUUUCGGUGUGGGGGAGACACUUUAUUCCAUGAAUAAUCUCUCAUGGUCUAUGCCGGUUACACCUAACUCCCACAAGAUCAAGUUAAUUAGGAUGAACUAUGGCUAUUCAAGAAGCACUACUUAGUGUGGGUGGGGGUAUAGGACUUUAUCCAUGCAUUGCACGAGUAGGCUUUGAGAGUAGUUAUGGUAGAUUCCUCUUUUGGCAUGAUUAUUCAUGUAGUGAAUAUGUGUGUGACUAGAUGGCAAUUGCAUUAGAUGUUAAUGCUACUUGUAAUGGUGUAUGGUAACUUGCAUUGUUGCCAUGGGUUGCUUUCCUUGAUAUGGUUGACUAAAGAUGAAUGUUUCCUUGUCUAUGAGAAAUAGGCUAAAGGUGAGAUUAAAUGUUGGUAAACAUGAAUGAGGAUCUAAAGUGACUUGGCUUGGUAUGGGUGGGAUUAUGGGGUCUUAUCCAUGCAUUUCACAAGCCUACCUUGAGGUAGCUCAUGAAGUGUAUCUCUCAUGUCAUACUAAAACUAGAUUGUAUUGGCUAUGUAUAUGUUCCUAAUGAUAUUUCUUAUACUCAUUAGUUGGGAUUGUUAUCUAUCAUGCUAUAGUCUAUGCCUUAUUAUGAUGUCUCUUAUGCUUAUUACUUGUGUUUUGACACUACUUUCUAAAUGAUGGUUUAAAUUAGCAAAGUGCAUGCAUUCAACUAAAUUGUCCCUUUUAGCAUGUUUUCAAAGGUUUUUAUGCAUGGAUAUCAUACUUGGUGCAUUUUUUUACUAACCCAUAUUCUUCUACAUUUUUCACAAAGUGUAGGAUUUGGCGACAUUGACUUCCAUCUUCGUGGCUAGGAUCAUAGUAGAUCAAGAAGAAAAAGUUUGGUGAGUCCUCAUAGUAUUCGAGGGCUUGACCAUUAUGUCCUUUGAGUCUUUUCUUAUGUUUUAGACUUUUGUAAGGGUUGUGUCCCGAAGAUUGUAUUCAAAUGUUAUAGAUGGUUUGAGACAUAGUGUUGUAGACUCCCACUUAUUUUUAUAAAAGACUUCGACUGUAAAGAAAAGUUUUAAAUUUCCGCACUAUUUCCUAUGUUCUAAUGUUAUGAGGCUUGUAUGAGGCUUUUCGGAGUCUUGUACAUCAUGUCACAUCUAGGGGAUAGCCUUGGGCCGUGACAAUGGAAUCUACAUGAAAUCAUGUCACACAACCAUUAUAGGCAGAAUAUUAACACGUCAGUGUCAAAGUAGCAAUUUUAGAGCUUACUAGCAGAGUAAUUAGCUCACCAGACCCAUUGUAAAUGUAUGCUUCAUUACCUUUUCUUCUCCAAAUUAAUGACGUAACAUACAUUUUUGCAGCAGCUAUUAACAAGUGGAGGCCUACACAGUAGUCAACAACAACCAAAUAGAGUAUGCCUGCACAAUAAUAAAAACUCUGCGUAUCGCCAUACCCCUCCUUACCAACCACAAAAUAACCACAACCAAAUACAAACUAUGAGUCUUCAAACCAUUAAAGCCAGAAAAAAUAUAUGUAAUACAGUCCUAUAAUUGUCCAAUAUAACCAUAAUAACUCAAACUUACGGCUUCCAAUCACCAUCCUGUGAGUUCAUCCAAUAAUUACGUUUGGAAUCAUGUAUUUCUCUUAAUAAGCAAUAAGAGAAUAAAAGGGAAGAACCUUAACUUAAAAUUGAUGGAGUUUAUAGUAUUGUAGCAGCCUCCUCAAUUACAAAGAGUCUCCUCAAACACAAGACGUUGAACCAAGAAGAAGUCAUUUGAAAAUCGCAAUGCAAUAAUAGAACCAACGUUACACUUAUUUAACUUACAAUUAAUUACCAUCUAUACUUCUUCUUGUCUUCCAGACUCAUAUCAACAACAACCACACACAAACAAAUAAUUUCUGAAAACUCCAGCAACAACAACAUCAAAAAAUACUUCAAAAAUAGCCCAACAUCACAUAACUAUCAAAAUAUGAUUUUCCAGCAGUUUAUUCGUUUUCUUGCUUAUAUAGCAUAGCUAUAACUUGGACUCACUCAAUAAAAUGAAGGGUGAGAAUUAUUACCUCCAAACAGCAGCAGCAACACCUAAAAACGAGACUCCUUCACCACGAAUAAUCCUUCAAAUCACAAACAAUGAGGAGGAAAGAGUAACAUAAUCUCUAUGAACAUUUCAAGAGUGAAACCACGUUGAAAUCUUGUAGAUAUUUGCUUAGAUGAUAGGGGAACCUUUAGAGAGGAUUUAUGACUGUUUUUCUUAUUAUUUGGUCGAAAAUAUUGAGUUUAAACGAAGUGAAACCAAAUCUUAUAAAACUAAACCAACAUAGGGGUGAGGGACCCACCUUCACGUUCCUUCUUGUGCAGUCUCACUAAAAUCUGAAUAUCUCUCAAUUCUAAAGUCAUAUGGACAAAUGGUUCAGUGCGUUGAAAAGUAGACUCAUAGAUCUUUGAUUUAGUAUAUUGGGGUUCUUCUAAAGCUUUAUAGAAUGGGAGAAAAGCUCCGAGACAUUUAACCCAAAUUUCAGAAAAUUUAUCAAAGAAACUUACUCUAACUUUUGCCGACUUUUUAUUUCCCAACUUGCUUGACUUCAAAACUUAAGUUACGAUCAUUGGGCGACUAUAUUACCUUAUAAAACAUCCUUAUUAGCAUAUAAUACACUCUUUGUCUUACCCCAAAGGUACUGGAUAACUUGAACUUCCCGAACGGGUGGGGUGUUAGAAGAGACAUUCUUUAACUCGAACUUGUUUAAGGGCAUCCUUGACCCAUAACGUUAGUCUAAUUCUUUGAUUUCUUUCUCUCCCUUUGCAACCUUAUUCUCAUGAAAUUAUACACCAAGUCAUAUAAACCUCAUACAUUUAUGCAAUGAUACGCAUAUUAUGCGAAAAAACCACGGGGUCUCACAUUUCUCCAUCAAUUUAUGAAAUCUAUAAUUGGCUCAUCCUUCCUUUGGUAAGUAUUUGUGAGUUCUACCAUGCUCACUGUAUGCCUUGUGUUAUAGAAGUGAUUGGGAAACUCAUUCUCUAGCUGCUCCAAACUAUCAAUAGAAUUAGGCUCGAGAACUGUGUGCCAAUCAAAGGUAUUUCCUUUUACAGAGUGGAUGAACUACUUGGAAAGAUGGUCCCCAUAGGUUCCAGCAUUAUUACAUGUCUCCACAAAGUGUGCAACAUGUUGCUUCAGAUUUCCUUUCACCCUCGAACUGUUGAAAUUUGGAAGGUUGAAAAUCAACAGACAUUUUGAAGUUAUCAAUUCUUGCAGUGUAUGGCUUGCAUACAUAUGAGAACACUUGGUGGAGACUUCAUAAUUAUCUUUUAUUGUCCCAUUUGAUGAACUCCUUCAAGUGAUCAAGUGGGAUAAUUCCUUUGCAGGAUUUUCGAUCUCUUGAACUUCAACACUCUUUCCAGGCGCAUGGCUGGUUCUCCAUCUAAAAAUCCUUCCAUCAUAUCCAUCAACUUAUCAAUUUGAGACUCUUAGUUGUAUAGAUGCUUUCUCAAUCCUUCAACCAACUUCGUCAAAUUUGCAAGUUAUUCCUCCGUGGAUGAAGCAACAGUUACCAUUGCUUGCAUGAACAUUGGGGACGUAGGAGAGUAACAAGGAUUGUUACGCAAGUUGAUACUCAACGAACUCAUAUUAUGUGAUGCUUGUGGAUAGGAUUCAUUGGUUGAACCGUAUUUCUCCUUUGUGGAAAGGGUUCCUGGAACCAGAUUGCUCAAGUAGAGUUAAGGUCUUCUUGAUCAUUUCAGCAACACUUGCUUUCUCCUUCUAAAGCAUUUGUGGAGGACCUUUACCAUUUUUGAGUCGAAGAUCCAAAUAUAGGAGUUUUGUGGAUGAGACUUAGUUUUUUUUGUCCCAACAUAGUGGACUAACUCUUCGUAAUAGCUCUAAAACUUCCGAAGGUAGCACCAAAGAUUCCUUCAACUUCAGUAGGGAACUUGGAGUUAGCAGCCUUAGAGGCAGUUGAUUGAGGUUAAAGGAAAACAGGACAGUGAUCUUAUAUUAUUUUAGUCAGAAGGUGCAGUUCAACAAUUGAAUGAAGAGGUUUUCUCCUAAGGGAGAGAUUAUCGCAUAUGUGUUCCUAAGGUGAAUGAGUAGGUGAAGCAGCCUUGAUUAGGUCAGAUUCGAUUUAUGAAACUAUAGGGAAAAGUUCAAGUCAUCAAAAAUAGACUCAAGACAGAAAUCUUAUGCAAAUGUAGGGAGAAGGAACUUAGAGUUUGAGAUAGAUGAUUGGAUUUUCCUGAAAGUAUCACCUAUGAAGAGGGUGAUGAGAUUUAACAAAGUUGGAGGAGUCAGUCCGUAAAAGGAGCUACUUGGGAAGCAGAAGCAGCCAUGAAGGCAAAGUAUCCUCAUCUCUUUCCUUCCGAUUUCAAUACAACUUUAGAUAAUAGUUUCCUUCCAGUAUUUCAGUUUACUCGUGCGUAAAUUCAGUCUUAGUACCUUAUUCCUUUAGUUGUUCUUGCAUUUUCAGCAUAUUUGCAUGUUCUUGGAACUCAGUUCAGUCAAAUAUUAGUUUUUAGUACUUAGUGGUAGGGAUUGUAGCUCCUUCCCUCCAUACCCAGCUAGCUUAGACUUCAUUCAAGGAUGAAUGUUCCUAAGGGGGAGAUAUUGUAACACCUCAGAUAUCAAAACGAAGAAAAUCCUAGUUUUUAGAAAAUCUGGUGCCAGUACCAACAGAAUCACCCACAGACUGUAGGUGGGGUUCCGUCGUUAAGGCCCAAGUUUUAAUAGUCUCUGAUCCCACCCAAGGUCGACCAGUACGGUCCGUGGUUGGACCUACGAACCGUAGGUCUAACCAUAGGUAAGGGCCAGUAGCCAGUUAGAGGGAAAUUAUUGUUAGGUCAAAUUCAAAUGGUCAUAACCCUUAGAACAAAAGGAAUUUAGGUGACCCAUGACCUACAAAAUGAUAUAUAAUUGAAUCCUCUUUCCAACACCACCGAGUUUGCUAAAAUCCCAUCUCCGAGUAAACAGUUAUGCUCGUUUUAGUGAAGCCUUGUUAGGCAGACUUGACCGACGAACCCAAAUGACGGUCAAACGACUAACCGUCAUUCCCACUGUGGAUGAACGUCACAUUAUCAGUAUAUUUCAACAUGAACCCUAUUUUGAGUUAUAAAUCUUGAGAAGCUUUUUAAAGCAAACACAUGAGUUUUAAACUGAGUUUUAGAGAAAGUUAAGAUGAGUUUUGAGAAAGAUCUUCUACAACAUGAUUAGUAUGACAAUCGAGUAGGCCAUUAAUGUAUGAGCAGUAUGAUAUCUAGAUAUACCAUCAAUGUUUAUGCAGUAUGACUUCCUGAGUCAUCAAUGAUCAUAGUAUACUAUGAUUUUGAAUUGUUGUUUAGAAAGAGUUUUCAAGUAUGAGUGUCUAUAUGUCAGUAUUUUGAGUUGUUCAGUAUUUCAGUAUUUCAAUAUUUCAGUCAUAAUGUAUCAUAUACAUACUCCAGUUGGGAGUACAUGCAUCAAUUAAGAAUGUUUUAUUAUCAAUACUUAAUGUUGUAUUUUCAGUUAACAUGUCAGAAUCUCGAGCUAUCUUAUUUACUUCAGUAAUGUUAUAAUUUACAUAUAUUCAGUUGGGAGUAGGCUUAAUAUCGAGUGGACUAGGGUCAGUCACCCUCAAAGUCCUAAAACUACGCGCCCCCGUAGGUUAUAAGUCCCCUCAGUGGGAAUCAAUUUAGUGAUCAAGCCAGUCAUGCCUCUAUACCUCUGGCAGGGUAUAUUGAGUCCUCUCAAUGGCGCGUAUACAUCAGACUCCACAUUUAGCUCAUGUGGUUUUAUGUCGGUUAUUAGUAGGUCUCAUAGUCAGAUUCUAGUGCAUUAACCAAGGUACCAGUUACAGUUCAGUAUUUAGUUUCAGCAGGUAUAAACUUGGUCAUUGCAUUCAGUUUAGUUCAUAUUCAGUAUCUUCAGUAUAUUCAUCAUGUUCAUCUUAUAUCAUUGCUCAGUUAUUUGCUUAGUUUAGUUAUGUAUAUUAUUCAUCUUUACUCUAUCCUGCAUGCUCAGUACCUAUCAAGUACUGACGAAUACUCUGCGUUACAUCUUCGCGUGAUGUAGGUUCAGGUCCUCAGCAUUUAGAUCACGCAUAGAUCGAUUGACGAUAUCCAGUUCAGCAGCAUCAGUGGUGAGUCCUCAUUCUUCGAGGACGAUGGACAUGAUUAUCUUUCUACUUUCAUUUUUUAGUUUCAGUUUUGCUAGAUUUGGCUGGGGCAUGUCCCAGCAUCUCUAGUUAGUUAGAGGCUUUAUUUCAGACAUAAUACUAGAUUCAGUUUUAGUUUUGAGUUUGAUCCUCCAGUUGUUAUUAAACUCAUAGUCAUUUAUAUAUUCAAAUUAGUACAGGGUAUUCCCCACUUUUAAUUAUCACUGUUUUAGUAUGCUUAUGAUAUGAGAGCUCAGGGUUAACUUGGGGUCACUCGUGAUUCUAGGUCCCGUGUCCACGUCCUGGGGGUAGCUUCGGAGUAUGACAAAUCAAGAAGGAGGAAAAAUUCUAUAAUAAAAACAUCUCCUUCUUUAUUUCUCAUUAAAAUCAACUACAAUAAUGUUGAUGUUAUCAUUACUAUUUCAUCUUAUAGCAAUUAAAGUACGUAGCGUUGUUGUUGAUUCACUUAGCAAAAAAACUGUUGCAUCUCCAUGAAGACACACUCUAGCCACCCGACACGCCAUUUUGCUUGAUACAACAUUCCACAAUACAUCACUCGCAAGAAUCAAGCACUCAUCAUCUACAUUAUUUUUUACAAAGGUAAUCUCAUGCUUAGAUAUUACAUAGGGUUUCAAAUAUUUGUAUAUUGUUUGUAAUAAGUAGUUGAAUGUCUAUAACAUUUAGUAGUUGAAUCCCUAUAACUACUAGUAAAUAUUUAUGUUGUUUUUUCUUGUUACAAAGUGGAAACAAUUAUUUGAAGCCCAAUGCCAUAUCUAAGCCUGAGAUUACCUUUGUAAAACGGAUUGUAGAUGAUGAGUGCUUGAUUAUUGCGAGUGAUGGCUUAUAAGAUGUUGUAUCAAGCAAAACGACGUGUUGGGUAGCUAGAGUGUGUCUUCAAGGAGAUGCAAUAUUUUUUUGCAAAGUGAAUCAUUUGCAUCGCUACUUACUAAGGUUUCUAUGGGGUAGAAUAUUCAUGAUAACAUCAGCGUUAUUGUAGUUGAUUUGACGAUAAAUCAGGAAAAAGGAGAACGUUCAUAGUACAAACAUCUACUUCCAAAUUUUUCAUCAAAUCAACUACAAUAAUAUUGAUAUUAUCAUGACAAUUCCGUCCCAUAGAAAUUCUAGUACGUAGUGUUGGUGCUGAUUCACAUUGCAGAAAAAAUAUUGCAUCUCCUUGAAGACACACUCUAGCCACCCAACACGUCAUUUCGCUUGAUACAACAUCCCACAAGCCAUCACUUGCAAGAAUAAAGCACCCAUCAUCUAUCUUCCUUUUUACAACGGUAAUCUUAGGCUUAGAUAUAGACACAUGGCUUCAAAUAAGUGUAUCCUAUUUGUAACAAGUAGUGGAAUCACUAUAUUAUUUAGAUACUAGUAGUUGAAUCUCUAUAACAUUUAGUUACUAAUAUUUGAAUCUCUAUAACUACUAGUAAAUAUAUAGGUUAUUUUUUCUUGUUAGAAAUAGGAAAAAUAAUUUGAAGCCCUAUGUCAUAUCCAAGACUAAGUAUACCUUUAUAAAAACAAAUGUAGAUGAUGAGUUCUUGAUUCUUGCAAGUGAUGGCUUGUGGGAUGUUGUAUCUAACGAAACGGCGUGUCGGGUGGCUAGAGUGUGUCUUCGAGGAGAUGCAAUAUUUUUUUCAAAGUGAAUCAGUAGCAUCACUACUUACUUAGGUUUCUAUGGGACGGAAUAGUCACGAUAAAAUUAGCGUUAUUGUAGUUGAUUUGAUGAGAAAUCAAGAAGGAGGAAAAAGUCCAUAGUAAAAACAUCUCCUUCCGUAUUUCUCAUUAAAAUCAACUACAAUAAUGCUGAUGUUAACAUAGCAAUUAAAGUACAUAGUGUUGUUGCUGAUGCACUUAGUGAAAAAAAUGUUGCAUUUCCCUGAAGACACACUCUAGCCACCUGACACGCCAUUUCACUUGAUACAACAUCCUACAAGACAUCACUUGCGAGAACCAAGCACUCAUCAUCUACAUUAUUUUUCACAAAGGUAAUCUCAGGCUUAGAUAUCACAUAGGGCUUCAAAUAAUUGUAUCUUAUUUGUAACAAGUAGUGUAAUGUCUAUAACAUUUAGUAGUAGAAUCCCUAUAACUACUAGUAAAUAUUUAUGUUAUUUUUUCUUGUUACAAAGAGGAAACAAUUAUUUGAAGCCCUAUGUCGUAUCUAAGCCUGAGAUUACCUUUGUAAAAACGAAUGUAGAUGAAUAGUGCUUGAUUCUUGCGAGUGAAUAGUCAUACUUACUCAUAUUUUUGCAAAGUAUAUCAAUUGCAUCGCUACUUACUCAGGUUUCUAUGGGAUAGAAUAUUCAUGAUAACAUAAACAUUAUUGCAGUUUAUUGGACGAGAAAUUAGGAAGGAGGAGAAAGUCCAUAGUACAAACAUCUACUUCCCAAUUUCUCAUCAAAACAACUACAAUAAUGUUGAUAUAAUCAUGACUAUUCCAUCCCAUAAAAUUGUAUCUUGUUUAAAUCUCAAGCUUAGAUGUCACAUAGGGCUUCAAAUAAUUUUAUCUUGUUUGUAACAAGUAGUUUAAUGGCUAUAACAUUUAGUAGUUGAAUCCCUAUAACUAUGAGUAAAUAUUUAUGUUAUUUUUUCUUGUUACAAAGAGGAAACAAUUAUUUGAAGCCCUAUGUCAAAUCUAAGCUUGAGAUUACCUAUGUAAAAAGGAAUUUAGAUGAUGAGUGCUUGAUUCUUGCGAGUGAUGGCUUAUAGGAUGUUGUAUCAAGCGAAACGUUGUGUUGGGUGGCUGGGGUGUGUCUUCAAGGAGAUGCAAUAUUAUUUUGCAAAGUGAAUCAGUUGCAUCGCUACUUACUAUGGUUUCUAUGGGAUAGAAUAUUCAUGAUAACAUCAGUGUUAUUGUAGUAGAUUUGACGAGAAAUCAGGAAGUAGGAGAAAGCCCAUAGUACAAACAUUUACUUCCCAAUUUCUCAUCAAAUCAACUACAAGAAUGUUGAUAUUAUCAUGACUAUUCCAUCCCAUAGAAAUUCGAGUACAUAAUAUUGGUGUUGAUUCACAUUGCGGAAAAAAUAUUGCAUCUCCUUGAAGACACACCCUAGCCACCCAACACAACGUUUCGCUUGAUACAACAUCCUAUAAGCCAUCACUCGCAAGAAUCAAGCACUCAUCAUCUAAAUUCCUUUUUACAUAGGUAAUCUCAAGCUUAGAUUUGACAUAGGGCUUCAAAUAAUUGUUUCCUCUUUGUAACAAGAAAAAAUAACAUAAAUAUUUACUCAUAGUUAUAGGGAUUCAACUACUAAAUGUUAUAGCCAUUAAACUACUUGUUACAAACAAGAUAAAAUUAUUUGAAGCCCUAUGUGACAUCUAAGCACAAACAUCUACUUCCCAAUUUCUCAUCAAAUCAACUACAAUAAUGUUGAUAUUAUCAUGACUAUUCCAUCCCAUAGAAUUGUAUCUUGUUUAGAUCUCAGGCUUAGAUGUCACAUAGGGCUUCAAAUAAUUGUAUCUCGUUUGUAACGACUAGCUGAAUGUCAAUAACAUUUAGUAGUUGAAUUCAUAUAACUACUAGUAAAUAUUUAUGGUAUUUUUUCUUGUUACAAAGAAGAAACAAUUAUUCAAAGCCCUAUGUCAUAUCUAAGCCUGAGUUUACCUUUGUAAAAAGGAAUGUAGAUGAUGAGUGCUUGAUUCUUGCGAGUGAUGGCUCAUAGAAUGUUGUAUCAAGCGAAACGGCGUGUUGGGUGGCUAGAGUUUGUCUUCAAGGAGAUGUAAUAUUAUUUUGCAAAAUGAAUCAGUUGCAUCGCUACUUACUCGGGUUUCUAUGGGAUAGAAUAUUCAUGAUAACAUCAGCGUUAUUGUAGUUAAUUUGACGAGAAAUCAGAAAGGAGGAGAAAGUCUGUAGUACAAACAUCUACUUCCCAAUUUCUCAUCAAAUCAACUACAAUAAUGCUGAUAUUAUCAUGACUAUUUUGUCCCAUAGAAAUUCAAGUAUGUAGUGCUGCUGCUGAUUCAGUUUGCGGAAAAAAUAUUGCAUUUCCUUGAAGACACACACUAGACACCCAACACGUCAUUUUGCUUGAUACAACAUCCCACAAGACAUCACUUGCAAGAAUAAAGCACUCAUCAUCUACCUUCCUUUUUACAAAGGUAAUCUCAGGCUUAGAUAUAGACACAGGGCUUCAAAUAAGUGUAUCCUAUUUGUAACAACUAGUGGAAUCUCUAUAUUAUUUAGAUAUUAACGGUUGACUCUCUAUAACAUUUAGUUACUAGUAUUUGAAUAUUUAUAACUACGAGUAAAUAUUUAUUAUAUUUUUUCUUGUUAGUAACAGGAAAAAAUAAUUUGGAGCCCUCUUUCAUAUCCAAGACUAAGAUUACCUUUGUAAAAAGAAAUGUAGAUAAUUAGUUCUUGAUUCUUGUGAGUGAUGGCUUGUGGGAUGUUGUAUCUAGCGAAACGGCGUGUCGGGUGGCUAGAUUGUUUCUUCAAGCAAAUGCAAUAUUUUUUUGCAAAGUGAAUCAGUAGCAUCACUACUUAAUUAGGUUUCUAUGUUACAUAAUAGUCACGAUAACGUUAGCAUUAUUGUAGUUGAUUUGAUAAGAAAUCGAGAAGGAGGAAAAAUUCCAUAUUAAAAACAUCUCCUUCCUUAUUUCUCAUUAAAAUCAACUACAAUAAUGCUGAUAUUAUCAUGAAUAUUCUGUCUUAUAUCAAUUCAAGUACGUAUUGUUGUUGCUGAUUCACUUAGCGAAAAAAAUGUUUCAUCUCCUUGAAGGCACACUCUAGCCACCCGACAUGCCAUUUUAUUGGAUACAACAUCCCACAGGUCAUCACUCGAUCACAAUAAUCAAGAACUCAUCUUCUACAUUAUUUUUUACAAAGGUAAUCUCAGGCUUAGAUGUCACAUAGGGCUUCAAAUAAUUGUAUCUUGUUUGUAACAAGUAGUUCAAUGUCUAUAACAUUUAGUAGUUGAAUCCCUAUAGCUACGAUUAAAUAUUUAUGUUAUUUUUUCUUGUUACGAAGAGGAAACAAUUAUUUGAAGCCAUAUGUCAAAUCUAAGCUUGAGAUUACCUUUGUAAAAAGGAAUUUAGAUGAUGAGCGCUUGAUUCUUACGAGUGAUGGCUUAUAGGACGUUGUAUCAAGCGAAACGUUGUGUUGGGUGGCUAGGGUGUGUCUUCAAGGAGAUGCAAUAUUAUUUUGCAAAGUGAAUCAGUUGCAUCGCUACUUACUCUGCUUUCCAUGGGAUAGAAUAUUAUGAUAACAUCAGUGUUAUUGUAGUAGAUUUGACGAGAAAUCAGGAAGUAGGAGAAAGCCCAUAGUACAAACAUUUACUUCCCAAUUUCUCAUCAAAUCAACUACAAGAAUGUUGAUAUUAUCAUGACUAUUCCAUCCCAUAGAAAUUCGAGUACAUAAUAUUGGUGUUGAUUCACAUUGCGGAAAAAAUAUUGCAUCUCCUUGAAGACACACUCUAGCCAUCCAACACGUUGUUUUGCUUGAUACAACAUCCCACAAGCCAUCACUUGCAAGAAUAAAGCAUUCAUCAUCUACCUUCAUUUUUACAAAGGUAAUCUCGGGCUUAGAUAUAGACGCAGGGAUUCAAAUUAGUGAAUCCUAUUUGUAACAAGUAGUGGAAUCUCUAUAUUAUUUAGAUACUAGUGGUUGAAUCUCUAUAACAUUUAGUUACUAGUACUUGAAUCUAUAUAACUACUAGUAAAUAUAUAGGUUAUUUUUUCUUGUUAGAAAUAGGGAACAAUUAUUUGAUGCCCUAUGUCAUAUCCAAGACUAAGAUUACCUUUCUAAAAAGAAAUGUAGAUGAUGAGUGCUUGAUUCUUGCAAGUGAUGGCUUGUGGGAUGUUGUAUCAAGUGAAAUGGCGUGUUGGGUGGCUAGAGUGUGUCUUCAAAGAGAUGCAAUAUUUCUUUGCGAAGUGAAUCAGUAGCAUCGCUGCUUACUUAGGUUUCUAUGGGAUGGAAUAGUCACGAUAACAUUAGUGUUAUUGUAGUUUAUUUGACGAGAAAUCAGGAAAAAGGAAAAAGUGCAUAGUAAAAUCAUGUCCUUCCUUAUUUCUCAUUAAAAUCAACUACAAUAAUGCUGAUGUUUUCAUGACUAUUCCGUCCUAUAGAAAUUCAAGUACAUAGUGUUGUUGUUGAUUCCUUUAUCGAAAAAAAUUUGUAUCUCCUUGAGGACACACUCUAGCCACCCGACACGCCAUUUCACUUGAUAAAAUAUCCCACAAGCCAUCACUCACAAGAAUCAAGCACUCAUCAUCUACAUUAUUUUUUACAAAGCUAAUAUCAGUCUUAGAUGUCACAUAGGGCUUCAAAUAAUUGUAUCUCGUUUGUAACGACUAGCUGAAUGUCAAUAACAUUUAGUAGUUGAAUUCAUAUAACUACUAGUAAAUAUUUAUGGUAUUUUUUCUUGUUACAAAGAAGAAACAAUUAUUCAAAGCCCUAUGUCAUAUCUAAGCCUGAGUUUACCUUUGUAAAAAGGAAUGUAGAUGAUGAGUGCUUGAUUCUUGCGAGUGAUGGCUUGUGGGAUAUUUUAUCAAGUGAAAUGGCGUGUCGGGUGGCUAGAGUGUGUCUUCAAGGAAAUGCAAUAUAUUUUUGCAAAGUUAAUCGUAAGCAUCGCUACUGAUGUUAUCAUGACUAUCUUGUCCCAUAGCAGUUCGAGUACGUAACGUUGUUGUUGAUUCACUUUGCGGAAAAAAUAUUGCAUCUCUAUGAAGACACACUCUAACAACCCGACACGUCGUUUCACUUGAUACAACAUCCCACAGGCCAUCACUCGCAAAAAUCAAGCACUCAUCAUCUACAUUACUUUUUUACAAACGUAAUCUCAGGCUUAGAUAUGACAUAGGGCUUCAAAUAAUUGUAUCAUGUUAGUAAUAAGUAGUUGAUUCUCUAUAACAUUUAGUUACUAGUGGUUGAAUCUAUAUAACAUUUUGUUACCAGUAGUUGAAUCUCUAUAACUACAAGUAAAUAUUUUUGUUAUUUUUUCCUGUUACAAAGAGGAAACAUUUAUUUGAAGCUCUAUGUCAUAUCUAAGCCUAAGAUUACCUUUGUAAAAAGUAAUGUAGAUUGUGAGUGCUAGAUUCUUGCGAGUGAUGGAUUGUGGGAGGUUGUAUCAAGCGAAACGGCGUGUCGGGUGGCUAGAGUGUGUCUUCAAGGAGAAGCAAUAGUUUUUCGCAAAGUGAAUCACUAGCAUCGCUAAUUACUUAGGUUUCUAUGGGACGGAAUAGUCAUGAUAACGUCAGCGUUAUUAUUGUUGAUUUGACGAUAAAUCAUGAAGGAUGAGAAAGUCCAUAGUAAAAAUAUCUCCUUCCCGAUUUCUCAUCAAAUCAACUACAAUAAUGUUGAUGUUAUCAUGACUAUUCCGUCCCAUAGCAAUUCGACUACGUAGUGUUGUUGUUGAUCCACUUUGCGAAAAAAAUAUUGCAUCUCCUUGAUGACACAGUCUAGCCACCUGACACGUUGUUUCGCUUGAAACAAAAUCCCACAAGCCAUCACUCGCAAGAAUUAAGAACUUAUCAUCUACUUUUUUUUACAAAGGUAAUCUCAGGCUUAGAUAUGACACAGGGCUUCAAAUAAGUGUAUCCUAUUUGUAACAAGUAGUUGAAUCACUAUAACAUUUAGUUACUAGUAAUUAAAUCUCUAUAAAAUUUAGUUACUAGUAAUUGAAUCUCUAUAACUACUAGUAAAUAUUUAUAUUAUUUUUUGUUGUGGAAAACAAGAAACAAUUAUUUGAAUCCCUAUGUCAUAUCUAAGCCUGAGAUUACCAUUGUAAAAAGGAAUGCAGAUGAUGGGUACUUGAUUCUUGCGAGUGGUGACUUAUGGGAUGUGGUAUCAAGUGAAACAGCGUGUCUAGUGGCUAGAGAGUGUCUUGAAGGAGAUGCAAUAUUUUAUUCCAAAGUGAAUCAGAAGUAUCGCUACUUACUCAGGUUGCUAUGUGACGGAAUAGUCAUGAUAACAUCAGCGUUAUUGUAGUUGAUUUGACGAGAAAUCAGGAAGGAGGAGAAAUUCCAUAGUAAAAACAUCUCAUUUUUUAUUUCUCAUCUAAUCAACUACAAUAAUGCUGAUAUUAUCAUUACUAUUCCUUCCCAUAACAAUUCGAGCACGUAACGUUGUUGCUGAUUCACUUUGCGGGAAAAUAUAUUGCAUCUUCUUGAAGACACACUCUAACCACCCGACACGUCGUUUCACUUGAUACAACAUCCCACAAGCCAUCACUCGCAAAAAUCAAGCACUCAUUAUCUACCUUGCACUUUCAAAGGCAAUUUCAUGCUUAGAUAUGACAUAGGGCAUAAAUAAUUUUUUCUCUCCUUAGGCACAUUCCACAGGUCCUUUCAGUUGAGGAUAAUGCAUCUCUCGGCAUUAUGCCGACAAAGGAAGAGGUAAAAAUAUUUUAUUUAAGCUUAGUGGGGGAUAGUGCAAGUGGACAUGAUGGUUUCACAUGUCUUUUUUAUCAGAAUUGUUGGGACAUAGUGGGUGAUGACUUAUGAAAGUUUGUUACUACUUUCUUUGAAGGAAGAACACUUCCCAAAUUCAUAAUACAUACCAACCUUGUGUUGUUACCUAAAAAGAAUGACAUUCAAUCCUUUUCAGAUCUGAGACCUAGCAAUUUCAGUAACUUUGUUAAUAAGGUUAUUUCUAGGGCAAUGCAAGGAAAAUUGGAGAUGGUGCUUCUAAGGCUAAUCUAAUCCAAUCAAUCAGGUUUUGUAAAAGGAAGGAACAUUAUUGAAAAUGUUUUACUCACAAAAUAGAUUGAUUCAGAUAUCACUAAAAGGAGAAAACCAGCUAAUAUCAUUAUCAAAAGCUUAUGAUAGGGUUUCUUGGUUCUAUUUGAUGAAAGUCCUAAGAAAAAUAGGAUUUUCAGAGGUGAUUAUUGAUAUCAUUUGUAGAAUCAUAGCUAAUAAUUGGUAUUUUAUGUUGGUGAAUGGAUAGGCACAAGGCUUUUUUCACUCUACUAGAGGGGUAAAACGGGGAGACCCCUUAUCUCCUACUUUGUUUAUUAUUAGUGCUGAAGUUCUGUCAAGGGCUUUGAAUUCUUUAUUUGAUGAUGGAAACUAUAUGGGAUAUGGUAUGCCUAAACGGAGUGCAAAUCUUAAUCAUCUUGCUUAUGCAGAUGACACAACUAUUUUUGCAGAUACACAUGAAAAGUCCCUUAAAAUAAUAAUGAAGGUGCUAGGCAAAUAUGAGUCUCAAUCUGGACAAUUAAUCAACAAAGGAAAGAGUGCUUUGUACAUGCAUCGGAACACCAACGCUCAAUUAGGAGGUUUGGUUGAUAGAUGUACAUGUAUCUCAAGAGGUCAAUUCCCAAUUACUUAACUAGGGUGUCCUAUCACUCAUGCUAAGAAGAGAAAGAGUGGUUAUAAUGAUCUAAUUAAGAAGGAUGAAGUCAAGCUUCAAACAUGAAAGGGAAGAUGCUCUCUUUUGGUGGUAAGGUAACUUUGAUAAGUAGUGUGCUACAAAGUAUUCCUAUCCACAUUCUUUCAGUAAUUGUUCCCCCAAAAUGUGUAAUCAAUGAACCACAUAAUAUUUUUGCGAAGUUUUUUUUUUGGAACAAUAAAGAGAUAGGGAGAAGUAAGAAUUGGGUUGCUUGGUAAAAUAUUUGCUUACCCAGAGCAGAAGGGGGUCUUGGUUUUAGAUCUUUAUUUGAUAUUUCCAAAGCUAUGUUUGCAAAGCUAUGGUGAAAAUUUAGAAGUGGUAAUUCUUUAUGGGCAAACUUUAUGUGGAAUAUAUAUUACAAAAAUGAAAUUUCAACUUUGGUGUAAGGGAAAGGUGGCUCUCAGAUGUGGAAGAUGAUGCUAGAAAAUAGAGAAAAAAUGGAGAACAAUAUGUGGUGGGGAAGAUGAUGCUAGAAAAUAGAGAGAAAAAAAUGGAGAACAAUAUGUGGUGGGAACCUAGAGAGGCUCUACAUAUAUUUGGUAUGAAAAUUGGAUGAAACUUGAUCCUUUAAUUCUGGAGCCAGAUUGUAUCAUUAGACCUGAAAUGAAGGAUAUGAGGGAGAUGAUGAAUGAAUAAAGAUGGGAUUCAGGAAAACUCCAACAAGCACUGCCAGAAAGAAUUAUCAAUCAUAUCUAAGAACAUUUGAGAAAUUUUAAGAAGAAGAUCCCCAAUACAAGUAUAUUUGGGUGCAGAGAUUGCCCUUUAAGUUUUGUUUCCUAGUUUGGAGAAUCUGGUGUAAUAAAAUUCUUGUGGCUACUUUAAUUGCUAAAUGAAACAGCAAUGUAAGUACAGAUUGCUUGUGUUGUAUAGUACCUUCCCCUGAACCGUACAACACUUUUUCUUAACAGGUGAAAUAGAAAGAGAGGUUUGGACUUAUUUUGCAAAUGUUGUUGGUGUACAUGGUCCUUGGAUUCAAAUUAAACAAACAAUACCGAAGUGGAGAAAUGCUCCUGGCAAUGAGAAGUUUAAGAUAUUAAGAAUGUAGUCCCUAUAAUUAUUUUAUUGUCUCUAUGAAAAAGAAGAAAUAUCAUUUUACAUGGAGGUUUUUAUCCAGUUGAGAAGAUUAUCCAUCGGAUAAAUGAGAAUAUUCAUAAAUUCACCAUUUUCAAAUUUCCUUUCUUUUUAAACCUACCAAUGAAUCAGCCCUCAAUUGCAGAGGUUCUAGAAAGUUGGGAACAAAGGUGCAGACUCAAGAUUGUGAGCUGGAUACACCCUCUUGAUAGAUGGUAUAAAUGCAACGUUGAUGAUGCUUCAAAGGGUAAUCCUGACCGUAAUUCAGUUGCCUUUUGUGUAAUAAAUUAUUUUGGAGAUAUUGUAGUGGUCAAAGGGUUAAGACUUCUAGUUUCUACCAAUCUCUUUGUUUUGGAGAUAUUGUAGAAUAGACCGUAAUUCUGCGAAGUAUUUGAAAUUUUUUCGAGGUAUUCAAGUUUAUUCAAGAUCAACUAAUUCUACUUCAAUCAAUCUUUUUAAACGAGAGGAUUUAUACAAGUUGAUGAAGAGAAACAGAUUGUUCUACUUCAAUAGAGUUAUGUAUUCAAGAUAUUAAAGUUCAAGGAAGGAAGUUUACCUCAUCAACUCAUCUCCCUUAGUUUCCAAAGUAGGAACUUGAAGCUCUCUAGAUCUGACUAAUUUAGCUCAGGACGAGUUGAAGGUUAGAGUUUCAUUAAUUGGAGAAGAGCUGGUAUCAAUUGAAGAAAUGCAAUAUUGAGGAGCCUAUUCUCCGGUGAUUGGUGCUCGGAACUCAUCCAUGGCGGAGGAAUCGAUGUGGAGAGAAGUCGACUCUCCAUUUCCCUCUUUGUUUCCUACUUCAAUAGAGCUACUUCAAUAGAUUGUUCUACUUUAACAGAGCUAUGUAUUCGAGAUAUUAAAGUUCAAGGAAGGAAGUUUACCUCAUCAACUCGUCUCUCUUAGUUUCCUAAGUCGGAACUUGAAGCUCUCCAAAUCUGACUAAUUUAGCUCAGGACGAGUUGAAGGUUAGAGUUUCUUUGGAGAAGAGCUGGUAGCAAUUGAAGAAAUGCAAUAUUGAGGAGUUGAUUCUCCGACGGCUGGUGCUCAGAACUCAUCCAUGGCGGAGGAAUCGAUAAGGAAAGAAGUCGACUCUCCAUUUUCCUCCUUGUUUCCUACUUCAAUAGAUCUACUUCAACAGAUUGUUCUACUUCAAUAGAGCUAUGUAUUCGAGAUAUUAAAGUUAAAGGAAGGAAGUUUACCUCAUCAACUCGUCUCCCUUAUUUUCCUAAGUCAGAACUUGAAGCUCUCCAGAUCUGACUUAUUUAGCUAAGGAUGAGUUCAAGGUUAGAGUUUCUUUUGAGAAGAGUUGGAAGCUAGCAAUUGAAGAAAUGCAAUAUUGAGGAGCCGAUUCUCUGGCGGCUAGUGCUCAAAACUCAUCCAUGGCGGAGGAAUCGAUGUGGAGAGCAGUCGACUCUCCAUUUCCCUCUUUGUUUCCUACUUCAAUAGAGCUACUUCAAUAGAUUGUUCUACUUCAAUAGAGCUAUGUAUUCGAGAUAUUAAAGUUCAAAGAAGUAAGUUUACCUCAUCAACUCAUCUCCCUUAGUUUUCAAAGUCGGAACUUGAAGCUGUCCAGAUCUGACUGAUUUAGCUCAGGACAAGUUGAAGGUUAUAGUUUCUUUGGAGAAGAGCUGGUAGAAAUUGAAGAAAUGCAAUAUUGAGGAGCCGAUUCUCCGGCGGCUGGUGCUCAGAACUCAUCCAUGGCGGAGGAAUCGAUGUGGAGAGAAGCCGACUCUUCAUUUCCAUCUUU